RNAcentral lists this long non-coding RNA (107386 nucleotides) under Zea mays. Its description in RNAcentral is "long non-coding RNA (ZMAY_LNC003457)". Lineage: Eukaryota; Viridiplantae; Streptophyta; Magnoliopsida; Poales; Poaceae. The record is from RNAcentral.
UUUUUUUUUGUUGCUCCGAGAUCAACAGCGGCGCAGGGGAGGGAGAGGUGGAUGGAGUGGAGGAGGGUGGAGUGGAGGGUGAGGGAGGCAGGUGCGGGAACUGGGCCCCGGAUUCGCUCCCCGCCGUCUGAUCCGCGCCCCCGAAAUCGAGCGAGACCACGCGCGGACCGAGCCUGUCCCCGUGUAUUUAUACAUGGCGCUGCAGGGUGGAGCGGGCCCCACGCGAUCGGGGCCGUCCGUAUCGCCCGCCGGGGGACCGCCAGCCGGCACUGGAUUGGAGCAGUCCGGACUGCGGAGCGAGCGAUGCUUCUUCCUGCUUGCGUGGCGGCGUAGGCCACACACACCGCGGGCGGGUCGCCCGCCUGGCCGAGCCGAGGGUUCACGGGACGGGUUGCAUGCUUUGCAGCUGCGAGCUAUCCUGCGAGGUGGUGUCAUGGUGUGUGGUAGUGGUAGGGCAGCGGCGGUGAUGCAUGCGCCGUGUCGUCGCGGGCUCGUCCGGUGCACGGUUUCGAUGGCUCGGUUCGGUGCGCCACACGCCCACACUAGGCGCUAGGCCGCAUCAUCUUGGAGCAUCAUGAGGGUGCGCGCGGGGCGUUCUCGGCGUUCCAUCAUGCGAACGCCGUGUGGGGUGUGGAUUGGGGUGCCGUGCCGCCCGGAAAUGGUAAUGCAUGCUACGUAUGCUGUUACCUACUGUUCCCGUGCCCCUCCGAUUUCCAGCAUGCACUUAACGACGACUGAUGGAAUCGAUUGGUGGCCCGAUCAAAGAAAAAAGAGCUUCGCUAGCACAUCCGCUCCACAGCCAGACAGCCUCCGCUGAACUGGCCAGAGGAACAAACAGUUCGCGUGGAAGUAUUAGUAUUGGGUCGUCAGUCAUCCAUCAAUUGUUUCCAUGUACAGCGUACCCGGUGUCAAAGCAGAACAGUUGAUGAUGUGACAAGUAGUACAGUUGCCAUAAACGGAAAUUGGAGUUUAGAAUAAUCCAAUGGAAGACUCCACCGUGGGAAGGGCAUCUACAUGCACGCUUGGUUCCCAAUAAUGUCGAAUACACUCAAUAUUUAGAAUAUCUCCAUACUGCCUAUUUCUCUGUUUCAAACUCCACUCAACAAACAAUCUACGCAAUACUUUACAGGGUCUGCUGAAAAUUGCUUACCACAGUGUACCAUCAGACCGUGAUUUAUAGACAUUAAACAGUAAGCCAGACACUUAUUGUUUAUUCAUUCAGACUAAACGUUUACUUAACCAGAUAAACAACCAUAAAAACAUGAUAAACCAAUUAUAAAAAAAAAUUGUGUACCAUCAUAUAGCGUUUAAAUAAAUAGUGUAUGAACAGACUAAAUGACCGUUUAAGCGAAUAAUGUUCUCAACCUAGAAACUCGUCUAUUUAUGUUCACGUCUUUUUAGGUCAAACACUAAUGAUCUAUGGAUCCCGCUAGCGGGGAUCCAGACCUUAGAGAACCUCUCUACGAGACGGCGGAUAAGAUGCAAGACAAAUAACACUACAGAUAUUGGUAUCUUUUUAGGGCCAACUAGCAAUGAACCCUAAUGCCUUCACGUGAUGUGUAGGUCCUUGAGUUUGGCUCUGCGAGGUACCGAACGGUCCGCGAUAGGUCAUCGUACCGUCUGCGGUAGGGUGACGAACCAUCCGCAAUGCGCGCGGAUAGCUCCUGGGUGUACGGCUGGUGUUUGGGUUACCCGAAUUUUUUGGUUCAGGUAAUUAAUUUUUUGGGUUUUGAGAAGUCUUAUCGAAAAUUGCAUAAGAUAUUAUAGUACUCAGAAAAUUCGGGUACCCCACAAUUUAGGUUCGGUUAACGGGUACUCCCGAAUCACCCGUAUUAAAACACACAUGAACUAGCGGUAGCAACCGCAUGGAGACUCUCACACAGAGCCUGUACCCAGAUGCCAAAUAUGAUAUUCAACACAUGCUCUCCUGCAUUUUGGUAGAGCUUGGCGAACUAAAAGCACCUGGUACUACCAGCCUUUUCGGGAACAAUAGAUUACACAACAUGUCUUGUUCCCAAAAUAUGAACUCUAGCCUGAUGUAAUUUAUCGGCUCUUGUGAUCAAACAAUAUAACAAUUUAAUAGAACCAUAAUACAUAGAGGCCAUUUAGAAUUGUAUCCUCGUCGGCCAUGGCUACCUAUUUCUUAUAUUUAGCAAGAAACUGAUCAAUAGUAGGGUCGGCACUGCUGAGCCGACCAGACGUCUUGGACGCGUUUUGCUUCCCAGUACCUAUUUGGGGACGUUGUGGUCUAACAGUUUGAGGUUGCUGCCGCUCCUGGUUUAGGGUUUAUGAUUUAGAUUUGGGGCUAUAAUUUUGUAUUAAUGGGAUUUACAAAUUGUUAACCAAUGUAUACCAAAAUUUGAAUUAUACCUAUUGUCCGGACUGUAUUGUGUCCUACCAUUUUGUAUUACUGGUUCAAAUGGGGGCACAAAAACUCUGCCUUUGGCAAUACGGCAUAUGGUGCGGUCGAUCAAGUUCGAUCUGCAUAGCCCCUCGAGAGGCUUUGCGAAAAGAAGCGUUGGCAAUGGCAACGUUAGGCCCGAGCGCAGAAAAAAGCUAAAGGGCAAAAACUAAAGCGAUCGAGUUGCGGUGGCUGCAUGAUAGUUUCUUGAGAACACACACACACACAUAAAAGCAGGUCGCCAUGGCAUCGAGGGACGGGCAUCGGCACUUGCCCCUGCCGGCUGCUGGCGCUGCAUCCACGAAUGGCCGAGGGGACAGUCGGACACACACAGCAUGGACACGAUAGCAUGGUCAGUAGACAGUAGUAGCUAGACAGGGAAGCUCGGUUCAGAAAAUAGUAGGAGUGCACGCAGAUUAUCUGCUGCGUGCCACUGCCACGCCACGGCACCCUGAGGUCACAGACCAUGCAUGGGUAGCUAGGAGGCGUAGGCUGCUUGACCACCGCUAGCUAGCUGGCUGCUUCGACAAAGCAUAAAACAUCACUAGUACACGUACGCUCGGCCGGUGUCUGCCUGCCGCGAACGACACACCACUCUUGGUUAGCAUGGUCUCGCAAUGAUGCCUUUCCGUUCCACCACCACAUGUUUUGCCGGCACGGCGGUAAUCACCGGCGCAAACGGCAAUCAUUCGGCGACAGCUAGCCCGCCCGCGCUGUCUUUAAUCUGCUCGGUUAUUUUUAGAGUACUACUAGAUGAAGCGGAAAAAGGCAGCUGAUAGAUACAACCGAUCUAUGGCUGGGAUGCAAACGGCUACGUAUACUACACUACACUGCCGGAGGGACAGACAGGGAGUCGAUCCAGCGAAGAAUCUAUUCAAAAACACUUGGGGGGAGCUAGCUAGUUAUUAAUUAGCAGUAGUAGAGUAGCAGACGGUCGCUGCUGCUUCGCGAGUGCAUGCAGCGAUGUCCACAGGCUCCCAUCCCAGCAGACGUUACUAGUUCCCUGAUCCCAAGGCGCAUCGCAUCUCUCGCAAAGAAAGCAGAUUCCCGCUGCAACAGGGUCAGGGGGAGAGAGAGCAGGGAGCACAGGCCACAGGGGCAGCAAAGGUGUUGGCUUGGCUGUCGUCCGGCGGGCGGGCGCCAACUUUGUUGCAGGCGACGACGAGGGGGGCAACCACGGUCCGCAGGUACAGGAUGCCGUUUUGUUUAUAGCCGUGCGCGCUUCCUUGCGUGCACUGCACACGCAUCCCACGCGGGGCGGUCAAAGAGGCGCAUCGAGCGCGUUGCUUCUGUACGGGCCGCGCGCAGCCUUCUUGUGAACUGGGCUCUCGCUCGCGCUUGCACGGCCAGCCUUCCGGUCCCAGAACGAUCAUGACGACCGAACUGGCUUGGAGAAACGGAGCCGACUGCAGUUCAAAUCCCUCGGUACUGUCUGUACGCCUUCUGAAGUUCUGAUCGACAUUGGAUUUAUACCGACAACCAUCGUCGUCUUUUAGCCGGUGGAAAUUGGGAGGAAGGAAUGUUCGAGUGCGGCUGCUGAACCAACCAGACGGUUCCUAGUACAACGCAUGCUCCGUCUUUUGACGCAUGGAGAAGAGAUGUGGGUAGUAGUCACGUAGUACGAUCGCGAGCCGUUCUGUCUGUUGCCGGCCCCAAAGGCCUCCUCCUACUCGGCUGAGAUGAGCUGAGCUGAGCGAGCACAGGUCAGAAUCAGAUGACUGGGAUCCUAAUUCCGAAGGGCGUUGGAUACUGUGCCAGGAUGCCACUAGCACUACUACCAGCAGUAGAGUAGUAGCAGCUGCUUUCGUUGCCCAUCUCGCCAUGCACGGAAACGGCCAAGCACUCCAUUUUGGCCCCUCCGAUGCGCGCGCCCCGGGGAGCGGGGAACCCCUCCGCGCGCCUUUACGCCGGAUGGAGUACGCUGCUGCCCCCGGUGCCUGGCCGUUCCGACGUUUAGCCGAGCCCGCCGCGUGCUCGCUGGCGCUGGCCCCGUCGAAAACGACGGGACGCCGGCUCCGCCGCUGCGCUGCGCUCCCUGUGGCGCCGCCCGCAGGCCGCAGCGGACAGAUCGAGGUUUUCCAGGAGGAAUAAAAGCAGAGCGCAGGGCGCGCAGAUCUUUCACGAAAGGGGGGAGGGGCGAGGCGAGCGGGCACCGGGCACGAGAGCGGAUCAGGUCAUCAGGAUGGCUAGCCCGGCGCAAAGACGGCCGCGAACUAAAGGCGGUACGGCGCCGGAUGCGUAUGCGAUCGCGUCGGGUUGGGUUGGGUUGGGUCCGUGGGCAGCCUUUGGGGAAAGGCCACUCCAACUCGAAUAAGUACUCCAUGCUACUCCGUAUAGUUUCUGGCCGCUGUUGCUUGGCGAGCGCGCGGCUGCCUCACUGUCCCCACUCCUCAGCGUCCUGUAGCUGUAGGGGCUGCUUUGGGCCAAGAAAGGGACGGUGUGCUCUGUGCAGCUGAAAGCCUAGCCCAUCCCGGCCCACCGAAGCAGACAGCACACAGCAGAGGCCUAAUAAAAGACCCGCAUCAGUCACCGUUUUUUUCGGCUGCUCGCUGUUAGUACCAACCAACCAAGCAUGUCUCAGAAAGAAAACGUGCUGUGCCUUCUGUGGCGCAGUGCUCUCACAGUAGACAGUAGUAGUACACACUCUGCGUCAAUCGAUUGCGCGACGGACAUGGAAGUAUGGACGAGGUGAUGGUCGUGUGCACAGAACACGAACAAAUGGAGCGAACGAUCAUGCGAUCCGGGCGACGCGUCUCUUUCUCUUCGGUCGGCCGAUUAGACGGUUCGCUCUCGAUUGAUGAUCCCGCGCGCUUGACUCAGCCGUCACGUCGGCCGCGCCGUUUUUGAGGGUUCUGAGGAGCUUUGACACGAACGGGGCGCGGCGACCACGGGUGGUCGCGAGACGCGGCCGCGCCACGCGGCCGGCCCCCCCGUGAACGAAAGCAUCUGUGUGCGCAGGACACGCACGCACCUGCGCUCGCUCCUCUCGCUUUCGCUGAAAUCCACUGCGCCGCGCCAUCGGCAUUGCCGCCGCCGUCCCUCGGUGCCCACUGCCCACUGCUUUCUCUCGCUCCGAGCCGAUGACCAGCCCCAUCCAUGCCAUGCACGCGUGCUUCAAAGGGCAUCGGCGUCUACUCCAGCCAUCUUAUCAUCGCUCUGCAGUGCAGUGCAGUGCGUGGACCGCAGCCUGUCGCGAAUGCUUUCGAUCACAAAAACUCUGGAGGCGACAGAAAAAGUAGCUAGGAGGGAUUUAGAGGCGUGCUAUACUACUCAAAACGCACUGGGUGUGGGUGUUUUGUGCCUCGCUUUCAACUUUCGGAGCCGUUGAUCUGGCUCUGACCGAGAGGCAAGGCAAUAUACACUGGAGUGCUGGACAAAAUGGUUUGCGCGUAGAUCGGUCAUGAUGCAGCGCUGAUACGAUCAGACAGACGCUCCGAGCUCCGCAAAGACGUCCGUCCUCAGGUGCCGAGAGCAAACACCUGAAAACGAGAUGACGUCUGUCGCCUACUAGGUGUACCGCUGUGGCGCGACAGUUGCGUCACGCUCUUCACACCGAAAGAGUACAGGGAAAGUAUGGCAUGAGCAUGACACUGACUUGGUAGCAGGAAUCCACUACUCCUAUUCCGUCCUGGAAGUGGAACUGUGUACCUCCGUACCAGAAUAACCACGUCUUUGCUUUUUUGAUGAAUUAAAACUUUUAAAUUUUGAAUAUGUCUAUUGAAAAACAUCAACAACGGUUGUGUCUUCGAAUAUGUUUGUCAUGAAGAUAUAUAUAUAUAUAUAUAUUAAACAAGAUGUACAAUCAUUUUGAUACGGAGAGGAGGAUUAGAAGGUGCGCCGAAGGAUGAAGGAGUCGACCAAGCCGGCAGAGGGCAGCCUGCUGCAGCACUGGCGCGAGCGCGGACGACCAGGCCCUGGGGGAGACGAUUGGUUGUUGGUGCUAGGCAGCUACCUCUAGCAUUUGGCGUCGACCGUGAGGGAGUGAGGGUGAGGCCAUGAUGGUUAGUUGUCGUGGGGUGUCCAUGGUUUGAUCACGUCUAUGGCUGAUGAAUAUGCUUUGGUCACUUGCAUCUCGCCGAAGGCGAAGCCCGGGCACGUGCCUAGGCUGGCCGGGCGGUGCCUCCGCCACUGGCCCUGAGCGAUUCUGCAACAGAACUUCUCUUCUCUUCCUUACGCUUUGUGCCGUUUUUUGAGAAAGAGAGAGAGAGAGCGCUCUGCAUUCUGCAACUGACCGACUCUUCUACGCAGGAUUGAGAAACUAGGCCGCCGAACUAGAAGGUGCCAAACACAUCAAGUUCUCAUCGCAUCUAAUUUCUCAGCAGUUCGAUCUUAAGAUGACGGCUACCAAACACAUCAAGUUCUCAUCGCACAUGUCCACCAUCCGACCGUCGCUAUUGGAAUCCUCUAGAAAAAAAAUUCUCGACAAUGGGAGUAAAGAGAGGCAUUGUCCAUCAGCAGCAACGACCCCACUAGUGGUCGAUGCCCCAUUCGCUCCCCCUCCCAGCACAACCGCGCUCUGCUCGACGCUAAGGAAGGCACACAGUCGAAAUGGGGAAAAAGAAAGUCACAACGCUCUUCGUCACCGGCGACGCUGUUGGUGAUCACCACACCAUGCCCCUGCUCCUCAGCGCGUUUGAUAGCCCCAACUUCGUUUGCUCAAGCACCCGCUCCUCAAGCACGACAGCGGAAAGCUAGUGCAUGCCAGCCUCGGGGCGAGAUUAGAUGAGUUGGAGAGUAGGAGAAGUACACAAUAGAGUGGGACGUGGGAGCGAAGUUGGGAGGGCGGAAGCAGGACGACUUGGCGCACAUCGACCGCCUUGUCCUCACCACCAUGUGGGACUGUGGCCAGCCUAGCGUCGCCGCCAUCUGCCUCCUCGACGAGGUCAACAAGAUCGUCUUCAACCUAACUGUCUGAAAGCUCAUCAACAUCAGGCACGGACCCUAAACUGAGAGCGUCCACCGCGAGUACGUCAAUCUCAUUGAUAGCUCUUCUCCAUUCCCUUCCCCUUCACCUACCUCCUCCCUUUCACCGCCUACGGGUAGCACUCAAGGUGCCUUUCUUCUUCUCGCCAUUUGUCUGUCCCCCUAUUAUUUUUGUGUUAUGUGUGUUGGCGCCGAUCCGGGCGCCAAUCAUUGCGAUGAUAACCAGCGGCGGUGCUAUCUGCACAGGCACAGACGGUCCGUGGCCAGGGGCAGUACGGUCCGCGACCUGGCGUAGGGCUCGGGUUCCCGCCUGACGGGCCGGACGGUCCGCGCGUGCGCAGGGGCGACGGAGUUCGCCGACGGUGCCUGAAUCUCGCUCUCGGGAGGGACCCCAUCAGGGAGGAGAGAUCCUAGGUGCCAACCCUAGACACAUCUAAUCGAUGUAGAGCCAAAGAGAAGCGAAGGAUUUAGGGAUUGAGAGGUGUCGGCGUUUCGACCCCGGGGUGUCCCUGGACCGACGAGUAAAAUUGUCGCUGCGUGUCCCAGCACAGAUGGGUUGGCGCGAGAUGGAACACAAGGGGGGAAAACGCGGCUCGUGUUAUCCUGUGCCAGGGGGAUGCGCUCGUAGUAGGGGUUACAAGCGUUCGCGAGGGAGAGAGAGUGAGCAUGUUCGUCAGCCCGUCCUCCCGCGCGACCCUCCCGCAUGAGGGCCCUGGACCUUCCUUUUAUAGAUGCAAGGAGAGGGUCCAAGUGUACAACGGGGGUGUAGCUAUGCGCUAACGUGUCCGACAGAGAGGUGUCUGAGCCCUGUGUACAUACUAACGUGGCUGUCGGAGAGGUGCUAGAGCUCUGUGUACGCGGUAUCGUGGCCGUCGGAGGAGCGCUUGAGCCCUGUAGAAGCACAGCUGUCGGGGCUCCUAGGAUCUUGCUGACGUCUCCUUGCUUCCGUAGGGGGCUGAGAACCACCGUCGUCAUGGACGCACGCGGGGAGCCAUCAUUACUUGUUACCGGGGCGAGCCUGGAUGGGACGCUGGUCUUGUUCUCCCGUAGCCUGAGCUAGCUAGGGGUAGGGUAAUGAUGUAUCCCCCGUGGCGUGGUCGGUCCGAGCCCAAGGUCUGUCGCGGCCUCCGACGCUGCCUCCUGCCGCUUGAUCCGGGCGUGGCCGUCUGCCCACCGUACGGGCGGCUGUUGCGCCGUGUGCACCGGGGGACCGUCCAAGACGUCGCACGCCGCUAGGGCGGCGUUCGUGUUCUUGGAUUGUCUUGUCCUCACUCCGGCACGACGCCUCCGCGCGGAGGUCGGUGUCUGCCCGUCCGCGAGGACUUGAGUGGGGAUCUGUCGGUGUAGGUUGGGGCGGCCGCCAUUCGUUGGCGUUGCGCCGGCGCGCAGGUGGCCUCUGUCAUCGGUGCUGAGGUGGUGGUCGCCAGAGGAGGUUUCUCCGCCGACGAGACCGUGGGCGCCACCCGCGGACAGACCUCCGGCUCUUUGGCUUUGAUAGCCUGUCCUCGCCCCUCGAGCGGGGACGUGGGCGAGGGCCUUGUCACAGCAGCGUCUGCCCUGAGGUCAUCACUGCUGCUGUUUAGCCACCUGGAGUUUGUUGUCCCGCAGGCCCUCUGGUGUGGAGGUAGUUCAUACCCGCGGGAGUGGAACCGGAGUUCCGUUUGUAAUGGCACCCUGAGUACGGGUGUAUGUUCAUUGUGGCUGUCGGGGCCUGAACAUCUGGGUAUUUUGGCGUGAAGCCGUGUUUCUUCCUCAUUUCGAGCACCAGGACUCGCGUGUCGGCUAGCCGAACCGCUUAACCGAGUGUGAGUUGCCCUGCGCGGAAGGUGACGAGUGAGGUAUCCAUAUCCCGGAGGCGUAGGAGUCCCUCGGCUCGGUCGACCUUGCCACUCAAGGCCUCUCUUGCUCAGUUAUAGAACCUUCGGCCGCUCUGCGAUGAGCUAGAGUCGGAGGCAGCGGCGUCGGCGUGGACAGAGGCAGAGUUGACUCGAAAAGGGGCUUCGUCGGCCUAGGAGCGGGUGGCUUCCCAGGCCGAGGAGGUGCAGCAGUGGCGACUGGAGCCUGGCCGGGUCAUCCGUGAGCAGGACCAUCCUCGGAGUCACGCUGCCUAGGCCGUGAGCCGGGCUGAUGUCCUCGGGGGACAGCUGGUUGAUGCUACGGAGCGGCUGGUCGAGGUGUCUGCUCGGGCUGGGACCCUUGCGGAGACCCUGGCUACGAUGGCCCAAGCACGGUGCUGGCGUCCUCCUUCGAGGUGGAGAUCCUUCCGCCCGUGUCGCCGUCCGAGGCCGGGCCAGAUCCCGCCGAAAGUGGAAACGAUGCCGAGGGUGCUGCUGCUCCCUCUGUCGAUGUCUGAACUUGCAGGAACAGUUUGUCUGUAGUAUGUGUAUGCUUGUUGCGGCCGCCGAGGCCCAAACAUAUUAUUGUCGUAUUAUAAAGCUGCGUUUUCUUUCCUCUUGUUUCGAGUAUCAGGACUUGUUCGUCGGCAGCAGAAUCGCUUAUCCGAGCGAGAGUUACUUUUCGCGGAAGGUGAUGAGUGAGGUAUCCGUAUCCCGGAGGCGUAGGAGUCCCUCGGCUCGGUUGGCCUUGCCGCUUACGUGCACUCUCACUCGUUCGUAGGAUUCUAUUAUUGAUAUAGUCGAGAAGGCACGAAAAUCGUUCUAGCAGAAAAGUUUUCGAGCGUUAGGACUUGUUCGGCAGUAGAAUCGCUUAUCCGAGCGUGAGUUACUUAUCACGGAAGGUGAUGAGUGAGGUAUCCGUAUCCCGGAGGCGUAGGAGUCCCUUGACUCGGUCGGCCUUGCCGCUUACGUGUACUCUCGUCGUUUUCAGGAUGCCACUAUCGAAGCUGUCGAAAAGCGCGAAAGAUGUUCUGGCAGAAAGACUUUUUCCGAGGAAAAUUUGGACGCGGAGGGGGUUCCCCCUUCAAGCCCCCGAGGGAGGGUCGGGCUUUGCCGAGGCAAGGCUGACCCUUCCUUGACGGUUAGACUUUAUUUGUGUAUGUAUAGAAAACGAGGUAUAUGAACGACUUGAAAACAUCUUAAGGGUAAAAGCGACGUAGCUGUCGGAUGUUCCAAGCGUUGCUGUAGACCUCGCCUUGAUCGUUGGCCAGCUUGUAUGUUCCAGGCUUCAAAAUCUUGGCGAUGAUGAACAGCCCUUCCCAGGGAGGGGUAAGCUUGUUGCGCCCUCGGGCGUCCUGCCGCAGCCGAAGUACCAAGUCUCCCACCUGGAAGCCUCGGGGCCGAACCCCUCGGGCGUGAUAGCAUCGCAGAGACUGCUGAUACCGCGCCGAGUGUAGUAAGACCACGUCCCGAGCCUCUUCGAGCUGGUCCAGUGAGUCUUCUCGGCUGGUUUGGUUGCUUCGGUCGUCGUACACCUUUGUCCUCGGGGAAUCGUAUUCUAAGUCUAUGGGUAAGAUAGCCUCGGCCCCAUAGACUAGAAAGAACGGCGAGAAACCCGUGGCCCGGCUCGGCGUCGUCCUCAGACUCCAGACCACCGAGGGUAGCUCUUUCGUCCACCGCUUGCGGAACUUGUUGAGGUCGUUGUAGAUCCUCAGUUUCAGUCCCCGCAGAAUCAUACCAUUGGCACGCUCCACCUGCGCAUUUGUCAUGGGGUGAGCAACGGCGGCCUAGUCCACAUGGAUGUGGUGGUCCUUGCAGAAGUCCAGGAACUUCUUCCCAGUGAACUGCGUGCCAUUGUCGGUGAUGAUGGAGUUCGGGACCCCAAAGCGAUGGAUGAUGUUGGUGAAGCACGCCACUGCUUGCUCAGACCUGAUGUUGGUUAGGGGUCGGACCUCGAUCCACUUGGAGAAUUUGUCGAUGGUGACCAGCAGGUGCGAGAAUCCCCCGGGUGCCUUCUGCAAGGGACCGGCGAGGUCUAGACCCCACACAGCGAAUGGCCAGGUGAUGGGUAUUGUCUGCAGGGCCUGAGCGGGCAGGUGCGUUUGUCUUGCGUAGAAUUGACCCCCUUGGUAGGAGCGUACAAUCCUAGUGGUGUCGGCCACCGCGGUCGGCCAGUAGAAGCCUUGUCGGAAGGCGUUUCCCACGAGGGCUCGAGGUGCUGCGUGGUGAUCGCAAGCCCCCGAGUGUAUUUCUUGCAAUAGCUCCUGUCCUUCAGCGAUGAAUAUGCACCGUUGGAGAAUGCCCGAGGGGCUACGGUGGUAGAGCUCCUUUUCAUCCCCUAGUAAGACGAACGACUUGACGCGCCACACCAGUCGCCGAGCCUCGGCCUUGUCGAGGGGUAGCUCUCCUCGGUGGAGAUAUUGCAGGUACGAGGUCAGCCAGUUUCAAUUAGGCGUGACCCCAUUCCUCUCUUCCUCGAUGCGCAGUGCCUCACCCUCGACGGCCGAGGAUACCUUGGGCUCGGCCAAGGCCUCCUCGGGGUGGACCGAGGCCUCCUCGGGCUGGGCGUGUCGUCGGUCUUGACGGAGGGUUGAUGUAUGUCUCUGGAGAAGACGUCCGGGGGAACCGUUGUUCGCCCCGAGGCUAUUUUAGCCAGCUCAUCCACAGUCUCGUUGUACCGUCGAGCGAUGUGGUUGAGCUCGAGCCCGUAGAACUUGUCUUCCAAGCGCCGAACUUCGUCGCAGUAGCCCUCCAUCUUCCGGUCGCGGCAGUGGGAGUUCUUCAUGACUUGGUCAAUGACAAGCUGCGAGUCGCCACGAGCGUCGAGGCGCCGAACCCCUAUCUCGAUGGCGACGCACAACCCGUUAACCAGAGCCUCAUACUCGGCCAUGUUGUUUGACGCUGGGAAAUGGAGGCGCAACACGUAGCGGAGAUGUUUCCCGAGGGGUGAGAUGAAGAGCAGGCCAGCACCUGCUCCUGUUUUCAUCAGCGACCCAUCGAAGUACAUGGUCCAGAGUUCCGGUUGGAUUAGAGCUGUUGGCAAUUGGGUGUCGACCCAUUCAGCCACGAAGUUCGCCAAGACUUGGGACUUGAUGGCCUUCCGAGGAGCGAACGAGAUUGUUUCGCCCAUGAGCUCCACUGCCCACUUUGCUAUCCUACCCGAGGCCUCUCGGCACUGGAUGAUCUCCCCCAGGGGGAAGGAUGACACCACAGUCACCGGAUGAGACUCGAAGUAGUGUCGCAACUUUCGCCGCGUCAGAAUUACUGCGUACAGUAGCUUCUGAAUUUGCGGGUAGCGGAUCUUGGUCUCGGAUAGCACUUCACUGAUGAAGUAGACCGGCCUCUGGACGAGCAGUGCAUGCCCUUCUUCUCGUCUCUCGACUACGAUCGCGACGAUGACCACCUGAGUGGUUGCGGCUACAUAGAUCAAGAGGGCUUCUCCCGCAGCAAGAGGCACCAAGAUGGGCGCGUUUGUAAGGAGCACCUUUAAGUUUCCGAGGGCUUCCUCGGCCUCGGGGGUCCAAGUGAAGCGCUCGGUCUUCCUUAAGAGGCGGUACAAGGGUAGGCCUUUUUCGCCGAGGCGCGAGAUGAAGCGGCUCAGAGCCGCAAGGCAUCCAGUGACCCUUUGUACCCCUUUCAAAUCUUUGAUAGGCCCCAUGUUGGUGAUGGCCGCGAUUUUCUCCGGGUUGGCCUCGAUGCCCCGCUCGGAGACGAUGAACCCCAGGAGCAUGCCUCAGGGGACUCCGAAGACACACUUCUCGGGGUUGAGCUUCGCGUCGUUCGCUCUCAGACACUUGAAUGUCGUUUCAAGGUUAGAGAGGAGGUCGGAGGCUUUCCUCGUCUUGACUAUGAUGUCAUCGACGUAAGCCUCGACCGUUCGGCCGAUGUGCUCUCCGAACACGUGGUUCAUGCACCUUUGGUAUGUUGCACCUGCAUUCCUCAAGCCAAAUGGCAUAGUAGUAUAGCAGUACAUGCCAAAAGGUGUGAUGAAAGAAGUCGCGAGUUGGUCGGACUCUUUCAUCUUGAUUUGGUGAUAACCUGAGUAGGCGUCGAGGAAUGACAGGGUUUCGCACCCAGCAGUGGAGUCCACAAUUUGAUCGAUGCGAGGCAGAGGGUAGGGAACCUUCGGACAUGCUUUGUUUAGACCAGUGUAGUCUACACACAUCCUCCAAUUCCCACCUUUUUUUCACAAGCACAGGGUUGGCUAACCAUUCAGGAUGGAAUACCUCUUUGAAGAACCCUGCAGCCAUCAGCUUGUGGAUCGCCUCGCCUAUGGCUCUGCGCUUUUCUUCGUCGAAACGGCGCAGAGGCUGCUUCACAGGUCGGGCAUCGACUCGUAUAUCCAGUGAGUGCUCGGCGACAUCCCUCGGUAUGCCGGGCAUGCCCGAGGGACUCCACGCAAAAACUUCGGCGUUUGUGCGAAGAAAGUCGACGAGCACUGCUUCCUAUUUGGGGUCGAGCUCGGAGCCGAUCCGGACUUGCUUGCAGGCGUCGUUGCUGGGGUCGAGGGUGACGGUCUUAACUGCCUCGGCCGGCUUGAAGUUGCCGGCGUGGCGCUUCGCAUCAGGCACCUCCUUGGAGAGGCACUCCAGGUCGGCGAUGAGGGCCUCGGACUCGGCGAGGGCCUCAGCGUACUCCACACACUCCACGUCGCAUUCGUACGCAUGUUGGUACGUGGAUCCGACGGUGAUGACCCCAUUGGGGCCUGACAUCUUGAGCUUGAGGUAGGUGUAGUUGGGGACAACCAUGAACUUGGCGUAGCACGGUCUCCCCAGCACCGCGUGGUAGGUUCCUCGGAACCCGACCACCUCGAACAUGAGGGUUUCCCUGCGGAAGUUGGAGGGAGUUCCGAAGCAGACGGGCAGAUCGAGUUGUCCAAGGGGCUGGACGCGCUUCCCGGGGAUGAUCCCGUGAAAGGGCGCUGCACCGGCCCGGAUCAUGGACAGAUCGAUCUCCAAGAGCCCGAGGGUCUUGGCGUAGAUGAUGUUGAGGCUGCUGCCUCCGUUCAUGAGGACCUUGGUGAGCCUAGUGUUGCCGAUGACGAGGUCGACAACGAGCGGGUACUUUCCCGGGCUCGGCACGCAGUCGGGGUGGUCGCCUUGGUCGAAGAUGAUGGGCUUGUCGGACCAAUCUAGGUAGACUGGUGCUGCCACCUUUACCGAGCAGACCUCCCGGCGCUCCUGCUUGCGGUGCCAAGCCGAGGCGUUCGCCACUUGCCCACCAUAGAUCAUGAAACAGUCGUGGACCUCGGGGAACUCCUCUGCCUUGUCGCCCUCCUUCUUGUCAUUGUCUUGGCCUUUGCCACCUUCCGCCGGGGCCCCGACCUUAUAGAAGUAGCACCGAAGCAUGACACAUUCCUCAAGGGUGUGCUUGACGGGACCCUGGUGGUAGGGGCACGACUCCUUGAGCAUCUUGUCGAACAGGUUGGCCCCUCCGGGAGGCUUCCGAGGGUUCCUGUGUUCGGCAGCAGCGACAAGAUCUGCGUCGGCGGCGUCGCGUUUCGCUUGCGACUUCUUCUUGGCCUUCUUCUUCGUGACACGCUGGGCGGACGCCUCGGGAACGUCUUCCUGCUGGCGCCCCUGAGGCUGCUUGUCCUUCCGGAAGAUGGCUUCGACUGCCUCCUGACCAGAGGCGAACUUGGUGGCUAUGUCCAUCAACUCGCUCGCCUUGGCAGGAGUCUUGCGGCCCAGUUUGCUCACCAGGUCGCGGCAAGUGGUGCCGGCGAGGAACGCCCCGAUGACAUCCGAGUCGGUGAUGUUGGGCAGCUCGGUGCGCUGCUUCGAAAACCGCCGGAUGUACUCUCGCAGGGAUUCCCCUGGCUGCUGGCGGCAGCUUUGGAGAUCCCAGGAGUUCCCAGGGCGCACGUACAUGCCCUGGAAGUUUCUAGCGAAGGAUUUGACCAGAUCGUCCCAGUUGGAGAUCUGCGCAGGAGGCAGAUGCUCUAGCCAGGCUCGGGCGGCGUCAGAGAGGAACAAGGGGAGGUUGCGGAUGAUGAGGUUGUCAUCGUCCGUUCCACCCAACUGGCAGGCCAGCCGGUAGUCCGCAAGCCACAACUCCGACCUUGUUUCCCCUGAGUACUUAGUGAUGGUAGUCGGGGCCCAGAACCGGGUCGGGAACGGCGCCCGUCUUAUGGCCCGGUUGAAGGCUUGCAGACCUGGUGGUUCGGGCGAGGGGCUCCGAUCCUCCUCACUGUCGUAGCGUCCCCCACGCCUGGGGUGGUAGCCUCGGCGCACCUUCUCGUCGAGGUGGGCUCGACGGUCGCGGCGGUGGUGCUCGUUGCCGAGGCGACCCGGGGCUGCAGGCGUCGCGUCCCGCAUGCGCCCGGUGUGGACCGAAGCCUCCCGCAUGAAUCGGGAAGUUGCUGCACGAUGCUCUGGGGGGCACCCUUGCCUUCGGGAGGCAGAGCUUUCGGCCCGUCGGACUGUGGCAUCCUCUAGGAGAUUCUUGAGUUCUCCCUGGAUACGCCGCCCAUCAGUGGUGGAUGGCUCCGACAUCGCUCGGAGUAGUAUCGCCACUGCAGCCAGAUUCUGGCCGACCCCGCUGGAGGCCGGGGGCAGCCUUGCCCUGGCAUCGUCAACGAUACGGCGCUGGACGUCCCGGGCCUGAUGACGUGCUUCUCCGGCGAGUGCUCGGCCUACCCACUCCUGCUCGAUGUUUUGCAGGAGCUGCACAAGUUGCCCUGCUUCCUCGUCGAGCUUGGCCUGCAUCUCGCGGAUUUGCUCGAGCUGUGUGUCCUGACCCCCCGCAGGGACUAGGACCACAACUAGCUCCCACAGGAUGUCAAGGCGAGGCGCAUGCCUAGGGGAAUCGUCAUCCUCUGGCAUACCGAGGUGGUUGCCUUCGUCGUGACCCCCUAGAUCGACGUGGAAACAUUCGCGACUUGGGCCACAACCCUCAUCGUCAAGGCUGUGGCCAUCAUCGGAGAGGCAGUAGUCGCAUGCGGUCAUGAAGUCUCGCAUGGCACUGGGAUUACCGAGCCCGGAGAAAUCCCAACCAAAGUCGGGCUCGUCUUCUUCCUCGAAACCUGGGGGCCCGUAGGUUGAGACGGCCGUCACUCGGUCCCAGGUUGACCACAUAUGGUACCCUGGAAGGUUAGGAUACGCCUUAAUGAAAGCGCUCACCGAAGCGGGGUCGUUUGGUGGAUCGAAGCUGAAUCUAAAAGGCACAGGGUGGAAAACGGACGGUACCUCUCGAUCGAUGGACGGUGACGAGGUCGCGUCGGGGACGGACUGCACCGUUAUUUCAGGUACAAGGCUAACGCCCAGCAAGCCCUUUGCGAGAGUGCUGGCGUCAUCUGUCCGCCUGGGGUUGGCAUGUUGCGGGAAACGACACUCGUCGUUGUCUCAGGCGCGAGGACAACGCCCAACAUGUCCCCCGCUGGGGUGUCGGCGUCGUCGACUCGCUCGACAGCCGACGAGAUGCUGCCUCCUGCCUGGCCACGAUUGCCCCGUCUCCUCCUCUUGCGGUGAGGAGGGUGGCAGGACAAACCUGGAUGCUGCUCUUCCGCCACGGGGGGAAGACGUCGUCGAGUUCGCCAGCGUCGGGCGAGCUGACGGCCGUCAUUGUCGCUGUCGCGCUGCGGAGGGAGGAGUACCAUGUCGUAGCUGCCGUCGAGGGACAUGAACUCGAGGCUCCCGAAGCGGAGCAGCGUCCCGGGCUGAAGAGGUUGCUGGAGGCUACCCAUCUGGAAAUCAACGGGAAGUUGUUCGUCAACACGCAGCAGGCCCCUACUUGGCGCGCCAACUGUCGACGUUUCGACCCCGGGGGGGUCCCUGGACCGAUGAGUAAAAUUGUCGCUGCGUGUCCCAGCCCAGAUGGGUUGGCGCGAGAUGGAACACAAGGGGGGAAAACACGGCUCGUGUUAUCCUGCGCCAGGGGGAUGCGCUCGUAGUAGGGGUUACAAGCGUUCACGAGGGAGAGAGAGUGAGCCUGUUCGUUAGCCCGUCCUCCCGCGCGACCCUCCCGCAUGAGGGCCCUGGACCUUCCUUUUAUAGAUGCAAGGAGAGGGUCCAGGUGUACAACGGAGGUGUAGCUAUGCGCUAACGUGUCUGAUAGAGAGGCGUCUGAGCCCUGUGUACAUUCCAACGUGGCUGUUGGAGAGGUGCUAGAGCUCUGUGUACGCAGUAUCGUGGCUGUCGGAGGAGCGCUUGAGCCCUGUAGAAGCACAGCUGUCGGGGCUCCUGGGAUCUUGCUGACGUCUCCUUGCUUUCGUAGGGGGCUGAGAACCACCGUCGUCAUGGACGCACGCGGGGAGCUAUCAUUACUUGUUACCAGGGCGAGCCUGGAUGGGACGCUGGUCUUGUUCCCCCGUAGCCUGAGCUAGCUAGGGGUAGGGUAAUGAUAUAUCCCCCGUGGCAUGGUCGGUCCGAGCCCAAGGUUGGGCGAGGCGGAUACUCCUCCUGAGGCCGAGGCUGGGGUCGGGCGAGGACGCGAUUCCUCCCGAGGUCGAGGUUGAGGCCGAGCCCUGGGGUCGGGCGAGGCGGAGACCACCCUCCGAGGCCGAGGUUCAGGCCGAGCCCUGGGGUCGGGCGAGGCAGAGUCCUCCUUCCAAGGCCGAGGUUGAGGCCGAGCCCUAGGGUCGGGCGAGGCGGAGCUUCCUGUUGCGCCCGAGGCUGAACUUGGCUGUUGCCAGCCUCACUCUGGCGGGUGGCACAGUAGUCGGAGCGGGGCGAGCGGCGCUGUUUUCCUGUCAGGUCGGUCAGUGGGAGGGCGAAGUGACUGCGGUCACUUCGACCUUGCCGACUGAGGCACACGUGUUAGGAUAAGGCGUCAGGCGAUCCUCGCAUUGAAUGCGUCUGUGAUACGGUCGGUUGGUGAGGCGAUUUGGCCAAGGUUGCUUCACAACGAAGCCUGCCUGAGCUGGUCUUCGGGCGAGUCGAGGGUGCGCCCGUUGCUUGAGGAGGCCCUCGGGCGAGGCGUGAAUUCGCCUGGGACUACUGUUCCUGCCCGAGGCUGGGCUCGGGCGAGGCGAGAUCGCGUCCCUUGAGUAGACGAAGCCUUGACCUGAAUUGCGCCCAUCAGUCUCUGCAGCUUGUGCUGAUGGUGGUUACCAGCUGUGUUUAGGAGUGUUGGGGGUACCCCUAAUUACGGUACCCGACAAGAGGCUAAACUAGAACUAAACUAGAACUACUCCUAAUGCCUAAGGUAAAAACGAGAGAUAAAUUGAUUAUUGAUUCGAUUGCUGAUGUUUAAUCGGCCGUAUUCCUCUAUAUUUAUAGAGCAGGGGGCUAGACCCGUUACAAACUAAUCUCCGAGUUAAUUCCACGAAUCUAGCCAACAACUGUAGCAAGAAACUCAGAACCCUAACUGACUCUGCACGCGCGGCCGUCCGGCCUCGGGGCCGGACCGUCCGCAGGGACAUUUUGCCUUCCAACAUAUGCCCCCUGCCUUUUGGCUGAGCGAACCAAAAGCAACUAACUCGAUGUGAUCACAUCAAUUUUCUUAGGCAUUUUGCCACAUACUAGGAUGAUACUGCUUGAGAAAACACGCGUUUAACGACUUAGGAAAGUCUUUGCCUUGUAAUGUUUGCAGCAAGUAGGCAUUACCGGACAUCACCUGCGUGACUUUGUAAGGGCCUUCCCAGCUUGACGACCACUUCCCAAACUUCCGGUGUUUGCUCCUCAGAGGCAGGACAGUCUUCCAUACCAGGUCCCUUACCUGGAAUGAUUUAGCCUUGACCUUCUUGUUGUAAGCUUUGGCGACCAUGAUCUUGUUCUUUUCUAUUUCUCCUAAGGCCGUCACUCUCUUGUCGAUCACUUCAUCAAUAUUGUCCAUCACAGAAUUAUAAUAAUCACCGAUAGUCAGAUCAUUUUGCUUGGCGAACCUGACAACAUUUAAACUUAUCUCUACAGAUAACACUGCUUCCUGCCCAUAGACAAGCUCAAACGGAGAUACUUUAGUAGCACGAUGUUUAGAUAUUCUGUGAGCCCAUAAAGGUUCGGACAAAAUCCUAUGCCAAUGCUUAGGAUGAUCAGACAUCUUCUUUUUUAUCAGGCUAAUCAAUGUCCUAUUACUAGACUCGGCCUGUCCAUUGGCCUAAGCAUAAUACGAAGAUGAAUUGAGUAACUUAAUUCUAUAUAAUUCAGCAAACUCAUGUACCUCCUUUGACAUAAAAGAAGCCCCCUGGUCUGUAGUAAAAGUCCGGGGAAUGCCGAAUCUAUGAAUAAUAUGCUUAAUUAUGGACUCAAUUACCUCCCUGUGUGUCAUGUUCUUCAGAGCAACGACUUCAGUCCAUUUGGUAAAGUUGUCAGUGGCAACUAACACAAACCGAUGCCCUUUUGAUGAUGAAGGAUGAAUCUCUCCUAUAAAGUCCAAUCCCCAUCCUCUGAAAGGCUAAGGCUUAAUGAUAGGAUGUAAUUCGGCUGCAGGGACCAACUGUAAGUCGCCAAAUUUUUGACAUACUUAGCAUCCUUUGUAGUACUUGAAAUAAUCAGCUAUCAUGUUAGGCCAAUAGAAGUCAGACCUUCGUAAUAACCAUUUCAUCUUUAAAGCUGAUUGGUGGGUACCACAAAUCCCUUCAUGUACUUCAGCCAUGGCUAAUAUAGCAUCACCUAGGUCCAAGCAUGUAAGCAGGACAUCGUUGACUGUUCGGCGGUAGAGUUCAUUACUCAUUAAAACAUACUUGAAAGCUAUACACCGAAUGUUCUUAUCCAUCCUAACACUGGGAUUUCAUAGAUAAUUAAUUAUGUGUGUCCUCCAUUCGCUUGCAUCAGCUUCAUUACCAGCCGAAUCAAUCAGGAGAACUUUCCUGGUAACCCCGCGCGGUCCGGAGCCUUCACCCGGACUGUCCGCGACCUGGGGAAUUGGCCCUGUAUCGGUUCCCAGAUUUUCAGUGUUGUGAAAUUUUCCUCGCUUUAUCCGAUAACCUGAUGCAUCUUGUGCCAAAUUGUUAGCUCUAUGAUUCUCGACUCUAGAGAUGUGUCAAAUGCUAAAUUCAUCAAAAGAAAGAAUUAUGCCCCAACAUUUUUCAAGGUAUCUAUUUAGAGUACCAUCAAAACAUUGAUACUCUUCUAAUAACUGUUGGACAACCAGCUGACCUGAGAAUCACCAAAUGCCUUCACAUGUUUUACUCCCAUACAAUUUAAAAGUUCCAAGCCAAAUAAAAGGGCCUCAUAUUCGGCUUGAUUGUUAGUGUAAUAAGUUUUUAAUCGACUAGAGAAGUCGAAGGAGCCAUUACUUGGUGAAACAAGCACGAUGCCAAUUCCUUGUCCUUCAUUGCAAACCGAUCCAUCAAAACAUAAAGUCCAGGGAGUAACAAUGUGGUAUGAUAUGUCUAGUUUAUGAGUAUCAUCAAUCCGAUGUUCUACAAUAAAAUCUUCUACGACCUAGCCUUUCAUAGAUUUCAAUGGUUCAUAGGCCAAGUCAUAUUCUACGAGUGCAUAAGCCCAUUUACCAAUUCUACCACUAAUAAUCGGGUUUUGCAACAUGUAUUUGAUCACAUCGGUUUGACCAACAACGAUGCUAUGACUAGACAGUAAAUAACAUCUACACUUGGUGAUGCAUAAAACAGGCAUAAGCAUAAUUUCUCGAUAAAAGUGUACCUCGUUUCAGCAUCCACCAGCCUCCGACUUAGGUAGGUUACCACAUGCUCCUUUCCUUCGGUCUCUUGUGUCAGAAUAGUUCUAAUAACCUUAUCUUCAGCUGCAAUGUAUAAUCUGAACGGUACUCCUACCUGUGGUGCUUUUAACACGGGAGCCGAAGACAAAUACUUUCUGAUGAGAUCAAAUGCUUCCUGCUGUUCUGCCUCCAGGUGAAUUCGACAUCAUUUUAAGCCGAAGGAUACGAGUGAAGGCAUCAAUCUUCCCAGCUAGGUUAGAAAUAAAGCUCUGUAAAUAAUUUAUCUUGCCAAGGAACUUCUGCACUUCAAGCUUACAGGUCGGAGGUCCUACAUUAUAAAUGGAUUUAAUUCGGUCAGGGUCUAUCUCUAUACCGUGUUCGUGAAUGAUGAAUCCUAAUAACUUACAAGCCGACACUCCAAAAGCACAUUUACGUGGGUUCAUUUUCAGACCAUACUGAUGCAUUUUUUAUCAAAGGCUUUGCACAAAUUAGCUAUAUGAGAACUAAACUCAGCCGAUUUGACUACAAUAUCAUCAAUGUAGACUUCCACAGUGUUUCCCAAUAGCUCGUGAAAGAUCAAAUUCAUAGCCCUCUGAUAAGUAGCACCAGCAUUUUUCAAACCAAAUGUCAUGACAACCCACCCAAAUAAACCAAUGAAACCUGGACAUAUAAAGGCUGUUUUAGACGCAUCUUCUUUGGCCAUGAAAAUCUGAUUAUAUCUAACAUUACCGUUAAGAAAGCUAAUAAUUCUAUUUCCUGACGCAUUAUUGAUCAACGUGUCGGCUAUGGGCAUGCGAUAUUCAUCUUUAGGAGUUGCUCUAUUCAAAUUGCGGAAAUCAAUACAUACUCUGAGCUUACCUGAUUCUUUAUUUUCCAUCGGCACAAUAUUGGAGACCCACUCUGCGUAUCUACAAGGUCUAAUAAAAUUAGCUUCUAGUAGCCGGUGAAUUUCGUCAUUUAUUCAUGGUAGUAGGUCUGGACGAAAUGUUCUAGCUUUCUACUUGGAAGGUCUGAAACCAGACUUAAUAAGCAGCCGAUGCUCUACUAUCUCUCGGCUUAAUCCUGGCAUCUCAGUAUAAUUUCAAGAAAAGCAAUCGAAAUAUUCUUUCAAUAGACCGAUUGUUGGGGGCCUUCGUCUUUCGAAAGUCCUCAAAAACAUGAUUAACAUGUUUCCCAAGUAUAAUAUAUGUACAGGAACCUUCGGACUCAGAAUGAAGCUAUACACAAUAUGAAAAGCAUGGUCGGGACGAAGGUUGAACCAGUUCCGAAGCUAUGCGCAGGGAAGCUUCGGCUCAGCAACAGAAAACAGAACCAACUUAAAGAGGAAAAGGCUAUCUAGUCCUCGAUAAAUUGUCCUUAAGUCAAUAGUAAACAUAAAGGGCAUGAAUGUAAUUUUACACAGGCUGCGCCCUAUGCCUAUAAAUAGAUGAACAAUACCCCCGUACUGUUCACGCUGACUUGUAUUCACUCGCGUGUCACACUUGGACUUUUGCCUUCUGUCAAGCUGAAGGUACAAAUGUAAUUCAAUAUUGUUCAUGUUCGUUCAUGAUGAUAUAAUAAAGUUAUAUCAAUGAUGUCAUAUGAUUAUUCAUGUUAUUUCUCAUGUUUCAUACGCUUCUACUUCCAUUAAUAUACAUUAUUGUUGGGGACUUGUCCUUAAAUGCUAUGAAAUAAGAACAAGGCAACAUAGAAAUUGUUAAACGUUAAAGUCCUUCGUCCUCCGAAGCAUUAUUUCCCUUGGGAUAUAAUGAGUUUCGGAUGAAGGUUGUGAGGGACAUACCUUCAUUAGCACAACAAAUAAUGAAGAAGGAUUCUUAUAAAGUAUAAACACUUAAAUAUUAUUAUUAACUCAUUUCUAUUUUAUUAUUAUGGAAAAAUAGAAAUGAUAACAAAUUACAAAUGUACAUUCGGCUUGAAAGAAGGCAAAAGUACAAGCGUGACGCAAAAGCAAAUGCCAAGUCAGCGUGAACAGUACGGGAGUACUGUUCAUCUAUUUAUAGGCACGGGUCGCAGCCCAUGUAAAAUUACAUCCAAGCCCUUUGUAUUUGCUAAUAACUCUAUAGUAAUUCAUCGGGGUCUAGAUAGCCUUUUCCUCUUUAAGUCGGUUUCCUUUUUCCUGUCAUCAUGCCGAAGCUUCCUUCCGCUCAGCUUCGGCUCUGUUUCAUCCUUCGUUCCUCUUGUCCUAAGAGUCCAUGUCUGAAGAGUCCAUGUCCGAAGGUGCCUGCUCAUGUAUUAUACUCCAGAAACAUUGUUAAAUCAUGUUUUUGAGGACCUUCGGAAGCCAAAGGCCCCCAACAGUAGCCCCUCGCAAUAUUAAUUUGUUAGGAUGAUAAAUUUAGAUUGUGAUAUGGACGAAGGCCCUAAGCUGAAGGUCCGAAAAAACACCUUCCCUUUGCUAGAAUAGCAACAGUUAAUGACAAGCGAGACCCUCCCUCUUGCAAUGCCCUGGGCAUAUAAAUAUGAUACGACCGUGAGCUCAUUUGGCACGCUUUCUUGCCAUCUGUACUGCCUGCUUGAAAACAACUCUUUGCCUGCAAACGCUGGUGCUUUCUAGAUUUUUUAGCUUCGGCCCUAAGAACACGUUUUCAGGUUUUUCGAGGAGAUGUCUCAGGAAAAGAAAGCUGUUGCCAAAAUGAAACUGAGCCUUUCUGAGGAGAAGAAUCUGGGCUUCCUUGAAUCGAUAGCAAGAACAAAUACAUAGAAGAUUACUAGAGAAAUUUUAGAAGGCUUAUCUGAAGAUACCGGUGAGAGUGACAGUUAUGAUGUAGAAAGUGGGGGUGAAGACUCCGAAUAUCGACCGUGGCGACCAAGUCACGCAGUCUUCGGAAAAUCGAGUAUUAAACAAAGUAAUCUUGAUAACAUGAGGGGGAGAUAUUUUCGAGACAUGUCUACUGUGAGGGCAGAUGACGGAGAGAGGACUGUGCCUACUCUCGAAGAAAAUGAAGUCGUGAUCUUCCGAAGCUUUUUUUAAAGCUGGGCUUCGGUUCCCCUUAAACAGAUUUGUGGUUGAAGUUCUGAAGAUAUAUCAGGUUUACCUUCACCAACUUACUCCCGAAGCAAUCAUAAGAAUGGGAAUCUUUGUAUGGGCCGUGAAGAGCCAAGGUUUCGAGCCAAAUGCAAAAAGUUUCUGCAAUAUGCACGAGCUAUUAUAUGAGACGAAACCCUGGGGCAAAGAGCAAUAUCAUAACAAUUUUGGCUGUUAUAGCUUCGGUGCUCGAUCUGGGUCAAGCUAUCCCAUGCCAACCUUUCAAAAGAGAUGGCCCGGAGACUGGAUGAAGGAAUGAUUCUAUGUGAAAAACGAUUUGAAGGCACGAGAAGAUAUUAAAGAUAUCAUUAUGCGCCCUAUCUGGCAGCGUUUCGGCCUUCAAAAACCGAAGGUGGAUAUUGACGAGGCAGUCGAAGAAUGUCAGAGGGCCUUCGGCGUAGUUUGCUCUUUCAUCGGGACAAGGGAUUUGAUCCAGGAACACAUAGCCUUCAGAGUGUGGCCACUUGUAGAAAAGUGGGAAAUGCCAAAGGAGACUAUCACCAAAUCUGACGAAGGUGGGUUGGUUAGGCUGAAAUACACCUUCAAGUAUGAAGGUAAGUUUUUUGAACCAGACGAUGAUUGGUUGAAAUGUAUUGAAGCUACAAGUGAUGAACUGCUUGGGCCAUACUCGAAGGCAGAAGAUACUGCACUAUCUGCGGCCUUCGGAGGUCGGAAGAAGAAAAGUCUCAACUGAGUUUUUGAUGCUAUUGGGUUCGUGUACCCUGACUACCGCUACCCGUUACGAGGUCAGAAAAGGAAAGGUGUGGCACCUGUGAAGGAUGUUGCUUCGGCUGCUCCAAGCGAGUCCGCGCUGAAUAGGAAGAAGAUGAAGGUUCUUACUCACCGGUCGCGAUACAUUGAAACGGCUACAGUGCCUGAAUUUGGUGGUGAGACCUCUUCGGCUAACAAAGCCAAAGAAACUGCGCUAAUGCAGAAAACUGAAGGGCUGGCUACAACGCCGAAGGUACCAUUGGUCAAAUUGGGUGAGCCACAGGUCAAGAGAACAAAGUUAUCAGAAAUUACAAGUCCUUCGGCAAAAGUAUCCGUGCCGAAGGCACAAAAAGAUCUUGCAAUUACCCCUAAGAGGAAAAGAAUGGUCCACGUAUUGGAUGUACUGGAAGAAAUAAAAACUUCAAGCUCUACUUCAGGUAAAAUAGCCGAAGCUUCAAAAACGCAAGUUGACAUAAAACAAAUUGAAGCCGAAGCUGUAGAGAGUCAUGCUGAACCCGAAGCUGGGCCCUCAGAGCCCGCCAGAAAGAAAUCCCUGGAAAAAGAAAUGAAAAAGACACUUCAGAACAACUUUUGUCUGAGCAAACUGGUGCUCCCACACCCGAAGCUUAUUUCGAAGCUUCUGAUUAUAUUUUACGACAUGCUUCGGGGAAAAAGCUGACUGAAAAAGGAAAGCGAGAAGCUCAGUUCUACGCCCAAAAAUUGAAAUAUCCGAAGGGGGCGUUGAUUUUUAACGGCAGUGGAGAAGAAUACUUCUUGUAUUGUCUCCCAGACAGCAAGGAGAUCUCUGUCUGCCGGGAGAUGGCAAGAAGCUUCAGAUUCCCUACUCUAGAAGACAGACUAUCAGUGUUAUCAAAAGAUGAAUUGGCCGACAGCUUAGCGUACAACAGCUUAAAGGUGAGAAAAUAAGAUUUUUUGUACAACAGCUGAAAUUCGUUUGCUUAUUCCUAACACCACCACAUUCCUUUUGUAGGGCCUUAUUCUUAGCAAUGCCCUCAGGGCUCAAAAAAGUGCCGAAGACGAGGGAUGUACCAUGGCCUUGAAUAACCUUCGUUCCGAAGUAAUUGAGCUAAGAAACGAAGGACUUGAGAAAGAUAAAAUAUUAAACUCUUUACUUAAUAAAAUAAAAGAAGACGAAGCUACUUCUAAAGCCCAAGCUGAGGCCCAGAAGCGCGAAAUUGAUCUUCGGAAACAGCUGGCAGAAGAAAAAUUAAAAUGUGUAGUUGCCGAAGCUGACCGGGACGCCAGUGAAUACUGGAAAAAUCACUGAGAGAAAACAGUUGUGGAGCUUCGAUCUUCAAAAGAAAGAUGUUAUGAAAAAUCCAUGAAAUGCGUGGAGACAAUUAAGACUAGUUUCGCCAGCGUCGGCGCAUAUUCGAAUGAAGGCAACUUCAUACUGGGAGAUCCUGAAGGUCCAAUCGACUGGAUCAGCGGCGAGGCCAAAGCUUUUGAAGAAAUUUUGAGUGGCCGUGGGGACAUAUGCGCGUUCUCGGGUGCUAGGGGGAUUGCCGCUAUCUUGGAGAGAAGAGGCUGCGAACAUGUGAAAUCCUUGGCGCAAACCGAGGCCGCCUUAUCUGUUGAAGGUAUAAAAGACCCCUCGGUCGAAGCAAGCUUGGUUGGUGGAAAAUUUUUCACCGACAUUUGGGAAAAUGGCGGUCGCGAGAUGGCUCAAGAAAUUAUAAGGAAAAGUGAAAAAGUUAUUCACGAUGCUAGAGAAAUAGCAGAGGCCGCUGAGAAAAGUGUGGAUCUCGAGAGGCGAACAUGUAUUGAUUAAUAACUUUUGACUUUAUGUUGUAAUUUUAUGACUUCGAACUUAUUUACGCUUUGCAUCACUGCCGCACUAUCUCCUCCCCCAGAGCCCGUCGAGCCAUUGGCGAACCCCAAAGCAAAGGAGGAUGAUGAUAUUAUAAAAAUGUCCGAAGCUAUUAUGGAUAAAGUUGUUGAUCAACUAUUGAACGAAGCUGCAGAAGUAGUCUUGAAAGAAGAUUAGCUGUUAUUGUAAAGAUAUUUGGAAUGUAAUAUCUGCUGGACAAUGUGUGUAAUAUUUUAUAAUUUUGAGGUUAAUAUAUAAGCUGUUUAUAAUUCAAUUCUUUACGAUGCAUGAAACUUUACAUACAUACCGUUUUUGAGCCUUCGGCGAAAAAACACCUUCCCUUCUUUUCAUGCUUCGUAAGGAAUAUCCACAUUUGUGAAAAUAUUAUGCUUCGUAAGCAAUAGAUUUCCCCCGAUACUGAAGUUGGCGAAACUGCACUUCUUCAAACUUUAUUUUGUGCCUUGGCAUAAUUUCUUCGAAAACAAUUCCCGAAAGCUAUCAUUGUAUUCCCCUUCUUGUGCCAUUGAUGCAAUAUGAUGUAUGAUGUCAUGUUUGAGCGAAUGAUGUGAUGAUGCUAUGAUAUGCAAUGAUGGCAUUUGUUCCGAAGGUAAACACACAUCCUCACAGUAGAAUACAAUCUCUUUGCCGUUUAUUUUUCGGUAUAUCAGCGUUGACUUUUCGCUGUAAGCCUCCCUUAGGAGCUUCUUCGCCUUUUAUUUCGGCGGUAUCAGCGUUUAUUUUUCGCUGUAAGCCUCCCUUAGGAGCUUCUUCGCCUUUUAUUUCGGCGGUAUCAGCGUUUAUUUUUCGCUGUAAGCCUCCCUUAGGAGCUUCUUCGCCUUUUAUUUUGGCGGUAUCAGCGUUUAUUUUUUGCUGUAAGCUCUGCAUUCCCUUUGGAACGACUUUUGAGCAGAAAACUUACGCUGCGUUCCCUUAAGAACGACUUUUGUUGCUUCGACAAAAACUUGCAGUGUAUUCCUUCGUCAAGACCUUUAGAACUUCGUCGAUGUUUGAAGAAGGUAUAUUCAUUAUGAUAAUGACGAAGCAAUUACAAGAAAUUGAAAACAACAAAAGAACUAAGUUUUCAAUGAUUGCUCUUUAUUGAAAAAGGUAAAUGAUAACAAAUGUAAAAGCUGUUUCAGAGGUUGGAUAUAUCUUAGUAGAUGUGCUUCGAUUCUGGCAUAGUACUGUUGAUUGUGCGAGCUUCGGACUUCUCCCUAAAGUCUCGCUGCUGGUGAUUGUGCUGGCUCCCUUCUGGCUGCUGGCCUUGGGGAUAAGUGGGUUGCAUUGGUGGUGGAGGUGGGGGCUGUUGCCAAGAUGCCUGAGGUUGGCUUGCCGAAGCAACAGAAACUGCAGGAUGGUUACCCACAUACUAUUGAAUGUAUGGUGAGUGGUACGAAGCAGUAUGCAUAACCUGCUUUGGCUGGCUCUGUUGGGCUGCAGCUUCUGCUAUCUCUUUCUGUUUUUGGAUGGUGACAUGGCACAUCCUUGUAGUAUGGCCCUUGUCCUCACCGCAGAAUAGGCAAUAAAUCUUCCUCGGCUGAUCCCCAAACCUUCCUCCGAAGCCCCUGGCGCCUCUGCCCCUUGGAGCUGGCGGCCGAAGGUAGCUUUGUUGCUGCCCCGAAGCUUGCGAGGAACAUUGUGGCCUCCGUUGCUGGCUUCCUCUGUUGUCAUUCUGGGUGGAAUGGAUUGAUCUGACAUGCCUUGGAUGGAUCCUCCCUCCGAAGCCCCUGGUUAUCUCGGAGAAUCUGUAAGCCUCCUCCCUUCUUUGACGAAAGUCAUUAUCAGCGCGGAUAUAUUCAUCCAUCUUCUGAAGCAACUUCUCUAGGGUCUGAGGGGUCUUCCUAGCGAAGUAUUGGGCCACAGGUCCUGGCCGAAGUCCCUUGAUCAUGGCCUCAAUGACAAUUUCAUUGGGCACUGUUGGUGCUUGUGCCCUCAAACGCAAGAACCUUCGGACAUACGCCUGAAGGUACUCUUCGUGAUCUUGUGUGCACUGGAACAAAGCUUGAGCAGUAACCGGCUUCGUCUGAAACCCUUGGAAACUGGUAAUCAACAUGUCCUUCAGCUUCUGCCAUGAUGUGAUUGUUCCUGGCCGAAGAGAGGAGUACCAGGUUUGUGCAACAUUCUUGACUGCCAUGACGAAAGAUUUCGCCAUGACUGCAGUAUUGCCUCCAUAUGAAGAUAUGGUGGCUUUGUAGCUCAUCAGAAACUGCUUCGGAUCUAAGUGUCCGUCAUACAUGGGGAGCUGGGGUGGCUUGUAUGAUGGGGGCCAAGGUGUAGCCUGCAGUUCUGCUGACAGAGGAGAAGCAUCAUCAAAAGCAAAAUUUCCAUGAUGGAAAUCUUCAUACCAUUCAUCCUCGUUGUAGAAGCCCUCUCGAUGAAGCUCCCUAUGUUGGGGCCUUCGCUCUUGCUCAUCUUGAGCAAGAUGGCGUACUUCUUCUGUAGCUUCGUCGAUCUGCCUCUGAAGGUCGGCCAGUCGAGCCAUCUUCUCCUUCUUCUUUUGUACUUGUUGAUGAAGCAUCUCCAUGUUCCUGAUUUCUUGGUCCAACUCGUCCUCCUGGGGCGUUGGACUAGUGGCCUUUCUCUUCUGGCUUCGGGCCUCUCGAAGAGAAAGGGUCUCCUGGUUUGGAUCCAGCGGCUGCAGAGCGGCAGCCCCUGUCGCUGAAGAUUUCUUUGGUGGCAUGACGAAGGUCAAUGCCUGCCGAAGGUGGUCGAGAAGGGUUCAUCGGAGGUGGGCGCCAAUGUUGGGGACUUGUCCUUAAAUGCUAUGAAUUAAGAACAAGGCAACACAGAAAUUGUUAAACGUUAAAGUCCUUCGUCCUCCGAAGCAUUAUUUCCCUUGGGAUAUAAUGAGUUUCGGACGAAGGUUGUGAGGGACAUACCUUCAUUAUCACACCAAAUAAUGAAGAAGGAUUCUUAUAAAGUAUAAACACUUAAAUAUUAUUAUUAACUCAUUUCUAUUUUAUUAUUAUGGAAAAAUAGAAAUGAUAACAAAUUACAAAUGUACCUUCGGCUUGAAAGAAGGCAAAAGUACAAGCGUGACGCAAAAGCAAAUGCCAAGUCAGCGUGAACAGUACGGAAGUACUGUUCAUCCAUUUAUAGGCAUGGGUCAGAGCCCAUGUAAAAUUACAUCCAAGCCCUUUGUAGUUGCUAAUAACUCUAUAGUAAUUCAUCAGGGUCUAGAUAGCCUUUUCCUCUUUAAGUCGGUUUCCUUUUUCCUGUCAUCAUGCCGAAGCUUCCUUCCGCUCAGCUUCGGCUCUGUUUCAUCCUUCGUUCCUCUUGUCCUAAGAGUCCAUGUCCGAAGAGUCCAUGUCCGAAGGUGCCUGCUCAUGUAUUAUACUCUAGAAACAUUGUUAAAUCACAUUUUUAAGGACCUUCGGAAGCCGAAGGCCCCCAACAACUAUGAUGAUGAAGGUACGUCCUUCAUAACCUUCGUUUGAAGAUCAUUAUAUCCUAAGGGAGAUAAUGCUUCGAAGGACGAAUGACUUUAACCACUAAUGUUUUGUGUUGCCUUGUUCUUAACUCAUAGCAUUUGAGAAUAAGUCCCCAACAUUGGCGUCCACCUCCGGUGAACUCAUUCGACCACCUUCGGCAAGCUGUGACCUUCGUCAUGCUGCCGAAGAAAGCUUCAGGGCAACGGGCUGCACCGCAGCCACUAGAUGUCAACUAGGACACACUGCGCGAAGCUCGAACUCAAAAUAGGAAGGCUACAAGUCCAACACCUCAAGAGGAGGAGCUGGACCAGGAAAUAAGGGACCUCAAAGCUAUCCAUCAAUAAGUCAAAAGGAAGAGAGAGAAGGUGCUUCGUCUUUCCGAUCUACAGAAGAAGAUCGACGAGGCUGCUGAAGAAAUACGUCAUCUCACUCAAGAUGACCAGGAUUGAAGACCUCCACAAAGAGAGCUUCAUCAGGACAAUUCCUACAAUGAUGAUGAUUGGUAUGACGAUUUCCAUCAUGGAAAUUUUGCUUUUGAUGAUGCUUCUCCUCUGUCAGCAGAACUGCAGGCUACCCCAUGGACCCCAUCAUACAAGCCACCUCAGCUCUCCAUGUAUGAUGGACACUCAGAUCCGAAGCAGUUUCUGAUGAGCUACGAAGCAACCAUAUCUUCAUAUGGGGGCAAUACCGCAGUCAUAGCGAAGUCCUUCGUCAUGGCAGUCCAAAGUGUGGCCCAGACAUGGUACUCUUCUCUCUGGCCAGGGACAAUCACGUCAUGGCAGAAGCUUAAGGACAUGCUGGUCACCAGUUUUCAAGGGUUUCAGACGAAGCCAGUCACUGCUCAGACCUUGUUCUAGUGCACACAAGACCAUGAGGAGUACCUUCAGGCGUAUGUCCGAAGGUUCUUGCGUCUGAGAGCACAAGCGCCCACAGUGCCCAAUGAAAUCGUCAUUGAGGCCAUGAUCAAAGGUCUUCGGCCAGGGCCUACGGCUCAAUACUUUGCCAGAAAACCCCCUCAGACUCUGGAGAAGCUGCUUCAGAAAAUGUACGAGUACAUCCGGGUCGACAAUUAUUUUCGCCAAAGAAGGGAGGAAGCUUAUAGGUUUUCUGAGAUGACUAGGGGCUUCGGAGGACGAAUCCACCCUAGGCAUGUCAGAUCAAUCUACAACUCCAGUCAGUGUGAUGACAGAAGCGGCCAGCUUCAGAGGCCACAACACAGCUCACAGUCUUCAGGGCAGCAACAGAGCUCCUUCAGGCCACCAGCUCCAAGAGGCAGAGGCGGCAGGGGCUUUGGAGGAAAAUAUAGGGAUUAGCCCAGAAAAAUCUAUUACUUAUUCUGCGGUGAAGACAAGGGUCACACUACAAUAACGUGUCAGAUCACCAUUCAGAAGCAAAAAGAGAUUGCCGAUGCAGAAGCCCGACAGAAUCAGCCGAAGCAGGUCUUACAUACUGCUUCGUGCCACUCUCCCUACAUACCAAAAUAUGUGGGCAAUCAACCUACAGCUUCUGUUGCUUCGGCAAGCCAUUCACAAGCUUCCUAACCACAACUCCCACCGCCACCACCAUUGCAACCUACUUAUACCCGAAGCCAGCAGCCAGAAGGGCGCCAGCACCCCCAAUAGCAACGUGACUUCAGGGAGGAGUCCGAAGCUCGUACAGUCAACAACACUGUACCAGAAUCAAAGCACAUAUACUGAGCAAUAUCCUACUUCUGAAAUACUUUUACUUUUUACGCCAUUUUGCUUUCUGUAUGAGGAACAAGUAAUGAAAACUUAGUUUUAAUUUCUUGCAAUGAUUCUGCCUGCACCAGAAUUGCCGGGGACCAUAAUUAGGGGUACCCUCAAGACUCCUAAUUCUCAGUUGGUAACCCCAUCAGCAUAAAGCUGCUAAGGCCUGAUGGGUGCGAUUAAGUCAGGGAUCAGUCCAUUCGAGCGACUCGAUCACGCCUCGCCCGAGCCUAGCCUCGGACAAGGGCAGCCGACCCUAGAGGAUUUCCGUCUCGCCCGAGGCCCCUCUCCGACGGCGAACAUAUUUCCGGCUCGCCCGAGGCCCUGCCUUCGCUAAGAAGCAACCCUGACUAAAUCGCCGCACCGACCGACCAAAUCGCAGGAGCAUUUAACACAAAGGUGGCCUGGCACCUUUAUCCUGACGCGCGCCCCCCGGCAGAGCCGAAGUGACCGCCGUCACUUCGCCGCUCCACUGAUCGGCCUGACAGAAGGACAGCGCCACCUGCGCCACUCCGACUGCAGUGCCGCUUGACAGAGUGAGACUGACAGGCAGUCAGGCCCUGCCAAAGGCACCAUAGGAAGCUCCGCUUCGCCCGACCCAGGGCUCGGACUCGGGCUAAAUCCCGGAAGACGGCGAACUCCGCUCCGCUCGACCCAGGGCUCGGACUCGGGCUAAGUCCCGGAAGACGGCGAACUCCGCUUCGCCCGACCCAGGGCUCGGACUCGGGCUAAGUCCCGGAAGACGGCGAACUUCGCUCCGCCCGACCCAGGGCUCGGACUCGGGCUCAGCCCCAGAAGACGACGAACUCCGCUUCGCCCGACCCCAGGGCUCGGACUCCGCCCUGGCCUCUGCCGACGACCUCCGCCUCGCCCGACCCAGGGGCUCGGACUCGGCCUCGGCCACGGAAGACAGACUCGACCUCGGCUUCGGAGGAGCCUCCACAUCGCCCAACCUAGGGCGCAGGCCAGCCACGUCAACAGGAGGCGCCAUCAUCACCCUACCCCGAGCUGACUCGGGCCGUAGGGAACAAGACCGGCGUCCCAUCUGGCUAGCUCCGCCAGAUCGGCAAUGAUGGCGCCCCGCAUACUCUAUGACGACGGCGGCUCUCAGCCUCCUUACAGAAGCAAGAGGACGUCAGCAAGGACCCAACCGCUCCGACAGCUGUCCCUCCGCUAGGCUCCAUCGCUCCUCCGACGGCCACGACAUCACACCAGCUGGGUGCCAAAAUCUCUCCGGCUGCCACAACGGCAUGUACUUAGGGCGCUAGCUCUCCUCCGCUAGACACGUAGCACUCUGCUACACCCCCCAUUGUACACCUGGAUCCUCUCCUUACGCCUAUAAAAGGAAGGACCAGGGCCCUCUUAGAGAAGGUUGGCCGCGCGGGGACGAGGGCGAGACAGGCGCUCGCUUGGAGCCGCUCGCUCCCUCUCCCGCGUGGACGCUUGUAACCCCCUACUGCAAGCGCACCCGACCUGGGCGCGGGACGAACACGAAGGCCGCGGGAUUCCCACCUCUCUCACGCCGGUCUCCGGCCGCCUCGCUCUCCCCCUUCGCGCUCGCCCUCGCGCUCGACCCAUCUGGGCUGGGGCACGCGGCGACAUUCACUCGUCGGCCCAGGGACCCCCCGGUCUCGAAACGCCGACAGUUGGCGCGCCAGGUAGGGGCCUGCUGCGUGUUGACGAACAGCUUCCCGUCAAGCUCCAGAUGGGCAGUCUCCAGCAACCUCUCCAACCCGGGACGGUGCUCCGUUUCGGGAGUCUUGAGUUCAUGUCCCUCGGCGGCGGCUACGACAUGAUACUCCUUCCACCGCCGUGCGACAACGACAAUGGCGACCGACAGCCCGCCCGCCGGCGGCGGAAUCGACGACGUCUUCCCCGCGUGGCGGAAGAACAACCUUCGAGCUCGUCCCGCCUUCUUCCCCGCCGACGGAGGGGAAGGCAGGGCAACCAAGGCCAAGCAGGAGGCAGCGCCUCGUCGGCUGUCGAGCGAGGCGACAGCGCCGGCACCCCAACGGGGGGUGCACCGGGUAUCGACUUCGCGCUUGAGACGAAGACGAGCGCCGUCUCCCCGCGACACGCCAAUCCCGAGCAAGCGGACGACGCUAGCGUGCUCGCGAAAAGCUUGCUGGACGUCGCCCUCGUACCUGAGACGACGGUGCAGUCAGUCCCCGACGUGACUUUAUCGCCGCUCGUCGACCAAGAGGUACCGACCGAUUCCCAUCCCACGUCAUUUGGAUUCAGCCUCAACCCGCCUAGCGACCUCGCUUUGGCGGGCGCUCUCGUAGAGGCGAGUCCAAACCCUCUGGGGUUUCGCAUGCGGUCGCCUUGGGACCGGUUGACGGACGUCUCGACCUACGGGCCCUCUGGGUCCGAGGAAGACGACGAGCCCAGCAUCUGUUGGGAUUUCUCUGGACUUAGCAACCCCAGUGCCAUGCGGGACUUCAUGACCGCAUGCGACUACUGCCUCUCCGACUGUUCCGACGGUAGUCGCAGCCUCGGCGACGAGGACUGCGGCCCAAGCCGCGAAUGCUUCCACGUCGAUCUAGGGGGUCCCUCCGAAGGCAAUCAUCUCGGCAUGCCGGAGGACGGUGAUCUCCCUAGGCCGGUGCCCCGCGUUGACAUCCCACGGGAGCUAGCUGUGGUCCCCGUUCAGGCGAGGGGCCAUGACCCACAGCUCGAGCAAAUCCGCGGGGUGCAGGCCAGGCUCGACGAGGGAGCAGGAGCGCUUGAGCCGAUCCGCCGGGAUGUCGGGCAGGCAUGGGCGGGCCAACCCCUGGCCGGAGAAAUACGUCAUCUGCCCUAGGGCUUCCAGCACCGCGUCGCCGACGACGUCAGGGUCAGGCCGCCACCCGCAUCUAGUGGGGUCGGCCAGAACCUGGCCGCAGCAGCGAUGCUUCUCCGCGCGAUGCCGGAGCCAUCAACCACUGAGGGUCGGCGAAUCCAGGGGAGCUCAAGAAUCUCCUGGAAGGCGCUGCGGCCCGAUGGGCCGAGAGCUCUGCCUCCCGAAGGCAGGGGUACCCCUCGGAACCUCAUGCCGCGACUUCCCGAUUCAUGCGGGAAGCCUCGGUCUACACUGGGCGCACGCGCAACACCGCGCCUGCGGCUCCAGGCCGCCUCAGCAACGAGCGCCAUCACCGCGACCGUCGGGCCCACCUCGACGAGAGGGUGCGCCGAGGCCACCACCCCAGGCGUGGGGGACGCUACGACAGCGGGGAGGAUCGGAGUCCCUCGCCCGAGCCACCCGGUCCGCAGGCCUUCAGCCGGGCCAUCCGACGGGCACCGUUCCCGACCCGGUUCCGACCCCCGACUACUAUCACGAAGUACUCGGGGGAGACGAGACCGGAACUGUGGCUCGCGGACUACCGUCUGGCCUGCCAACUGGGUGGAACGGACGACGACAACCUCGUCAUCCGCAACCUCCCCCUGUUCCUCUCCGACACCGCUCGCGCCUGGUUGGAGCACCUGCCGGCAAUUUCCAGGGCAGAUCCAACUGGGACGACCUAGUCCAAGCUUUCGCCGGCAAUUUCCAGGGCACGUACGUGCGCCCCAGGAAUUCCUAGGACCUCCGAAGCUGCCGGCAGCAGCCGGGAGAGUCUCUCCGGAACUACAUCCGGCGAUUCUCGAAGCAGCGCACCGAGCUGCCCAGCAUCACCGACUCGGAUGUCAUCGGCACGUUCCUCGCCGGCACCACCUGCCGCGACCUGGUGAGCAAGUUGGGUCGUAAGACUCCCACCAGAGCGAGCGAGCUGAUGGACAUCGCCACCAAGUUCGCCUCUGGCCAGGAGGCGGUCGAGGCUAUCUUCCGAAAGGAGAAGCAGCCCCAGGGCCGCCCAUCGGAAGAUGCUCCCGAGGCGUCGACUCAGCGCAGCGCCAAGAAGAAAGGCAAGAAGAAGUCGCAAGCGAAACGCGACACCGCCGACGCGGACCUUGUCGCCGCCGCCGAGUACAAGAACCCUCGGAAGCCCCCCGGAGGUGCCAACCUUUUCGACAAGAUGCUCAAGGAGCCGUGCCCCUAUCACUAGGGGCCCGUCAAGCACACCCUUGAGGAGUGCGUUAUGCUUCGGCGCCACUUCCACAGGGCCGGGCCACCCGCGGAGGGUGGCAGGGCCCGCGACGAUGACAAGAAGGAAGAUCACCAAGCAGGAGAGUUCCCCGAGGUCCGCGACUGCUUCAUGAUCUACGGUGGGCAAGCGGCGAAUGCCUCGGCUCGGCACCGCAAGCAAGAGCGCCGGGAGGUCUGCUCGGUGAAGGUGGCGGCGCCAGUCUACCUAGACUGGUCCGACAAGCCCAUCACCUUCGACCAAGCCGACCACCCCGACCACGUGCCGAGCCCGGGGAAAUACCCGCUCGUCGUCGGCCCCGUCAUCGGCGACGUCAAGCUCACCAAGGUCCUUAUGGACGGAGGCAGCAGCCUCAACAUCAUCUACGCCGAGACCCUCAGGCUCCUGCUGUUGACCUGUCCUCCGUUCGAGCAGGCGCUGCGCCCUUCCAUGGGAUCAUUCCCGGGAAGCGCGUCCAGCCCCUCGGACAACUCGACCUUCCCGUCUGCUUCGGAACGCCCUCCAACUUCCGAAGGGAGACUCUGACGUUCGAGGUGGUCGGGUUCCGAGGAAACUACCACGCGGUGCUGGGAAGGCCAUGCUACGCGAAGUUCAUGGCCGUCCCCAACUACACCUACCUGAAGCUCAAGAUGCCGGGCCCCAACGGGGUCAUCACCGUCGGCCCCACGUACAAACACGCGUUCGAAUGCGACGUGGAGUGCGUGGAGUACGCCGAGGCCCUCGCCGAGUCCGAGGCCCUAAUCGCCGACUUGGAAAACCUCUCUAAGGAGGUGCCAGACGUGAAGCGUCAUGCCGGCAACUUCGAGCUAGUGGAGACGGUUAAGGCCGUCCCCCUCGACCCCAGCGGCGACACCUCCAAGCAGAUCCGGAUAGGCUCCGGGCUCGAUCCCAAAUAGGAAGCAGUGCUCGUCGACUUUCUCCGCGCGAACGUGACGUCUUCGCGUGGAGUCCUCGGACAUGCCCGGCAUACGGAGGGAUGUCGCCGAGCACUCACUGGACAUUCGAGCCGGAGCUCGACCCAUCAAGCAGCCUCUGCGCCGAUUCGACGAAGAGAAGCGCAGAGCCAUAGGCGAGGAGAUCCACAAGCUAAUAGCGGCAGGGUUCAUCAAAGAGGUAUUCGAUCCCGAAUGGCUUGCCAACCCUGUGCUUGUGAGAAAGAAAGGGGGGAAAUGGCGGAUGUGUGUAGACUACACUGGUCUCAACAAAGCAUGUCCGAAGGUUCCCUACCCUCUGCCUCGCAUCGAUCAAAUCGUGGAUUCCACUGCUGGGUGCGAAACCCUGUCUUUCCUCGAUGCCUACUCAGGGUAUCAUCAAAUCAGGAUGAAAGAGUCCGACCAGCUCGCGACUUCUUUCAUCACGCCCUUCGGCAUGUACUGCUAUGUCACCAUGCCGUUCGGCUUGAGGAAUGCGGGCGCGACGUACCAGCGGUGCAUGAACCAUGUGUUCGGCGAACACAUUGGCCGCACGGUCAAGGCCUACGUCGAUGACAUCGUAGUCAAGACGAGGAAAGCUUCCGACCUCCUUUCCGACCUUGAAGUGACAUUCCGAUGCCUCAAGGCGAAAGGCGUCAAGCUCAAUCCCGAGAAGUGUGUCUUCGGGGUGCCCCGAGGCAUGCUCUUGGGGUUCAUCGUCUCCGAGCGGGGCAUCGAAGCCAACCCGGAGAAGAUCGCAGCCAUCACCAGCAUGGGGCCCAACAAGGACUUGAAAGGCGUACAGAGGGUCAUGGGAUGUCUCGCGACUCUGAGCCGUUUCAUCUCACGCCUCGGCGAAAGAGGUCUACCUCUGUACCGCCUCUUAAGGAAGGCCGAGUGCUUCACUUGGACCCCCGAGGCCGAGGAAGCUCUCGGGAACUUGAAGGCGCUCCUCACAAAGGCGCCUAUCUUGGUGCCUCCAGCUGCCGGAGAAGCCCUCUUGGUCUACGUCGCCGCGACCACUCAAGUGGUUAGCGCCGCGAUUGUGGUCGAGAGGCAGGAAGAGGGGCAUGCGCUGCCCGUUUAGAGGCCAGUUUACUUCGUCAGCGAGGUACUGUCCGAAACCAAGGUUCGCUACCCACAAGUUCAGAAGCUGCUGUAUGCAGUGAUCCUGACACGGCGGAAGUUGCGACACUACUUCGAGUCUCAUCCGGUAACUGUGGUGUCAUCCUUCCCCCUGGGGGAGAUCAUCCGGUGCCGAGAGGCCUCGGGUAGGAUUGCAAAGUGGGCGGUGAAAAUCAUGGGUGAGAUAAUCUCGUUCGCCCCUCGGAAUGCCAUCAAGUCCCAGGUUUUGGCAGACUUCAUAGCCGAAUGGGUCGACACCUAGCUACCGACGGCUCCGAUCCAACCGGAGCUCUGGACCAUGUUUUUCGACAGGUCACUGAUGAAGACGGGAGCCGGCGCGGGCCUACUCUUCAUCUCGCCCCUCGGGAAACACCUACGCUAUGUGCUACGCCUCCAUUUCCCGACGUCCAACAAUGUGGCUGAGUAUGAGGCUCUGGUCAACGGGUUGCGGAUCGCCAUCGAGCUAGGGGUCCGGCGCCUCGACGCCCGCGGUGACUCGCAGCUCGUUAUCGACCAAGUCAUGAAGAACUCCCACUGCCGCGACCCGAAGAUGGAGGCCUACUGCGAUGAGGUUCGGCGCUUGGAAGACAAGUUCUACGGGCUCGAGCUGAACCAUAUCGCUCGGCGCUACAACGAGACGGCAGACGAGCUGACUAAAAUAGCCUCGGGGCGAACAACUGUUCCCCCGGACGUUUUCUCCCGGGAUCUGCACCAACCCUCCAUCAAGAUCGACGACACGCCCGAGCCUGAGGCGCCCUCGGCCCAGUCCGAGGUACCCUCGGCCCAGCCCGAGGUACCCUCGGCACAGCCCGAGGCACCCUCGGCACAGCCCGAGGCACUCUCAGCUUGGCCCGAGGCGCCCUCGGUUCAGCCCGAGGUACCCUCGGCCCCCGAGGGUGAGGCACUGCGCGUCGAGGAGGAGCGGAGUGGGGCCACGCCUGAUCGAAACCGGCAGACCCCGUACCUGCAAUAUCUCCACCAAGUAGAGCUACCCCUCGACCGAGCCGAGGCUCGGCGGGUGGCGCGGCGCACCAAGUCGUUCAUCUUGCUGGGCGAUGAGAAGGAGCUCUACCACCGCAGCCCCUCAGGCAUCCUCCAGCGAUGCAUCUCCGUCACCGAAGGUCAGGAACUCCUGCGAGAGAUACACUUGGGGGCUUGCGGCCAUCACGCAGCGCCUCGAGCCCUUGUCGGGAAUGCUUUCCGACAAGGCUUCUACUGGCCGACAGCGGUGGCUGACGCCAAUUGUCCGCACCUGCGAAGGGUGUCAAUUCUAUGCGAAGCAGACCCACCUGCCCGCUCAGGCUCUGCAGACGAUACCCAUCACUUGGCCCUUUGCUGUGUGGGGUCUGGACCUCGUCGGCCCCUUGCAGAAGGCACCCGGGGGCUACACGCACCUGCUGGUCGCCAUCGACAAAUUCUCCAAGCGGAUCGAGGUCCGACCUCUGAACAGCAUCAGGUCCGAGCAGGCGGUGGCGUUCUUCACCAACAUCAUCCAUCGCUUCGGGGUCCCAAACUCCAUCAUCACCGACAACGGCACCCAGUUCACCGGCAGAAAGUUCUUGAACUUCUGCGAGGAUCACCACAUCCGGGUGGACUGGGCCGCCGUGGCUCAUCCCAUGUCAAAUGGGCAAGUAGAGCGUGCCAACGGCAUAAUUCUACUAGGGCUCAAGGCUCGGAUCUACAACGACCUCAACAAGUUCGGCAAGCGAUGGAUGAAGGAACUCCCCUCGGUGGUCUGGAGCCUGAGGACAACGCCGAGCCGAGCCACGGGUUUCACGCCGUUCUUCCUAGUCUACGGGGCCGAGGCCAUCUUGCCCACAGACCUGGAAUACGGCUCCCCGAGGACGAGGGCCUACAGCGAUCAAAGCAACCAAGCUAGCCGAGAAGAAUCUAAAGCCUAUGCUUUGAUACCAACUGUAACACCCCAAAGUCCACAAACACCCCGGAAUGCUACUGAACUACACAUCUGACAUCCAUAUAUAAAAUUUCGGCAGCAUCUCCUUUGAAAGAUUGCAUAAACGAGGGGCAACAGUGUAUAAACAUAUAUCAUGACAAAAAACAUACUAAGCAUUAUUAAUAUGCUAGCAAAUGAAAGUUAAACAUAACAACAUGAACUGAAUUAACCAGUGCACACGACUAGAAAAAACAAACAUCAUUUGACAUCGAGUUUCUAAUUAAAUCAUGGCUGCAACUGGGCAGCGUUAUUAUAAUAGUGAAGGUGGACGUGCUGCUACUUCCCUCAUUCCCAACAUGAAUCAAAUACCUGCAUUGAGUAAUGCAAGAGUGAGAUGAUACAUCUCAGCAAGCAAAUUAUUUUGACGAGAUAUUUAAACCACAAAUUGAAUUAAACAACAUUUUAAAGGAAUCCCAAUUGAGAUCAGAAAUACUUGUAGAUAUAGAACUCAAUAGUCCCAAUAUAACCAAUACCAUCUCAUUUCCUCGAACAACCACAAUAGGUUGUAUAACCCUUCCCUGCGUCAACAAUACCUGCAGAUAUCACUUCAAUGUAUGCAUAGGAAUGCAAUGUGUAGGUCAUCUGCCCUCAUACCUCUGAGAGUAUAAAACCACAUCAUCUGCUAAUAUCACUUCAAUGAAUGCAUAUAAAUGCAAUGCAUAUGUCCUCUGCCUUCAUACCUCUAAGGGUAUGAAGCCGCAUCGUACCCCUCCUCGGGCAACGUACGAUGCUAAGUUGUAUCGGUACGGUCGGACCAUAGGUUACGACCAAACUUCAGAUGCAAAUGAAUAAUGUAAUGCAUAUGGCAUGCUGCAUUUAUCAAUAUACUUCACUUCCUUCAGAUACAAAACAAACCUCAAAUAAUACUUCAUCUGCCUUCAGAUACAAUACAAACCUCAAAUAAUACUUUAUCUGCCUUCAGGGUGUAAAUUAAUCUCAUGGGUCAUACUCGAACCAUAAUCAUCAUCAAUAUAUGAUUGAGCAUCAGUAUAAUACAAGCAAGUAAAGCAUCACCAUAGUGUUCAAUUAUGAAAGAAUUCCAUAAUUCUGAAUAUUAGAGCGUAGGCGAUAAAAAAACAACAAGUCAAAACGGUAGCAACCACUGCUACAUUCACUUGCCUUCAUCGAAGAAGAAAGAUGUACUAGGCAUGAUCCGGAGUGUAGCCACCUGCUAGCGGGCAUAAAAAUUAGUACAAAUAUUUCACAAACAUUUGCUAACAAUCAACAAAUCGCUCGUACACUUGAAACCAAAUCCCGGUGGAAAGACUCCCACCCUGAACCACAUGCCAAACAGCAGCAGCGCUGUUUGUUAAUUUUGUAUCUUUAAAAUUAUAACAGUGGUGAUAUUAAACAAAUACUCUAUGAGUGUCUACACAAAAUAUUCUAUAACUUCGGUAUUCAAUGGAUAAUUAAAUUCUGCCAUCUAUAAGUUCUAAAACAUCUGAUAAGAUAAAUGUCUGAAUCUGUUUCAGACAGCAGCAUAGUUAACUUCAAAAUUCAAUAUCUACCAAACUACUCAACCAAAAAUUAUGAAAUUCUGCUGGCAGUAAGAACUUUUAUCCCUCUACAAAUGUCUCCAUAGUUGGAACAGCCAAUUUGGCUAUUUACUAUAUGAAACCUACCAGUGAACAGACCCGCUCAUUUUUGUCAGGCAAACAGGAACAGCCACAGUAAAACAAACAUAACUGGACUUUCAUAAAUCAUAUGAAUGCGCUCUUUAACAAUCUGGAAAGCUUAUGAAAUUGUCUACAACUUCUUUUACAAUCCUAAAGUUUAAUUCUAUUGAUAAAAUUGCCUAAAGCUUAAGAGAACAGAUUCUGUACAGAAUUAUGAGACUGAAAAACUGCUAUAAUCAAACUACAAUAACUUUCUGAUCUGAUAUCCGAUUGAGGUGUUCUUCGCGGCCACGGAAAGAUCUACAAAUUAUCUACGACUCAUAGAUAGACUUUUUAUUUUUUUGAGGCCACUAAGACCACGGAAAACUGGCAUGAACAGAAACUAUUGAAUCUGCCAUUCUGCAGAAACUAAUUUCGAGAUUAAAAUCUAAUCUCCCAUCCAAUCUAACCAAAAAAACUAAUUGCAGGGCCUAAAACUCAUCCAAAACAAGGGAAAGCAUUCAUCAAGUGGAUAAAAGAGAGAGGAAAGGAAAUCCAACCAAUUCUUGGAGAGGAACGACGAUGAUGGGCGACGGUAUGCCCUCAUCUCCCCUCUCUUCUCUUCUUUUUUCUUCCUCUCUUCUCUUGGGGCAAGGCACAAAAGGGUGACGGCUGCUAGGGGUGGGAGGACGUGGCUUCUAGGGUUAGGGAGGUAUAAAUAGAAGAAAACUUCCACAAUCCUAAUAUCCAAUGGCUCAGAUCAACCGGCACUCAAAAAGACUCAUCCGGACUCCAAACAAGGCAAACUAGUGAUUGAUCGGAAUCAUCUUGAUGAGAUCAAUACAUCUACGACCUCCGAUCAUCCAUAGGACAUACCAUAUUUGGAUUAUAAAAAUGGUUUAUUUUUUUAGGGUGUUACAGAAACACGUGACACAACCCUUAAACUGAAUUAAGAAUAAAACGUCUCGUCGUGCGACGGAGUGCGUCACGAGACACUUGAAUUAAUUAUGAAAAUAACGUCAAGCGUCGUGCGACGAAGCGCACGACGGCAUAAAUCAUCCAAACUGAAUUUAAAACGAAACGUCGCGCGACUGGACGCGCGACGCCACACAUUAAUUAAUCUGAAAUUAAAAUGGAUCAUCGCGCGACGAAGCGCACGACGCAGCACAUGAAUAAAGGCGAAUUUAAAAUGAAUCGUCGCGCGGCGAAGCGCACGACGCAGUACAUCGACUAAACCAAAUUUAAAAUUGAAUAAACCAAAAGUUAAACAUCGUGCAACUACGGUCACAUGUGCAGGAAUGCGCUGCACGCGCCGGGGGCACGCGAGCCACGCGAGGGAGGGGGGGGGAGAGCAUGGCCGCCGGGGACACGGGUCCGGGCGAGGGUGCGGGGCUGCAGGACGGGGCCGCCGGGUAGUACUGGGCAUAAAACCCGAACCCGAAGCCCAUUACCCAAAAUACCCGGACCCGUACCCGUUUAGCCCGAGACCAGUUACCCGAACAACUCCAACAUGUAACAAAACUGAAUACUUGAAGUAAGUUUGGGCCUAAUCGGAUAUUCAUCCGCGGUACCCGAAGUACCCAUUCUACCUGAAAUAAGGUAGCACGCUAGCCCAAGCCCAACAGCAGCACAACACAGCCCACGGGCCAUGCCAAGUUGAUAUCCCUGAUGGCCUGAUGUCGCAACUCGCAACCCUAGCUCCCAGCCUCCCACGCGCUUCAAGUCUUCCUAGUUCCUAGGCGACCGGCGGCGUCCUCCUAGAGUCCCAGACGGCCAGAGCCAGUCCAUGCCUCCCAGCUCCCAGGCCAAUCCUAUUAGCCCCAGGCACCGCGCAGCUACUUUAGGAAGCGGAGCUCAAGGUCCCAGGCGGCAGGAAGCGGAGCUACUUUAGUUACCGCGGCACCAGCUAGCAUUAGCUAGCCGGCAGCAAUGGAUAGCUGUCGCGCACCAGCAGCCGUGAGCCAGCCAGUCCAGCAGUCUUCCACACCUCGUUCAACAGUGCACACGUGGUAGAGAAGUAACCUCUUUAUUCCAAAAGAAAUGCAUUUGAUUACAAGUCAAUUAAUCUCAAAUUUAACUAAAUAUAUGCCAGAUCCUGUGUCUGCUGUUAUGCGUGUGAAGGAAUGACUACUUUGUCUUUGUCUUCUUGUGUGCGUUGCAGUAGUUAUACUGCCAUGUGAAUGUGGAAAAACCCGAAGCUGCAUCCCUCUGAUACUAUCGAACAGUGAAUACAUGGCAUUUUGUCUUGAUUUUGUAAUAAUAGCUGAUAAGUCUUGGUUUAUGACUUUUUUGUUGUCCACCUGUCAUGUACUUUUGUGUAUAAUUUAUAAUAGCGGGUACCCGAAUUUUACCCAAACCCAAACCCAAACCCAAACCCGAAUUUGCGGGUACCCGAAAUUGCGGGUACCCGAGAUUUCGGGUACGAGUACGGUUUUUACUAUUGAAAAACUGAAAUAUAAAAAUCCCAAAAAGCCCGACCCGAAAUUUCGAGUAAACCCGAACGCCCAGUCCUACCGCCGGGGCGCGGGCGCAUAGGGCCGCCGAGCGCGAGGCCACCAGGUGCGCGCGCGGGGGGAAGAAGGAAGGGGAGGGAGAGAGAGAGAGAGAGAGAGAGAGAGAGAGAGAGAGAGAGAGAGGAUCUCACCUCGGGGUCCAAAUUCGGCAAUCACCGUCUCCAAAGCCUAGGGCACAACGGGGAAGAGAGAGGUGGAGGGGAGGAAGUUGCUGUGCGGGAAAAAUUGAAUAAGGGGAAGGGAGAGAAGAGAGGGGGCACAUGGGGAGGGGCAGGGCGCCAGGGGCACGCGGGCCAGGGCCGGGCCGGACUGGGUUGGGCCGCACCACGGGACAAAAACCCACGACACGCACAACCACAUAUCGGAAUCCAAUCGCGAAACGAAAUCCGAAACGAGACCAAGAAAACACGCGAUUAAACACGACAUCAUACAAAAGAAAUAUGAUUCAGCAUGAUGCAACACUCAUGUCAACUUAGGUUUUUUUCACACGCAAUACGGACACCACUCGCUAUACUGCUUUGAAAUUGGGAAGAAGGAGCGAAACAAAAGAGAAAAGAGAGUAACGCCUGAAUUUGGUGAGUACAAAAGAAGAAAAAAUUCUACCCCCAAAUUCAGGGCGUUACAAUUGUUAAUUGACAUUUAUUAACGGUAAAUCAAAAAUACUACUUAGCUUUCACUAACUUACUAUUUUAAUUGUGGAUGAUUAAAUAAAUAACUAAUUAACUUACAUGAGUGAUUAUAAGCGAACGAUUUUAUCUCGCGCGCGGAUAACGGGCGAACGGCGCGUGGCAAGGCGUGCGACACACGCGAACGGCACGCGACAAGACAUGCGAACGCCGCACGACAAUGCGUACGAACAGCACGUGCGACACUCGUGAACGACAUGUGACGACGCGCGUGAAACAACACUGCGCCACGCGCACAGCACGCGGGCUGACACGAUAUGCAGAAACUAAUAAAUAAAUAAAUAAUAUAAUUAAACUAACUAAUUAUUUAAUAAGAACAGUUCAAUUAACAUUAAUCAUGUUGGUGACUAAUUAUAAAUGCGUAAAUCGAAUUCCUAAAUAGAUUUGAAAAUUGAAACGUCGUUCGAGUAGCCAUCGGUCAAACAGACGUUUAAAUAAAUUAAAUAAAAUGUGCAACAGUGGGCGAAAUGCUUUUAACAUGAAGAUAAUUUUAUACGAAUCUAACGCAACUUGAAUGGAUCGAAUCGGGUUUUAAACGCAAAAGUUAUCACUGUUUUAAACUAGAAUGUAAUUCCUGCGUACUAAAUUACAAAACUGUCAUCUUCUUCCUCACCUCAUCUUCUUACUCCCAUCCAUGGAAGAGAGAGGAGGAGGGGAAGGAGGCUGCAAGGGGGGAGAGUCGGGCCGGGCCGCCGCGGGGCGCGGCGCGCGCGCGUCGGCUGCCGCUAGGGAAGGGAGAGGGGCCGCGCCGGGGCGAAACACAGGGGGAGAGGGCGCCGCCACCGGGGAAGGUGAGGGGAAGGAGAGGGAGGCUUGCACGGACGGGAAAACAAAGAAACCUUAGGUGCAACAAUAGAGGUUUUUCACCGGGGAAAAACACCCUCAUCGGAGCCGAGGAGAAAUCUGUCGAUUGACAGAGAUUCAGAGGUCCGAUCGACGAACCGGACGCAGGGCCGGCCCUGGGGGGUGGCAGCCGGUGCCACCGCACCGGGCCCCAUGAAGCUGGUGGGCCCCCACCCCAUAAACAAUAUUCCACAGGCCACAACGACAAUUGCAGAUUUGCAGCCUGCUACGCCAGAGGCCCAGAGUCCAGACGCUAAUCCAAUUGCCUACGCCUAUUCCUCUGCCCGCCGCCUGCAUGCGCCUGUUCGCCUGCCCUGAUCGCGCUGCCUGUUACCGCUGUCUCUGCGGCUCUGCCUGGCGAGUGGCGACUGGCGUUCGCUCGCCGCUCCGCUCGCCGCUCGGCCACGGCCGACUCCAGCUCCGGCGACCGGCGCUCCUCGCUCCUGCCUGGCGCGCCUCCCACAGUCCCGUCCCGCGACCGCGUUCGGUUUCCUCCUGGCGCUGGCAAAUUUAAGGUAACUGAUUGUUGAUUUGUUGGCUUAAUCUAAUUGACAAAUUUAAGGUAACUAAUUAAUAAUAAUAACUGCGCUAUUUAGAUAUGUAUAAUCAUUCUUAUGUUACCCUUCAAUUUAUGAUAUAUAUAUAUAUAUAUAUAUAUAUAUAUAUAUAUUAUUUUCAGUGUUUUGUGUAAUCAUGUCUAAAUAGCGUGAUAUCAUGUGACAUGUGACAAGUAAGUGUUAUGGCUCUAAUUUAUAUUUAUCAUCUUAUAAACUUUAAGGCAUGGCAUAGAAGUUUUUUCCAUUGAAUGUUCAAUAAUUUAUGUUUAUAAUUAUAUAUAUAGUGUAUAUACAUGGUGGAUGGGGCUUCCAUAUUGGAUUUCGCCCUAGGCCCCCAAAAAGUCAGGAACGGCCCUGACCGGACGCGCCCCGACGAAGCCCUCGACGAGACGAACGUAUUGUACCCUCGGAUUCCGCACACGAUGCGUGGAUUGAGAGUAAUUGCUCGACGGAGUUGGAACCGCUUCCGAACUUCGGCGAGCAAUUCCGGGAGUUGGGAGUUGAAUUUGGGAAAACCGUUUCGUGCUCUAGAACGGGUUCGACGAGGAGAAGUCGGGCAUGUAUAUAUAUCUAGGGUUCGAACGAGAUGGAAAUUCGGUUGAAAUUCAGAUUUUACCAUUUAUAAAAUUCGGAAAAGCCUAGAAAUUCAUAUUUUGUGCUCAAAAUAUUAUAGAUGCUUCCAAAAAUUACAGAAAAAUUCCUAGAAAUGUUUUGGCACCUAAUGAACUCAAAAAACAUACUUAGAGUUUCUAAAAACAUUUUAAGUACCUCAAAAAAAUAGAUUUUGCUUUCCGGAAAAUAGAAAAAUAUUCCAAAAAUAGCAAAAUCUACUGAGAGCUUCUAUAGGAUAAACUAACAUGAUUCAAACACAUUUUGCACUUAGAAACAUCGUGCAACGACAUGAAUGCAACAACCAAGGCGCCUCUAGGGUUCAUUCCACUAGGCUUACGCCAAUAUAAGACGAAAUAAUUCUCCAUUUUUAGAAAAAAGAGAAGGAAAGCUAAGAAAUAAGAGAGUGUUACAAUAUAAGACGAAAUAAUUCUCCAUUUUUGGUGGAUAUUAGGAAAUAAAUUCUAUACCCCUAAAUUCAGGGUGUUACAAAUCUAAUCACCUUAACAGAAUCUCGCCCUCGAGAUUCAAGGAGCGGCUAGCAAGAAAAUGAGAUUGGUUCAUUGGUUUUUCAUAGCUUCUUCUGACUCAACUUUGACUCUGGCAACUUUAACUUGCGGACUGGUUGCUUUGACCUUCAGAUGCUUGAGACCAAUUGAUGCAAUUCUUGAUAAUCUCUUGGACCUGUGGGUUAGGACCCACACACGCUUCCGCUGCACCACUUUGAUCUUAUUGGUUGAUGUUGAUUGCAUUGUCUUCAUUGGGGUUAGCGGCUAACCCCCUUAACAGGAGCAUUGAUAUGCACUUGGUGAAGAUGUUGCCGACUUUGAUCUUGACUGAUUAAGAGAGGUUGUAGGAUGCCAACCAGACAGGUGCAAGAGGGAUGGGUAUAGAUAGAAAAGGUGAGCAUAGAUGGAUUAAAGAGAUAAAAGGGAGAGCACCCAGCUACCUAACUCUAUGUCACUCGGCUAGUAAACUGAUGUCAUUGCGGACCAAGGGCCACAACACAUCAACACUCAUCACAAAGAAGCAAAUCAGUCAUCACAUAAAGACAAACAACACAAGCAUACAACAACAAACAUCUCGUUGCUAUAUGUUCCUUUUAAUUAAAUGGUGGCCUUUCUAGAAAAGGGAAUAACUACUCUCUGAGGUUGUCGAAGGAAAAGGAGAAGAACAAGACGUGUAGGAUAGGGGCAUGUGCACAAUAAAGGAUAGAGCUAAAGCAAACAUUGUAAGCGACCAGGAAAAGGAUACGGCCAAGAGCAUAAUGGGAAGAACACUACUCUCAAGUUGAGAUAGAAAAGGGGAGAUUCCAAAAAGCAGACUUGAGAUAAGCAUACAAGAAAGAUCUAGUGAUUACGAAGGUAAUAGUGAUAUCAAAUGAAAGCUAAGACUUGCAAUGCGAUAGAGGAAAAAGGAAACGACCAUGAGCAGAAUGGGUAAGACAACACUCUUGAACUUAAAUAGGAGGGGAAGCUUUAAAAUAUGGGUACAUGAUAAGCAUCAAAGUAAAGAUCCAGGGAUGACAAGGGUUAAGGUGAUAACGGACAAACACACAACAAAGGAUGUAUUUUAGACAAAACUUGCAAGGUGUCAAAGAAGGGAGAGCACUCAAUGAUGAAAUAGAUGAGGCAUUAUCCCCGAACAGGGAUGGAAAAGAGGAGGCUUCAAAGGGUAGGUUCAAGAUAAGCAUGAAGGUAAGGGUAUAGAUAUUGCAAGGGUUAAAGGUGAUAAUAGACAAGAACGUUAGUGAGGAGGUAAAUGGACAUAAGAACAAAGGAUAUAAGUACCAUAGAGGAUGGAGUUAAGACAGGACCUACAAGUGGAAAAAGAGAGGGUACGUCCAAGGGCGAGAUAGGUAAAUUGCCACUCUCAAAUUGAGGUGGAAGAGAGGAGAUUUUUAAAGAGUAGGAAUAGAGAUAAAUGUCAAGGUAAGAUCGAUAGAUGACAAGGGAAUGAUGAUAGCAAAUAAAAACACAUCAAAGGAUAGAAUUGGGACAGAACCUAUAAUGCGACAAUGAGUGAAAAGAAAUCAAGGGAGAGAUAGGUAACUCACAACUCCCAAACUGGGUUGAAAGAAAGGGGAGGCUUUUAAAGGAUAAGUUCAAGGUAAGCAUUUAGGUAGAAGAUAUCAAUAUCGCAAGGGUCAAAGGCGGUAACAUACAAGGGUAUAAGAGAAAGGAUGAAGGCAUAGAAGAGCCAGUGGUACAAGUAUAACAAAGAAUGGAUUUACGUCAAGGCUUGCACGCAGUAAAGGAGAGGAUAUUUCCAAGAGUGAGAUAAGUAAAACACCGCUCUCAAACUGGGAUAGGAUAUUGGAGAUUUUAGAGAACGGACAUAGUGUAAUUACCAAGGUAAGAUCGAGAGAUAAGGUAAAGGUAAUACCCAACCGGAGCACAACAAAGGAUAGAGUUAAGAACUCGCAAACGACAAGGAAGAGGAUACAACCAAGGUAAAAUUGGUAAAAUUCAACUAUAAAAUUGAGAUGGAAGAGAGGGUUUUAAAGGAUAGGUAUAAUAUAAGUAUCAAGGUAAGAUAUAGAGGUGAUAAGGGUAAAGGUGAUAAUGAUGAAAAGCAUAAUCCAUGGACAAAGUUAAGGCAAGACUCACAAAGUGACGAAGCAUAGAAAACAAUCAAGGAUAAGGUAAGUGAGGUUCAGACAGAAGAGUUGAAGUAAAAAAAUCAUUACCGAAGGAAGUUACAAGGAAACAACAAGAUUACCACGAAUGUGCAAAAUAAAAUGACCGCUCAUGGAUCAUUAAGAAACAAGGGUGGUCAAGGACAUGUUAACUGAAAUGUCUUAACAGACAUUGGGGUAUGAAGAUAAGCAUACAUGAAAAUAUAAGGGUAUGCAAGACUCCAAGGAUACAAACAUACUAAGACCAAGGGAAUAGAAAUUGCCGAUAGAUAAUGACUUAACAACGGAAUAGAAAGGGAUCUCAAAAGACAGGAAGGUCAUGAAAAUAUAAAUUGGAAUGUUUAAAUAGGCAAUAGUGUUUUCAGAGUUAAGUAUUUGAAAUAAGGGAUAAGGGUAUGGAAGAAUCCAAAAGAUGUAGUGUGUCAAUACCAAUGGAACAUAUAUUGUCAAAGGUUGGAAAUUUAACGAUAGAAAAGAAAAGAAUCCUGAAAGACAAGAAAGUUAUGGUUAGGGGGCACCUACAAAGAUGUCACGAGCACAAGAGUAAGAUCAGAUCUAAUAGAAUGAAUAAGUAAAGCAUAGAAAGUACUAGAAUAAAAUACAUUUUGCAUGGUGAUAUAUAUACAAAGCAUAACGUAGAAUUAGUCCAAGUGACUAAUAUUUUGAAACAACAUCAAGGAUGAGGUGAAGUAAUAGUCAAUAAGUCCUUAAAACGACCAAUGCUACUCUAGGAUAGCGGUCCUACAGUUAGCAAGGCUUUGAUACCACUUAUGUCACAUCGAGUUUUGAAGGUAAACCGAAUGUGAACCAUGUACGUGCCAAGAUCAGAAAUUCACAUACACAACGAUUACAUAAAUGACUCAUCAUAGCACAAUGCUUCGAGUAACAAUAAAUAGUAAGUAAUAAUAUUAAAGACUAGAGUCAUUUACAUAAUAUGAAUCAAAGUACACAAAAUAGAAACGUAGCCAAUGUAAACAAACCCGCCAAAGGCAGCUGACUGGGGGAGGUCUCUAGCCUAAUCCUCAAACUCGUCGAAGUCUUGGAACUCCUGGAGAUUUGCCUCGACGCCUUCUUCUCCCUCUUUACCUGAGCAUAGAUUGCACCAACGAUAACCUGGUGUUUUGUGAAAGCAAGUGUGAGUACACAUCAACGUACUCAACAAAUGUCCCGUUUGGUUGAGGUAGACUAGCUUUAUGUGGAGUUAAGAUCAAAGCAGUUGCUUUUAGUUGGUCAGGUAUUUAUUAUUAGUGGAAGCCAAGUUUUAUCAAUGACCAACUCGUGAAUCAUUUCCUCAUCGAGGAACAUCAUUAUCAUCAUUGAACCAAAUCCAUCAAUAGAACUAUUGUAUCUCAAACCAUAUGUAUCUCUAAUAAAAGAGGAUCCCAAGGCCGCUCUUAACCGUGAGCACGACUGAUAUAUCUGUUUCUUUCCCCUGUAGAGGUUGCACACUUUACCCACGAGCUGUGAUUCCCUUUCUGCCCGGAGAGCGAUACUCCCCAUUGACCACACUACCUAGGUGGCCUGGCAGGUAUCACUACGUAGCCUUUACAAAGAUUCCCCUGGUGUGUAGUUGCUCGUUAGGUUUCGCUAGUCGUACAAACACAGUACUCCUCUCUAAACUGGAUGACUAACAAAACCGAAUCAAAUGAACCUCGGCACCCACCCUUAGCAGAGUAAGCACUAUGCCCCGGCCCCCAUUGACGGCCCUUCGGCAAAGCCAACUACACCCCCAAGUUCUUCUAAUUAAUCAUCUAAGGGCAUCCCAUUCGACCCUCAUGGUUGUACUGUUAUCCCGGGUGGUCUCUCAACGAACAGGUCCUUACGGAGAGGUACUUAGGAAACAACCUGAGUCCCCUAAAGUAUCACAAGUUCAUCAUCAUAACCAAGAUAACAUCAUCGUAUCAUAAAUGUUCUCGUCAUGUUCGUUGAUUAAAGUAGAGCAAUAGCAUGAAGGUAAUCAUAAUAACCCAAAAGUUAAUCAAGGACAAGGUAAAUACAAAGCUAGUCAAUCCUUAGGUUUCAAUUAAGUAAUGCGAGACAGUGAAUUAUAACUAAGUAGGACAUAAUGGGUCAGAUGACACUUGCCUUCACCAAAUAGAUGCUUAGGAUCUUCAACUUUGUAGAACUCAAAGAACCAAAUCACUUGGUCACCAACGCUUGACUAUCGAUUCCUCGAAGCUCAAAAACGGAUCGUGAAGCGAAGACGAACAUGCACAAGCAAACAAACAUAUAUAUGCAUAAAACAUUACACCAUACCAAGAAAAACAUAAUAAAAACAUGCAAUACGAAAUAGAGCGCGCUACUACGGUUACAUGAGGAAAAGAAACGUCGAACUCGAAGUUAUGGUCGAGAAGAUAUCACAUUUACACUAAACAAGUAUUAGUUAGAACGUUUGGUUCAACAUGGUUAGAUUAAUUGACAUUUAUUAAUGGUAAAUCAAAACUACUACUUAUCUUUCAGUGGCUUACUAUUUUAAUUGUGGAUGAUUAAAUAAAUAACUAAUUAACUAACAUGAGUGAUUAUAAGUGAACGGUUUUAUCUCGCGUGCGGAUAACGCGCGAACGGCGCGCGGCAAGGCGCGCGACACACGCGAACGACGCACGACAACGUGUGAGAAUGGCGCACGACAACACGUGCGAACAACACGCGCGACACUCGCGAACGACUCGAGACGAAGCACGCAAAACAGCAUUGCGGCACGCGCACGGUACGCGCUCAGCACGCGGGCUGACACGAUACGCGAAAACUAAUAAAUAAAUAACAUAAUUAAACUAACAAUUAUUUAAUAAGAAGAGUUCAGUUAACAUUAAUCAUAUUGGUGACUAAUUAUAAAUGCACAUAUCGAAUUUCUAAAUUAGAUUUUAAAAUUAAAACGUCGUUCUAGUAGCCAUCGGUCAAAAACGUUUAAAUAAAUUAAAUAAAAUAUGCAACAAUGGAGGAAAAUUCUUUUAUCUUGAAGACAAUUUUUAUACGAAUCUAACGCAACUUGAUGGAUCGAGUCGUGUUUAAAACGCAAAAGUUAUCACUGUUUAAACUAGAUUGUAAUUCAUGUAUACUAAAUUACAAAACUAACAUCUUCUUCCUCACCUCAACUUCUUCCUCCCAUCCCUGGAAGAGAGAGGAGGAGGGAGAAGGGGGCUGUGCAGUGGGAGAGCCGAGCCUGGUCGUCGUGGGCACGGCCACGCGCGGCACCGCGCGUCGGUCGAACCGGUCGGGCCGACCGCCACUAGGGAAGGGAGAGGGGCCGCGCCGGGGGGAACAUAGGGGGAGGGAGCACCGCCACCGAGUAAGGUGAGGGGAGGGACAGGGAGGCCCUGCAUGGACGGGAAAACGAAGAAACUAAGAAACCUUAGGUGCAAUAAGGGAGGUUUCUCACCGAGGAAAAAGACCCUCACUGGAGCCGAGGAGAAAUCCAUCGAUUGACUGAGAUUCAGAGGUCCGAUUGACAAACCGGACAUGCCCCAACAAAGCCCUCGAUGAGACGAACGCAGCGGUACCCUCGGAUUUCGCAGACGAUGCCCGGAUUGGGAGUAAUUGCUCACCGGACUUGGAACCGCUUCCAAACUUCGACGAGCAAUUCCGGGAGCUGGGAGUUGAAUUUGGGGAAACCGUUUCUGCUCUAGUCGGGCUCGACGAGGAGAAGUCGGGCAUGUAUAUAUACAGGGUUCGAACGAGAUGGAAAUUUGGUUCAAAUUCAGAUUUUACCAUUUAUAAAAUUCAGAAAAGCCUAGAAAUCCAUAUUUUGUGCUCAAAAUAUUAUAGAUGCUUCCAGAAAUUUCAGAAAAAAUCCUAGAAAUGUUUUGGCACCUAAUGAACUAAAAAACAUGCUUAGAGUUUCUAAACAUUUUAAGUACCUCAAAUAAAUAGAUUUUGGUUUCCAGAAAAUAUAAAAAUAUUCCCAAAAAUAUGAAAAAUCUACUGAUAGCUUCUAUAGGAUAAACUAACAUGUUUCAUACGUAUUUUGCACCUCGAAACACCGUGGAACGACAUGAAUGCAACAACCAAGGCCCCUCUAGGGCUCAUUCUACUAGGCUUACACCAAUAUAAGAUAAAAUAUUUCUCCAUUUUUAGGAAAAAUAGAAGAAAAACAAAGAAAUGAGAGAGUAACACCUGAAUUUGGUGGAUAUUAGGAAAGAAAUUUUAUAUGCCCAAAUUCAGGGUGUUACAUUUAAGCUUCACCCACAUACAGCUAGUCCACUUUAGUCAAACGUGACAUUUGCUGAGUACGCUAAUGUGUACUCACCCUUGCUUAAAACACCAAACACCAGGUUGUCCCCAUUGAACCCCGACUUAGGAGGAGAUGAAGGCAACAUGUAGGACUUUUAGGAGUUUCAUGACUUCGAUGAGUUCUAGAGUAGAUUAGCGGCAAAGCCCCAUUCAGCUGUCUAUGAAGGCCUUAUCGUACUACAUUUCGUUUAGCACUUUGAUUAUGGUUUAAGUUAAUAAGUUUGGGGAUGUUUCGGACAUCACGAUGUAAUAAAGUACUACUUCUUUCCACCAUUAUUUGAGCACUGUGUGAUGAUGUCCAAUUAUGUAAUUAUUGUGUACGCGAACUUCUGAUCCUGGCAUGUACAUGGUUCACAUUUGGUUGGCCUUCCAAAACCGGGUGUUACAAGUAAAUUUGGGGAUUACAUUGUAUUAGAGAUUUAAGGAUACUAUGUGUGGAAUAGAGAACAUGGCAUCAUUUGUGCUAUUACUUAUAUCCUCGGAUGUAAUCAAUCGUCUAGGUCCAUUCCACGAUUCAACUAUUCCAAUGGCUGCCUUGAGCUAACUAGUUCGAUGGUUUACGAGGAUAAGCCACAUAAUAUGACCCCUUCAGUAACAAAAUGCGUGAACACUAUUUGUAGAUGUCAUAAAAACUUAAUGCAUAAACGACGACAUCUUAAUUAAUGUUGGAAAUUGUACAAGUAAUGCAUGCAAACUGUGAAGACAUAAGUUUUAUCCCACGAGUAGAAAGCUCAUGUUUUGUAGCACGAAUGAACACCUUAGCUUCGACCUUCAAAGAAUGACCAACGUACGUUAACGUCGUUAAGGAUGUCCCUACAUCUAAAAUCAGCAUGUACUAUCAUAUAUUUAAUUUAAAUUAGUCAUCGAAAAUAUGUAUUAUAUUAAAAUGUAGCCAUGCAUGAUAAAGUUAGGAUUACGUAGGAGAUACAUGGACAACACAACAUUCAUGGAUCCUUUUUUAAAAAAUGAAGGCCUAUCAAAUAUUUUAUUAGGCACUUAUUAUAUAACUGGUCAAUCCCUUUCUUAACUCUUCUCUUUUAAACAACAUCGAAGUUUGACUCUAGCUAUAUAUGGAGAUGGAGAAGAUGGAGAAGGAGGAUGACACCAUUAUUAUUGGCGCCAUCAUCACUGUCGUAAUAGGGUAGUGGUAGCAAAUAGAUAUCACGGUCCGAUGCAUGCAUGUGUAAUGCAUUACUUGGGAUCCAACCCAAUCCAGUAUAGCUAGUAGAAGACGACUUAAAGUAUUGUUAGCACUAAAGGUAAUUAUUUGGCGGUGUAGGCGGUGUUGGCCUUCUAGUUGGCAGGGAUGACAUCGUCGUAGAUGGUAUUGGUGCCUCCCUCGGCAAUGAGGCGAACGGUGAGGGGUCCCUUAAGCAGUUUGUCGCUGUCCUUCCUCCAGAUGGCGCCCCAGGAGUGCUUCAGGGGCUCGCACGUGUCGGAGCCCUUCUCCUUGACGUCCACCACCACAAUGUCACCGUCGCCGUCGACGUACUUGACCAGCAACGCCAGGUAAUUGGGGUUGCACCCCUUUUCAAGGUGGAAGGUGAUCUUGGAGCCGUACUUGCACUUGACCCUUCGGAACUGCAUGUCGACGAUGCCCGCCUUGCACGGCUUCUCCUCCUCGUCCUUCUUGGCAAUGGCGCUGAACGCCGUGCCUGCCAAAUCGAAGUGGUACACCGCGAUAGGCUCAUAGUUCAUGUCCGUGAUGUGCACCACCAUGGGCUUGCUGGAGCACUCUGCAGGCUUAUUGCACUUGAUCUUGAAGCAGGGCCUACAACCCAGACCAUCCUUGAAGAUGGGGAUGUUGCCGCAUGCACCCAUGCUAUUGAAGGGGGGCUUGUUCACGUCCUUGUACCCAUAGCCGCCGCCGUUGUCGUCGAGACCGGCGCCCGUCGGCUUGCCAUACCAUGUCGCUUUAGCGUCCAGCCAGUCCUUGCCAUAGGUGGUCGUGAUGAUCUUACCAGGGGGACCUUGGGAGGACCGCACGAGGCGCCGCUCACCAAGAACACCAACGCCUUAGCCAUCGCCACAUGUGCCUACAUCGACGACCACAUGUUGCUCACAUUCACAGCCAUGUUUUGUCUUGGAUCAGUGAAUGGUACUAUGCUACGAUGAAUGAGCUGGUAUGCCUGAAUUUAUGGUUGUGCGUGCCAACGGUUGGACGAUCGAGCUUGCAACCGUGAAGCGUGCGCAUGCAUGCACCAACGAUGAGGUAGAUCUUGCAUGGUCGAGAGAGCUAUUCUCUUGACCGCCAGUUAUUAAUUGGUUUCGUAUAUUGGAGGUGACCAUGCAUGGUAGCUCAUCAUACAAAGUUGCUCGUAUCGUCGCGAUACUUAUGCCAUUGUGCUACUUUGGCUAAUGGUGAAGCGAGGACUCUCCUUCUUCUCGCUUUGAAAGGGAAAUAGCCUCAACAUUUCCUAUAAUCGAUUUUGGUGUUUGACGUCCAUCACAAACCAUAUGGACUAAUUAGUUGGCCUAGUGGACAUUUUUCCCACGUGCAUAAAGUUCACAUAAACAUACAAAGAAAAUGACUUGAGGGAAUUCUACAAAGUUUGGAGCAUACAAGUUCUUCUGCUACCAGUAGCGCACCAGACACUGUCCGGUGUGCAUCGGACACUGUCUGGUACCCUGGCUGAGCACCUCGCGAACUGGUCGCUCUCGGGUUUUCUCAGUGUUAGCCCGCUAAAAUUCAUCAAACUGUCCGGUGCACCACCAGACUAUCCGGUGAGACAACGGAGCAACGAUCAACUUCGCUGACUACAGGGCAGUCUGCAGCGCAGAAGUCAGAAGUCAGUCUGCAAAGUCAGAACACACCAGACUGUUCGGUCUGCCACCGGACUGUCCGGUGCCACGAGAAGACAGUAGACUUCAAUGGUCAAUAGCUCCAAACCCCAAUGGUCAACAGCUCCAAACCCCAACGGUCGGCUCACGUGGCACUCACCGGAUAGUAAACAAUGUAGUGUUCCGUGCACCACCGGACUGUCCGGUGUGCCCAUCUACAGCAACGGCUGGAAUAGUGAUUAGGGCUAUAAAUACCCCUGACCACCACCAUUCAAGCCACCCAAGCAUUGUAACUUCCUCAUUCAAUACUAGAGCAAAAGAAUACACUCCAAACACACAAUCAAAGCAUCAACCGCUCUCCAAGCUUCAAAAUCAAGUCAAGUGAUCAAAAGUGCUUAGUGACUUGAGAGAGGGUGAUUUGUGUUUGUUUUGUUGCUCUUGUUGCUUGGUUGCAUUCUUCUUCUCAUUCUAAACUUCUCAAGUGUUUUGUAAAGCAAGCGAGAGACACCUAAUUGUGUGGUGAUCCUUGCGGGGUCUUAGUGACACGUGUGAUUAAGAAGAUGCACUUAACCGGUCUAAGUGACCGAUUGAGAGAGGAAAAGGGUUGGAAUAGACCCAGCCUUUGUGGCCUCCUCAAUGGGGAGUAGGUUCCUUGGAACCGAACCUCUGGAAACAAAUCACCGUGUUCACUUGUGUUGAUCUUUAUCACUCGAUUUGUUUCUUCCCUCUCCUCUCUUCCUAAAAGUUCCCUUGCUCACAUUGAUUUGAGUUUGAUACCAAAGUUAUCCGCAUUGAUUGAGCAACUCAAAGCAAGGAGAACUAUCUCCCGCUCUUCGAAUUUAAUAUUAUUUAUCUCUAACCCUAACCCCGUGUGAAGUGCGUGUUCAAAGUUUAUAAUUUUCAAGUUUCGCCUAUUCACCCUCUCUAGGCGACUUUCAUGCUUCCUAUGGAAGAAUGUCAUUGUUGCCACAUAUUUUUAAGUCAUUAUAUUGGAGCAAAGUGGCGUAACCAUGUCAACCUCUAUUAUUCGUGGAAACGAUCCUUCAGGGAUUGUCGCAAGUUAAUUGGUAUAUCAAAUGUGCGAAUGUAGGAUUUAAACAUAGCGUAAUCUUCAAGACUCCACAUCUAAAUGAACAACUAGAAAGAUGACUUGUCUAGACAAUUAUAGGGAAUUGAACCAUAAACAUUCGAGGUACUCCAAUUAUACAAAAAAUGUAAUUAUGAGAUUCGUGUUGGACAAACGAGGUCAAAUUUAACCAAAUUUAUAUUCAGUAUUAUUAAUAUUUAUAUCAAAUAUAUUAUACUAGAACUUUUAAUACAUAGUAAAAUGAACUGCGAGCUUUCCAAAGAACCCCAACAUUCUUCUUUGCUAAAAAAGACUAUUUUGUAUGCGCAUGCAUAGGCAACUAAUUCUUCUAACUAGUUGUUAUAACAUUUUCUUUUAUAUAUACUAGUCAGUUGUCAGUAUGUUACUAUGGUUUUCAUAUUCACAAUAUUUAUAAUAUACAUUCUUUCUAGAACAUGAAUAAAUAUGUGUUUCAGUGGUUAGACGCUAAGCAUAGGAGGAAUGGUUCUAACCCUAGGUUCUACAUUUUUUGGAUUUUCUCAUGGGAGAACUUAACGCAUAAAGGGCGACAUCUUAAUUAAUGUUGGAAAUUGUACAAGUAAUGCAUGCAAACGGUGAAGACAGAAGUUUUAUCUCAUGAGUAGAAAGCUCAUGUUAUGUAGCACUAAUGAACACCUUAGCUUCGACCUUCAAAGAACGACCAACGCACGUUAAGGAUGGCCCUACAUCUAGAAUCAGCAUGUACUAUCAUAUAUUUCAAUUAGUCAUAAAAAAAUAUGUAUUCUAUUAAAAUGUAGCCAUGCAUGAUAAAGUUAGGAUUACGUAGGAGAUACAUGGACAACACAACAUUCAUGGAUCCUUUGAUAAAAAAUGAAGGCCUAUCAAAUAUUUCAUUAGGCACUUAUUAUAUAACUUGUCAAUCCAUUUCUUAACUUUUCUCUUUUAAACAACAGAGAAGUCUCACUCUAGCUAUAUAUGGAGAUGAAGAAGAUGGAGAAGGAGGAUGACACCAUCAUUGUUGGCGCCAGCAUCACUGUCGUAAUAGGGUAGUGGUAGCAAAUAGAUAUCACGGUCCAAUGCAUGCAUGUGUAAUGCAUUGCUUGGGAUCCAACCAAUUCUAGUAUAGCUAGCAUAGGCCGGCUUAAAGUAUUGUCAGCACUAAAGUUAAUUAUUUGGCGGUGUAGGCGGUGUUGGCCUUCCAGUUGGCAGGGAUGACAUCGUCGUAGACGGACUUGGUGCCUCCCUCGGUAGUGAGGCGGACGGUGAGGGGUCCCUUAAGCGGUUUGUCGCUGUCCUUCCUCCAGAUGGCGCCCCAGGAGUGCUUUAGGGGCUCGUACGUGUCAGAGCCCUUCUCCUUGACGUCCACUGCCACAAUGUCACCGUCGCCAUCGACGUACUUGACCAGCAGCGCCAGGUAGUUGGGGCCGCACCCCUUUUCAAGGUGGAAGGUGACCUUGGAGUCGUACUUGCACUUAACCCUUCGGAACUGCAUGUCGAUGAUGCCCGCCUUGCGCAGCUUCUCCUCCUCGCCCUUCUUGGCCAUGGCGCCGAACGCCGUGCCUGCUAAAUCGAAGUGGUACGCCGCGAUAGGCUCAUAGUUCAUGUCCGUGAUGUGCACCACCACGGGCUUGCCGGAGCACUCCACAGGCUUAUCGCACUUGAUCUCGAAGCAGGACCCACAACCCAGACCAUCCUUGAAGAUGGGGAUGUUGCCGCAUGCGCCCAUGCUAUUGAAGGGGGGCUUGUUCACGUCCUUGUACCCGCAGCCGCCACCGUUAUCGUCGGGACCGGCACCCGUCGGCUUGCCAUACCAUGUCGCUUUAGCGUCCAGCCAGUCCUUGCCAUAGGUGGCCGUGAUGUUCUUGCCUGGGGGGACUUUGGGAGGACCGCACCAUGCGCCGCUCACCAAGAACACCAACGCCACAACCAUCGCAACCUGUGCCCGCAUCGACGACCACAUGGUUCUCACAUUCACAGCCAUGUUUUGUCUUGGAUUAGUGAAUGGUACUAUGCUACGAUGAAUGAGCGGGUAGGCCUGAAUUUAUGGUUGUGUGUGCCAACGGUUGGACGAUCGAGCUUGCAACCGUGAAGCGCGCGCAUGCAUGCACCAACGAGGAGGUAGAGUUUGCAUGGUCGAGCGAGCUUUUCUCUUGGCCACCAGUUUACUAAUUGGUUCCGUAAGUCGAAGGUGACCAUGCAUGGUAGCUCUGCAUGCAAAGCUGCUCGUAUCAUCGCGAUACUUAUGCCAUGGUGCUACUUUGGCUAAUGGUGAAGCGAGGACUCUCCUUCUUCUCGCUUUGAAAGGGAAAUAACCUCAACAUUUCCUAUAAUCGAUUUUGGUGUUUGACGUCCAUCACAAAACCAUAUGGACUAAUUAGUUUGCCUAGUGGACAUUUUUCCCACGUGCAUAAAGUUCACAUAAACAUACAAAGAAAAGGAAUUGAGUGAAUUCUACAAAGUUUGGAGCAUACAAGUUCUUGUGCUACUAGUAGCGCACCGGACACUGUCCGGUGUGCAUCGGACACUGUCUGGUACCCUGGCUGAGCACCUCGCGAACUGGUCGCUCUCAGGUUUUCUCAGCGUUAGUCCGCUAAAAUUCAUCGAACUGUCCGAUGCACCACCAGACUAUCCGGUGAGACAACGGAGCAACGAUCAACUUCGCUGACUACAGGGCAGUCUGCAGCGCAGAAGUCAGAAGUCAGUCUGCAAAGUCAGAACACACCAGACUGUUCGGUGUGCCACCAGACUAUCCAGUGCCACAAGAAGAUAGUAGACUUCAACGGUCAAUAGCUCCAAACCCCAAUGGUCAACAGCUCCAAACCCCAACGGUCGACUCACGUGGCACUCACCGGAUAUUAAACAAUGCAGUGUUCCGUGCACCACCGGACUGUCCGGUGUGCCCAUCUACAGCAACGGCUGGAAUAGUGGUUAGGGCUAUAAAUACCCCCGACCACCACCAUUCAAGCCACCCAAGCAUUGCAACUUCCUCAUUCAAUACUAGAGCAAAAGAAUACACUCCAAACACACAAUCAAAGCAUCAACCCCUCUCCAAGCUUCAAAAUCAAGUCAAGUGAUCAAAAGUGCUUAGUGACUUGAGAGAGGGUGAUUUGUGUUUGUUUUGUUGCUCUUGUUGCUUGGUUGCAUUCUUCUUCUCAUUCUAAACUUCUCAAGUGUUUUGUAAAGCAAGCGAGAGACACCUAAUUGUGUGGUGAUCCUUGCGGGGUCUUAGUGACACGUGUGAUUAAGAAGAUGCACUUAACCGGUCUAAGUGACCGAUUGAGAGAGGAAAAGGGUUGGAAUAGACCCAGCCUUUUGGCCUCCUCAAUGGGGAGUAGGUUCCUUGGAACCGAACCUCUGGAAACAAAUCACCGUGUUCGCUUGUGUUGAUCUUUAUCACUCGAUUUGUUUCUUCCCUCUCCUCUCUUCCUAAUAGUUCCCUUGCUCACAUUGAUUUGAGUUUGAUACCAAAGUUAUCCGCAUUGAUUGAGCAACUCAAAGCAAGGAGAACUAUCUCCCGCUCUUCGAAUUUAAUAUUAUUUAUCUCUAACCCUAACCCCGUGUGAAGUGCGUGUUCAAAGUUUAUAAUUUUCAAGUUUCGCCUAUUCACCCUCUCUAGGCGACUUUCAUGCUUCCUAUGGAAGAAUGUCAUUGUUGCCACAUAUUUUUAAGUCAUUAUAUUGGAGCAAAGUGGCGUAACCAUGUCAACCUCUAUUAUUCGUGGAAACGAUCCUUCAGGGAUUGUCGCAAGUUAAUUGGUAUAUCAAAUGUGCGAAUGUAGGAUUUAAACAUAGCGUAAUCUUCAAGACUCCACAUCUAAAUGAACAACUAGAAAGAUGACUUGUCUAGACAAUUAUAGGGAAUUGAACCAUAAACAUUCGAGGUACUCCAAUUAUACAAAAAUGUAAUUAUGAGAUUCGUGUUGGACAAACGAGGUCAAAUUUAACCAAAUUUAUAUUCAGUAUUCUUAAUAUUUAUAUCAAAUAUAUUAUACUAGAACUUUUAAUACAUAGUAAAAUGAACUGCGAGCUUUCCAAAGAACCCCAACAUUCUUCUUUGCUAAAAAAGACUAUUUUGUAUGCGCAUGCAUAGGCAACUAAUUCUUCUAACUAGUUGUUAUAACAUUUUCUUUUAUAUAUACUAGUCAGUUGUCAGUAUGUUACUAUGGUUUUCAUAUUCACAAUAUUUAUAAUAUACAUUCUUUCUAGAACAUGAAUAAAUAUGUGUUUCAGUGGUUAGACGCUAAGCAUAGGAGGAAUGGUUCUAACCCUAGGUUCUACAUUUUUUGGAUUUUCUCAUGGGAGAACUUAACGCAUAAAGGGCGACAUCUUAAUUAAUGUUGGAAAUUGUACAAGUAAUGCAUGCAAACGGUGAAGACAGAAGUUUUAUCUCAUGAGUAGAAAGCUCAUGUUAUGUAGCACUAAUGAACACCUUAGCUUCGACCUUCAAAGAACGACCAACGCACGUUAAGGAUGGCCCUACAUCUAGAAUCAGCAUGUACUAUCAUAUAUUUCAAUUAGUCAUAAAAAAAUAUGUAUUCUAUUAAAAUGUAACCAUGCAUGAUAAAGUUAGGAUUACGUAGGAGAUACAUGGACAACACAACAUUCAUGGAUCCUUUGAUAAAAAAUGAAGGCCUAUCAAAUAUUUCAUUAGGCACUUAUUAUAUAACUUGUCAAUCCAUUUCUUAACUCUUCUCUUUUAAACAACAGCGAAGUCUCACUCUAGCUAUAUAUGGAGAUGAAGAAGAUGGAGAAGGAGGAUGACACCAUCAUUGUUGGCGCCAGCAUCACUGUCGUAAUAGGGUAGUGGUAGCAAAUAGAUAUCACGGUCCAAUGCAUGCAUGUGUAAUGCAUUGCUUGGGAUCCAACCAAUUCUAGUAUAGCUAGCAUAGGCCGGCUUAAAGUAUUGUCAGCACUAAAGUUAAUUAUUUGGCGGUGUAGGCGGUGUUGGCCUUCCAGUUGGCAGGGAUGACAUCGUCGUAGACGGACUUGGUGCCUCCCUCGGUAGUGAGGCGGACGGUGAGGGGUCCCUUAAGCGGUUUGUCGCUGUCCUUCCUCCAGAUGGCGCCCCAGGAGUGCUUCAGGGGCUCGUACGUGUCAGAGCCCUUCUCCUUGACGUCCACUGCCACAAUGUCACCGUCGCCAUCGACGUACUUGACCAGCAGCGCCAGGUAGUUGGGGCCGCACCCCUUUUCAAGGUGGAAGGUGACCUUGGAGUCGUACUUGCACUUAACCCUUCGGAACUGCAUGUCGAUGAUGCCCGCCUUGCGCAGCUUCUCCUCCUCGCCCUUCUUGGCCAUGGCGCCGAACGCCGUGCCUGCUAAAUCGAAGUGGUACGCCGCGAUAGGCUCAUAGUUCAUGUCCGUGAUGUGCACCACCACGGGCUUGCCGGAGCACUCCACAGGCUUAUCGCACUUGAUCUCGAAGCAGGACCCACAACCCAGACCAUCCUUGAAGAUGGGGAUGUUGCCGCAUGCGCCCAUGCUAUUGAAGGGGGGCUUGUUCACGUCCUUGUACCCGCAGCCGCCACCGUUAUCGUCGGGACCGGCACCCGUCGGCUUGCCAUACCAUGUCGCUUUAGCGUCCAGCCAGUCCUUGCCAUAGGUGGCCGUGAUGUUCUUGCCUGGGGGGACUUUGGGAGGACCGCACCAUGCGCCUCUCACCAAGAACACCAACGCCACAACCAUCGCAACCUGUGCCCGCAUCGACGACCACAUGGUUCUCACAUUCACAGCCAUGUUUUGUCUUGGAUUAGUGAAUGGUACUAUGCUACGAUGAAUGAGCGGGUAGGCCUGAAUUUAUGGUUGUGUGUGCCAACGGUUGGACGAUCGAGCUUGCAACCGUGAAGCGCGCGCAUGCAUGCACCAACGAGGAGGUAGAGUUUGCAUGGUCGAGCGAGCUUUUCUCUUGGCCACCAGUUUACUAAUUGGUUCCGUAAGUCGAAGGUGACCAUGCAUGGUAGCUCUGCAUGCAAAGCUGCUCGUAUCAUCGCGAUACUUAUGCCAUGGUGCUACUUUGGCUAAUGGUGAAGCGAGGACUCUCCUUCUUCUCGCUUUGAAAGGGAAAUAACCUCAACAUUUCCUAUAAUCGAUUUUGGUGUUUGACGUCCAUCACAAAACCAUAUGGACUAAUUAGUUUGCCUAGUGGACAUUUUUCCCACGUGCAUAAAGUUCACAUAAACAUACAAAGAAAAGGAAUUGAGUGAAUUCUACAAAGUUUGGAGCAUACAAGUUCUUGUGCUACUAGUAGCGCACCGGACACUGUCCGGUGUGCAUCGGACACUGUCUGGUACCCUGGCUGAGCACCUCGCGAACUGGUCGCUCUCAGGUUUUCUCAGCGUUAGUCCGCUAAAAUUCAUCGAACUGUCUGAUGCACCACCAGACUAUCCGGUGAGACAACGGAGCAACGAUCAACUUCGCUGACUACAGGGCAGUCUGCAGCGCAGAAGUCAGAAGUCAGUCUGCAAAGUCAGAACACACCAGACUGUUCGGUGUGCCACCAGACUAUCCAGUGCCACAAGAAGAUAGUAGACUUCAACGGUCAAUAGCUCCAAACCCCAAUGGUCAACAGCUCCAAACCCCAACGGUCGACUCACGUGGCACUCACCGGAUAUUAAACAAUGCAGUGUUCCGUGCACCACCGGACUGUCCGGUGUGCCCAUCUACAGCAACGGCUGGAAUAGUGGUUAGGGCUAUAAAUACCCCCGACCACCACCAUUCAAGCCACCCAAGCAUUGCAACUUCCUCAUUCAAUACUAGAGCAAAAGAAUACACUCCAAACACACAAUCAAAGCAUCAACCCCUCUCCAAGCUUCAAAAUCAAGUCAAGUGAUCAAAAGUGCUUAGUGACUUGAGAGAGGGUGAUUUGUGUUUGUUUUGUUGCUCUUGUUGCUUGGUUGCAUUCUUCUUCUCAUUCUAAACUUCUCAAGUGUUUUGUAAAGCAAGCGAGAGACACCUAAUUGUGUGGUGAUCCUUGCGGGGUCUUAGUGACACGUGUGAUUAAGAAGAUGCACUUAACCGGUCUAAGUGACCGAUUGAGAGAGGAAAAGGGUUGGAAUAGACCCAGCCUUUUGGCCUCCUCAAUGGGGAGUAGGUUCCUUGGAACCGAACCUCUGGAAACAAAUCACCGUGUUCGCUUGUGUUGAUCUUUAUCACUCGAUUUGUUUCUUCCCUCUCCUCUCUUCCUAAUAGUUCCCUUGCUCACAUUGAUUUGAGUUUGAUACCAAAGUUAUCCGCAUUGAUUGAGCAACUCAAAGCAAGGAGAACUAUCUCCCGCUCUUCGAAUUUAAUAUUAUUUAUCUCUAACCCUAACCCCGUGUGAAGUGCGUGUUCAAAGUUUAUAAUUUUCAAGUUUCGCCUAUUCACCCUCUCUAGGCGACUUUCAUGCUUCCUAUGGAAGAAUUCAUUGUUACCACAUAUUUUUAAGUCAUUAUAUUGGAGCAAAGUUGCGUAACCAUGUCAACCUCUAUUAUUCGUGGAAACGAUCCUUCAGGGAUUGUCGCAAGUUAAUUGGUAUAUCAAAUGUGCGAAUGUAGGAUUUAAACAUAGCGUAAUCUUCAAGACUCCACAUCUAAAUGAACAACUAGAAAGAUGACUUGUCUAGACAAUUAUAGGGAAUUGAACCAUAAACAUUCGAGGUACUCCAAUUAUACAAAAAAUGUAAUUAUGAGAUUCGUGUUGGACAAACGAGGUCAAAUUUAACCAAAUUUAUAUUCAGUAUUAUUAAUAUUUAUAUCAAAUAUAUUAUACUAGAACUUUUAAUACAUAGUGAAAUGAACUGCGAGCUUUCCAAAGAACCCCAACAUUCUUCUUUGCUAAAAAGACUAUUUUGUAUGCGCAUGCAUAGGCAACUAAUUCUUCUAACUAGUUGUUAUAACAUUUUCUUUUAUAUAUACUAGUCAGUUGUCAGUAUGUUACUAUGGUUUUCAUAUUCACAAUAUUAAUAAUAUACAUUUUUUCUAGAACAUGAAUAAAUAUGUGUUUCAGUGGUUAGACGCUAAGCAUAGGAGGAAUGGUUCUAACCCUAGGUUCUACAUUUUUUGGAUUUUCUCAUGGGAGAACUUAACGCAUAAAGGGCGACAUCUUAAUUAAUGUUGGAAAUUGUACAAGUAAUGCAUGCAAACGGUGAAGACAAAAGUUUUAUCUCAUGAGUAGAAAGCUCAUGUUAUGUAGCACAAAUGAACACCUUAGCGUCGACCUUCAAAGAACGACCAACACACGUUAAGGAUGGCCCUACAUCUAGAAUCAGCAUGUACUAUCAUAUAUUUCAAUUAGUCAUAAAAAAUAUGUAUUCUAUUAAAAUGUAGCCAUGCAUGAUAAAGUUAGGAUUACGUAGGAGAUACAUGGACAACACAACAUUCAUGGAUCCUUUUAUAAAAAAUGAAGGCCUAUCAAAUAUUUCAUUAGGCACUUAUUAUAUAACGUGUCAAUCCAUUUCUUAACUCUUCUCUUUUAAACAACAGCGAAGUCUCACUCUAGCUAUAUAUGGAGAUGAAGAAGAUGGAGAAGGAGGAUGACACCAUCAUUGUUGGCGCCAGCAUCACUGUCGUAAUAGGGUAGUGGUAGCAAAUAGAUAUCACGGUCCAAUGCAUGCAUGUGUAAUGCAUUGCUUGGGAUCCAACCCAAUCUAGUAUAGCUAGCAUAGGUCGGCUUAAAGUAUUGUCAGCACUAAAGUUAAUUAUUUGGCGGUGUAGGCGGUGUUGGCCUUCCAGUUGGCAGGGAUGACAUCGUCGUAGACGGACUUGGUGCCUCCCUCGGUAGUGAGGCGGACGGUGAGGGGUCCCUUAAGCGGUUUGUCGCUGUCCUUCCUCCAGAUGGCGCCCCAGGAGUGCUUCAGGGGCUCGUAUGUGUCGGAGCCCUUCUCCUUGACGUCCACUGCCACAAUGUCACCGUCGCCGUCGACGUACUUGACCAGCAGUGCCAGGUAGUUGGGGCCGCACCCCUUUUCAAGGUGGAAGGUGACCUUGGAGUCGUACUUGCACUUAACCCUUCGGAACUGCAUGUCGAUGAUGCCCGCCUUGCGUAGCUUCUCCUCCUCGCCCUUCUUGGCCAUGGCGCCGAACGCCGUGCCUGCUAAAUCGAAGUGGUACGCCGCGAUAGGCUCAUAGUUCAUGUCCGUGAUGUGCACCACCACGGGCUUGCCGGAGCACUCCACAGGCUUAUCGCACUUGAUCUCGAAGCAGGACCCACAACCCAGACCAUCCUUGAAGAUGGGGAUGUUGCCGCAUGCGCCCAUGCUAUUGAAGGGGGGCUUGUUCACGUCCUUGUACCCGCAGCCGCCACCGUUGUCGUCGGGACCGGCACCCGUCGGCUUGCCAUACCAUGUCGCUUUAGCGUCCAACCAGUCCUUGCCAUAGGUGGCCGUGAUGUUCUUGCCUGGGGGGACUUUGGGAGGACCGCACCAUGCGCCGCUCACCAAGAACACCAACGCCACAGCCAUCGCAACAUGUGCCCGCAUCGACGACCACAUGGUUCUCACAUUCACAGCCAUGUUUUGUCUUGGAUUAGUGAAUGGUACUAUGCUACGAUGAAUGAGAGGGUAGGCCUGAAUUUAUGGUUGUGUGUGCCAACGGUUGGACGAUCGAGCUUGCAACCGUGAAGCGCGCGCAUGCAUGCACCAACGAGGAGGUAGAGUUUGCAUGGUCGAGCGAGCUUUUCUCUUGGCCACCAGUUUACUAAUUGGUUCCGUAAGUCGAAGGCGACCAUGCAUGGUAGCUCUGCAUGCAAAGCUGCUCGUAUCGUCGCGAUACUUAUGCCAUGGUGCUACUUUGGCUAAUGGUGAAGCGAGGACUCUCCUUCUUCUCGCUUUGAAAGGGAAAUAACCUCAACAUUUCCUAUAAUCGAUUUUGGUGUUUGACGUCCAUCACAAAACCAUAUGGACUAAUUAGUUUGCCUAGUGGACAUUUUUCCCACGUGCAUAAAGUUCACAUAAACAUACAAAGAAAAGGACUUGAGUGAAUUCUACAAAGUUUGGAGCAUACAAGUUCUUGUGCUACCAGUAGCGCACCGGACACUGUCCGGUGUGCAUCGGACACUGUCUGGUACCCUGGCUGAGCACCUCGCGAACUGGUCGCUCUCGGGUUUUCUCAGCGUUAGUCCGCUAAAAUUCAUCGAACUGUCCGAUGCACCACCAGACUAUCCGGUGAGACAACGGAGCAACGAUCAACUUCGCUGACUACAGGGCAGUCUGCAGCGCAGAAGUCAGAAGUCAGUCUGCAAAGUCAGAACACACCAGACUGUUCGGUGUGCCACCAGACUAUCCAGUGCCACAAGAAGACAGUAAACUUCAACGGUCAAUAGCUCCAAACCCCAAUGGUCAACAGCUCCAAACCCCAACGGUCGACUCACGUGGCACUCACCGGAUAGUAAACAAUGCAGUGUUCCGUGCACCACCGGACUGUCCGGUGUGCCCAUCUACAGCAACGGCUGGAAUAGUGGUUAGGGCUAUAAAUACCCCCGACCACCACCAUUCAAGCCACCCAAGCAUUGCAACUUCCUCAUUCAAUACUAGAGCAAAAGAAUACACUCCAAACACACAAUCAAACCAUCAACCCCUCUCCAAGCUUCAAAAUCAAGUCAAGUGAUCAAAAGUGCUUAGUGACUUGAGAGAGGGUGAUUUGUGUUUGUUUUGUUGCUCUUGUUGCUUGGUUGCAUUCUUCUUCUCAUUCUAAACUUCUCAAGUGUUUUGUAAAGCAAGCGAGAGACACCUAAUUGUGUGGUGAUCCUUGCGGGGUCUUAGUGACACGUGUGAUUAAGAAGAUGCACUUAACCGGUCUAAGUGACCGAUUGAGAGAGGAAAAGGGUUGGAAUAGACCCAGCCUUUGUGGCCUCCUCAAUGGGGAGUAGGUUCCUUGGAACCGAACCUCGAGAAACAAAUCACCGUGUUCACUUGAGUUGAUCUUUAUCACUCGAUUUGUUUCUUCCCUCUCCUCUCUUCCUAAAAGUUCCCUUGCUCACAUUGAUUUGAGUUUGAUACCAAAGUUAUCCGCAUUGAUUGAGCAACUCAAAGCAAGGAGAACUAUCUCCCGCUCUUCGAAUUUAAUAUUAUUUAUCUCUAACCCUAACCCCGUGUGAAGUGCGUGUUCAAAGUUUAUAAUUUUCAAGUUUCGCCUAUUCACCCUCUCUAGGCGACUUUCAUGCUUCCUAUGGAAGAAUGUCAUUGUUGCCACAUAUUUUUAAGUCAUUAUAUUGGAGCAAAGUGGCGUAACCAUGUCAACCUCUAUUAUUCGUGGAAACGAUCCUUCAGGGAUUGUCGCAAGUUAAUUGGUAUAUCAAAUGUGCGAAUGUAGGAUUUAAACAUAGCGUAAUCUUCAAGACUCCACAUCUAAAUGAACAACUAGAAAGAUGACUUGUCUAGACAAUUAUAGGGAAUUGAACCAUAAACAUUCGAGGUACUCCAAUUAUACAAAAAUGUAAUUAUGAGAUUCGUGUUGGACAAACGAGGUCAAAUUUAACCAAAUUUAUAUUCAGUAUUCUUAAUAUUUAUAUCAAAUAUAUUAUACUAGAACUUUUAAUACAUAGUGAAAUGAACUGCGAGCUUUCCAAAGAACCCCAACAUUCUUCUUUGCUAAAAAAGACUAUUUUGUAUGCGCAUGCAUAGGCAACUAAUUCUUCUAACUAGUUGUUAUAACAUUUUCUUUUAUAUAUACUAGUCAGUUGUCAGUAUGUUACUAUGGUUUUCAUAUUCACAAUAUUAAUAAUAUACAUUCUUUCUAGAACAUGAAUAAAUAUGUGUUUCAGUGGUUAGACGCUAAGCAUAGGAGGAAUGGUUCUAACCCUAGGUUCUACAUUUUUUGGAUUUUCUCAUGGGAGAACUUAACGCAUAAAGGGCGACAUCUUAAUUAAUGUUGGAAAUUGUACAAGUAAUGCAUGCAAACGGUGAAGACAGAAGUUUUAUCUCAUGAGUAGAAAGCUCAUGUUAUGUAACACAAAUGAACACCUUAGCGUCGACCUUCAAAGAACGACCAACACACGUUAAGGAUGGCCCUACAUCUAGAAUCAGCAUGUACUAUCAUAUAUUUCAAUUAGUCAUAAAAAAUAUGUAUUCUAUUAAAAUGUAGCCAUGCAUGAUAAAGUUAGGAUUACGUAGGAGAUACAUGGACAACACAACAUUCAUGGAUCCUUUUAUAAAAAAUGAAGGCCUAUCAAAUAUUUCAUUAGGCACUUAUUAUAUAACGUGUCAAUCCAUUUCUUAACUCUGAUCUUUUAAACAACAGCGAAGUCUCACUCUAGCUAUAUAUGGAGAUGAAGAAGAUGGAGAAGGAGGAUGACACCAUCAUUGUUGGCGCCAGCAUCACUGUCAUAAUAGGGUAGUGGUAGCAAAUAGAUAUCACGGUCCAAUGCAUGCAUGUGUAAUGCAUUGCUUGGGAUCCAACCCAAUCUAGUAUAGCUAGCAUAGGUCAGCUUAAAGUAUUGUCAGCACUAAAGUUAAUUAUUUGGCGGUGUAGGCGGUGUUGGCCUUCCAGUUGGCAGGGAUGACAUCGUCGUAGACGGACUUGGUGCCUCCCUCGGUAGUGAGGCGGACGGUGAGGGGUCCCUUAAGCGGUUUGUCGCUGUCCUUCCUCCAGAUGGCGCCCCAGGAGUGCUUCAGGGGCUCGUACGUGUCGGAGCCCUUCUCCUUGACGUCCACUGCCACAAUGUCACCGUCGCCGUCGACGUACUUGACCAACAGUGCCAGGUAGUUGGGGCCGCACCCCUUUUCAAGGUGGAAGGUGACCUUGGAGUCGUACUUGCACUUAACCCUUCGGAACUGCAUGUCGAUGAUGCCCGCCUUGCGCAGCUUCUCCUCCUCGCCCUUCUUGGCCAUGGCGCCGAACGCCGUGCCUGCUAAAUCGAAGUGGUACGCCGCGAUAGGCUCAUAGUUCAUGUCCGUUAUGUGCACCACCACGGGCUUGCCGGAGCACUCCACAGGCUUAUCGCACUUGAUCUCGAAGCAGGACCCACAACCCAGACCAUCCUUGAAGAUGGGGAUGUUGCCGCAUGCGCCCAUGCUAUUGAAGGGGGGCUUGUUCACGUCCUUGUACCCGCAGCCGCCACCGUUGUCAUCGGGACCGGCACCCGUCGGCUUGCCAUACCAUGUCGCUUUAGCGUCCAGCCAGUCCUUGCCAUAGGUGGCCGUGAUGUUCUUGCCUGGGGGGACUUUGGGAGGACCGCACCAUGCGCCGCUCACCAAGAACACCAACGCCACAACCAUCGCAACCUGUGCCCGCAUCGACGACCACAUGGUUCUCACAUUCACAGCCAUGUUUUGUCUUGGAUUAGUGAAUGGUACUAUGCUACAAUGAAUGAGAGGGUAGGCCUGAAUUUAUGGUUGUGUGUGCCAACGGUUGGACGAUCGAGCUUGCAACCGUGAAGCGCGCGCAUGCAUGCACCAACGAGGAGGUAGAGUUUGCAUGGUCGAGCGAGCUUUUCUCUUGGCCACCAGUUUACUAAUUGGUUCCGUAAGUCGAAGGCGACCAUGCAUGGUAGCUCUGCAUGCAAAGCUGCUCGUAUCGUCGCGAUACUUAUGCCAUGGUGCUACUUUGGCUAAUGGUGAAGCGAGGACUCUCCUUCUUCUCGCUUUGAAAGGGAAAUAACCUCAACAUUUCCUAUAAUUGAUUUUGGUGUUUGACGUCCAUCACAAAACCAUAUGGACUAAUUAGUUUGCCUAGUGGACAUUUUUCCCACGUGCAUAAAGUUCACAUAAACAUACAAAGAAAAGGACUUGAGUGAAUUCUACAAAGUUUGGAGCAUACAAGUUCUUGUGCUACCAGUAGCGCACCGGACACUGUCCGGUGUGCAUCGGACACUGUCUGUUACCCUAGCUGAGCACCUCGCGAACUGGUCGCUCUCGGGUUUUCUCAGCGUUAGUCCGCUAAAAUUCAUCGAACUGUCCGAUGCACCACCAGACUAUCCGGUGAGACAACGGAGCAACGAUCAACUUCGCUGACUACAGGGCAGUCUGCAGCGCAGAAGUCAGAAGUCAGUCUGCAAAGUCAGAACACACCAGACUGUUCGGUGUGCCACCAGACUAUCCAGUGCCACAAGAAGACAGUAAACUUCAACGGUCAAUAGCUCCAAACCCCAAUGGUCAACAGCUCCAAACCCCAACGGUCGACUCACGUGGCACUCACCGGAUAGUAAACAAUGCAGUGUUCCGUGCACCACCGGACUGUCCGGUGUGCCCAUCUACAGCAACGACUGGAAUAGUGGUUAGGGCUAUAAAUACCCCCGACCACCACCAUUCAAGCCACCCAAGCAUUGCAACUUCCUCAUUCAAUACUAGAGCAAAAGAAUACACUCCAAACACACAAUCAAAGCAUCAACCCCUCUCCAAGCUUCAAAAUCAAGUCAAGUGAUCAAAAGUGCUUAGUGACUUGAGAGAGGGUGAUUUGUGUUUGUUUUGUUGCUCUUGUUGCUUGGUUGCAUUCUUCUUCUCAUUCUAAACUUCUCAAGUGUUUUGUAAAGCAAGCGAGAGACACCUAAUUGUGUGGUGAUCCUUGCGGGGUCUUAGUGACACGUGUGAUUAAGAAGAUGCACUUAACCGGUCUAAGUGACCGAUUGAGAGAGGAAAAGGGUUGGAAUAGACCCAGCCUUUGUGGCCUCCUCAAUGGGGAGUAGGUUUCUUGGAACCGAACCUCGAGAAACAAAUCACCGUGUUCACUUGUGUUGAUCUUUAUCACUCGAUUUGUUUCUUCCCUCUCCUCUCUUCCUAAAAGUUCCCUUGCUCACAUUGAUUUGCGUUUGAUACCAAAGUUAUCCGCAUUGAUUGAGCAACUCAAAGCAAGGAGAACUAUCUCCCGCUCUUCGAAUUUAAUAUUAUUUAUCUCUAACCCUAACCCCGUGUGAAGUGCGUGUUCAAAGUUUAUAAUUUUCAAGUUUCGCCUAUUCACCCUCUCUAGGCGAUUUUCAUGCUUCCUAUGGAAGAAUGUCAUUGUUGCCACAUAUUUUUAAGUCAUUAUAUUGGAGCAAAGUGGCGUAACCAUGUCAACCUCUAUUAUUCGUGGAAACGAUCCUUCAGGGAUUGUCGCAAGUUAAUUGGUAUAUCAAAUGUGCGAAUGUAGGAUUUAAACAUAGCGUAAUCUUCAAGACUCCACAUCUAAAUGAACAACUAGAAAGAUGACUUGUCUAGACAAUUAUAGGGAAUUGAACCAUAAACAUUCGAGGUACUCCAAUUAUACAAAAAAUGUAAUUAUGAGAUUCGUGUUGGACAAACUAGGUCAAAUUUAACCAAAUUUAUAUUCAGUAUUCUUAAUAUUUAUAUCAAAUAUAUUAUACUAGAACUUUUAAUACAUAGUGAAAUGAACUGCGAGCUUUCCAAAGAACCCCAACAUUCUUCUUUGCUAAAAAGACUAUUUUGUAUGCGCAUGCAUAGGCAACUAAUUCUUCUAACUAGUUGUUAUAACAUUUUCUUUUAUAUAUACUAGUCAGUUGUCAGUAUGUUACUAUGUGUCGGCGUUUUGAGACCGGGGGGUCCCUAAGCCGACGAGUGAAUGUCGCUGCGUGCCCCAGCCCAGAUGGGUCGAGCGCGUGGGCGAGCGCGAUGGGGGGAAGCGAGGUGGCCGGAGAUGGGCGUGAGAGAGGUGGAAAUCCCGCGGCCUUCGUGUUCGUCCCGCGCCCAGGUCGGGUGCGCUUGCAGUAGGGGGUUACAAGCGUCCACGCGGGUGAGGGAAGCGAGCGGCCCCAAGAGAGCGCCUGUCCCGUCCUCGUCCCCGCGCGGCCAACCCUCUCUAAGAGGGCCCUGGUCCUUCCUUUUAUAGGCGUAAGGAGAGGAGCCAGGUGUACAAUGGGGGUGUAGCAGAGUGCUACGUGUCUAGCGGGGGAGAGCUAGCGCCCUAAGUACAUGCCGAUGUGGCAGCCGGAGAGAUCUUGGCACCCAGCUGGUGUGAUGUCGUGGCCGUCGGAGGAGCGACGGAGCCUGGCGGAGGGACAACUGUCGGAGCGGUUGAGUCCUUGCUGACGUCCUCCUGCUUCCGUAAGAGAGCUGAGAGCCGCCGUCGUCAUAGAGCAUGCGGGGCGCCAUCAUUGCCUAUCUGGCGGAGCUAGCCAGAUGGGACGCCGGUCUUGUUCUCUGCGGCCCGAGUCAGCUCGGGGUAGGGUGAUGAUGGCGCUUCCUGUUGACGUGGCUGGCCUGCGCCCUAGGUUGGGCGACGUGGAGGCUCCUCCGAAGCCGAGGUCGAGUCUGUCUUCUGUGGCCGAGGCCGAGUCCGAGCCCCUGGGUCGGGCGAGGCGGAGGUUGUUCGGCAGAGGCCAGGGCGGAGUCCGAGCCCUGGGGUCGGGCGGAGCGGAGUUCGUCGUCUUCUGGGGCUGAGCCCGAGUCCGAGCCCUGGGGUCGGGCGGAGCGGAGUUCGUCGUCUUCUGGGGCUGAGCCCGAGUCCGAGCCCUGGGGUCGGGCGGAGCGGAGUUCGCUGUCUUCCGGGACUUAGCCCGAGUCUGAGCCCUGGGGUCGGGCGGAGCGGAGUUCGCCGUCUUCCGGGACUUAGCCCGAGUCCGAGCCCUGGGUCGGGCGGAGCGGAGUUCGCCGUCUUCCGGGACUUAGCCCGAGUCCGAGCCCUGGGUCGGGCGGAGCGGAGUUCACCGUCUUCCGGGACUUAGCCCGAGUCCGAGCCCUGGGGUCGGGCGGAGCUUCCUAUGGUGCCUUUGGCAGGGCCUGACUGCCCGUCAGUCUCACUCUGUCGAGUGGCACUGCAGUUGGAGUGGCGCAGGCGGCGCUGUCCUUCUGCCAGGCCGGUCAGUGGAGCGGCGAAGUGACGGCGGUCACUUCGGCUCUGCCGGGGGGCGUGUGUCAGGAUAAAGGUGUCAGGCCACCUUUGCGUUAAAUGCUCCUGCGAUUCGGUCGGUCGAUGCGGCGAUUUAGUCAGGGUUGCUUCUUAGCGAAGGAAGGGCCUCGGGCGAGCCGGAGAUGUGUCCGCCGUUGGAGGGGGGCCUCGGGCGAGACGGAAAUCCUCUGGGGUCGGCUGCCCUUGUCCGAGGCUAGGCUCGGGCGAGGCAUGAUCGAGUCGCUCGAAUGGACUGAUCCCUGACUUAAUCGCACCCAUCAGGCCUUUGCAGCUUUAUGCUGAUGGGGGUUACCAGCUGAGAAUUAGGCGUCUUGAGGGUACCCCUAAUUAUGGUCCCCGACAGUAGCCCCCGAGCCUCGAAGGGAGUGUUAGCACUCGCUUGGAGGCUUUCGUCGCACUUUUUUGCAAGGGGACCAGCCUUUCUCGGUUGCAUUUUGUUCCGGUGGGUGCGCGCGAGCGCACCCGCCGGGUGUAGCCCCCGAGGCCUCGGAGGAGUGGUUUCACUCCUCCGAGGUCUUAAUGCCUUGCGUAAUGCUUCGGCUGGUCUGGUUGUUCCCUCAUGCGAACUGGCCGUAGCCCGGGUGCACGGUCGGGACCCAAGUUCUCGGGCUGGUAUGUUGACGCUGUCAACGGUUCGGCCGGAGCCGGGUUUGCGAGAGCAGCCCCCGAGCCUCCGCACAGGGCGAGAGGACGAUCAGGGACAGACUCGGCUUUUUUACAUACGCCCCUGCAUCGCCUUUCCGCAAGGAGGAGGGGGGAAAGCGCCAUGUUACCCUCGAUGGGCGCCGAACAUGGUGUCUCCGGUGAGCUGCAAGCGGGUAAUCCGAGUGGACGUCCGUGCCCCGUUCGUUAGGGGUCGGCUAGGGGCCCAGAGGCACGCCCAAAAGUACCUACGGGUGAUCUGCCGGACCCGGUCCCCUGGCGACGGGGUCCGAUGGCUCGAUGCCUCCCUCUGAUGGGAUUCCGUUACAAGAUCGCUCCCGCUGGUCUCGGAAAUGUCCUAGGGUACCUUGGGAGCGCAGCCCGAGCCUUGAUUAUGUAUCGAACGUACCCCUGGUCAUCCCUCGCUCGGCGUCUGAGGCGACUAUGAACCCUUCGGGGGCCAGCCUUCGAACCCCUGAUCAGUAAUGGGUGCGGAGCCCGAGUAGCCUGAGGCGGCCGUGGAACUAACCCUUCGGGGGGCUGGCCUUCGAACCUCUGACCAGUAGUGGGUGUAGGGCCCACGCGAUCUGAGGCGGCUGUUGAACCCCUCGGGGGGCCAGCCUUCGAACCUCUGAUCAGUAGGGGGGCUCGGAGCCCGGUUCCUUCACGGGGAAGGAUCCUUUUCGGGGUAUCCCCCUUUCCCGGUCCCUGUUGCAAGAGAUAGAGAAAGAGGAAAAAAGGAAAAGGAUACGAAAUCGAACGAUGUGGCGUACCUUUUUUGGCGCGGUUAUUACGGCGAAGGCGAAGCGUUGCCCGCUUCUCCUGCCAGAAGCGCCGCCUGUCCCGCCGCGGAGUUAAUGCGACAGGGCGAGUGGUUGGCGGGGCGGUCGUCGCGCGUGCGCGAGCCGUUCGAGGAACGGAUCACGGGCGCGUUGUCUUCACGUCGUGAGAGGGGGUUCUCUUGCUGCCCCUGGAUGGGACGUGAGCUUGGCUGACGACGUGACCGCUGCUCCCGCCCGCCUGCCACCGUCAUUACUGCCGGCCCACUUUCGGCCACAUUGACCGUCGCGCCAGGCUGGCGCUGCUGGGUCGUGCGCUGGGUCGCCUCGAGUCGCGGUAUUGGUUCCGCAACCGAAGAGGCGCGGUGGUGGCGCAAGUGGCGGUGCAGUUGCUUGCAUGCAGCAUCCGGCGCGCCGGUUGCGUGACGCGUGGGCCUGGGCCUCCAGGCUGGGCGCGUUGGGAGUCGCAGAAGCGCGCCCACUUGGCGCGGUUGCAUGCCGCCUGCAUGGCUGCCCGCCUCUCUCGCCCGUUGGUCUGGGCAAAAGUGGAGGGUCACUUGUAACCGCUGGGCGGUUGAGUGCACCGCGCGCGGCGGUUUGGCUUCUUCUGCUCCGAGCCGGUUUGCAUGACAUGCGGGACCCAGCCCCCGCGCCGCAGGGGAGGGCCUUGGAGCGUGUUGGAGAAGACUCAGUCCGUGACGAUUGGGGGCGCAAGUAGGGAGAGUUGCCUUUAAAAGGAGGGCGACCCCUUUCGGAAGGCGAGCAUGUCUUCUCGCUUCCUUAUGCAUCGCGUCUCUCCACCUUCCAAGCCCCCGGAUGGGGGAUAACCGCCGUCUUUUCGCCUCAUCGUUGGAGGAACACAACUCCGUGGGAGUUGGUACCUUUCAGCCAUCGUUCGGCUUCAAGGAUUUUCAUCGGCCAGCCCGGCUAUACCCCCCCGCCGGCGGUCACCCAAGACGGUGACCACCAGUUCCUGGGUGGGGAGAAGCAAGCCGGGCUGCGAUCUUGGUCCCACCCUCAGCUUCAAGGAUGUUCAUCAUCCUCGCUGGGGUGGGGGCCGGGCUGAGCCGGCGCUCUACCUCCCGCGCGGGUUCGUGGGUCACCCUCUCCCGCGGCGUUCGAGGGAGAGGGCGCUCACUGGCCCUGCGGGUGGCCCGGACUUCGACAACGCGGGGCUGGUCGACGGCGGGCGUCGUCACCUCCAGCGUGUCGGGCUCGUCGGCUUGGCUCCCGGCGGCCCCUCCUGCCGGAGGGCGGCUCCCGCGCCGUGUGCACGGGAGGACCACCCAAGAUGCCGCGCGCUGCUAGGGCGGCGUUCGUGUUCUGGGGUGGCCCUGCCUUUGCACCGGGAUGGCACCUUCACGCAGAGGCCGAUGCCCCACUCGUCCGGGAGGAUUUGAGUGGGGAUCUGCCGGAGGGCUGAUGGCCCCUGCCAUCGGUGCCGAGGUGACGGCGGUUCGAGAAGUCCCCGUCGCCGACGGGAUCACCGCCACCAUCCGCGCUUCGGGCCUCCAGCUCUUUGUACUUGUCCUCGCCCCUCGAGCGUCGGCGUGGGCGAGGGCAAGAUUGCAGCAGCGCCCACCCUGAGGCCUGCGCUGCUGCAGUUCGACCACCCGGAGCGGGGGUCGUUGUCGUCGUAGUCAGAGCGGGCGGCAGCGAGCCGCUCGUCAGUCUUCUGUUGCUCCGCAGGCCCUCUCCCAUGGAGUGGGGUUGUUCGUACCUGCGGAGGGGGAACCGGAGUUCCGUUUGUAAUGGCACUUCGAAUGCCAGUGUUUUUGUUCAUUAUGGCUGUCGAGGCCUGAACAUGUAUGUAAUUUUGGCACGGAGCCGUGUUUUUUCCUCAUUCUCGAGCACUAAGACUCGCCUGUUGAUUAUCUGAACCGCUUCACCAAGCAUGAGUCGCCCCGUGUCAAGGUGACGAGUGAGGUAUCCGUAUCCCGGAGGCGUAGGAGUCCCUCGGCUCGGUCGGCCUUGCUGUCUGAGGCUCCUCUAGCUUAGUUAAAGGGACCCCUUGGCCGCUCUUCGACGAGCCGAGGCCAGGGGUAGCGAUAUCAGCGUGAACAGAGGCGGAGUUGGCUCGAAAAUGAAACCUGGUCGGCCGGAGCCUAGCCGGGUUGUCCGUUAGUGGGGCCGACGUCGGAGUUGAUCAGCCGAGGCCUCGGGUCGGGCUGGCGCCCUUGGAAGAUGGUCGGCCGAGGCCUCAGAGGUGACCGGCCGAGCCACCUGCUCGGGCCGGAUUCCCGGAGAAGACCCUGGCGGCGAUGGCCCGGGCGUGGUGAUGACGUCGUCCUUCGGAGUGGAGGUCUUCGGACCGCGUCGCCGUCCGAGGCUAGGUCGAACCUCGCCGAAGUUGUCGUCGAUGCCGAGGGUGCUGCUGCCCCCUUCCAGCGUCAAGACCCGAGCCUGCAGGAUCAGAUAGUCUUGUAGCGUGUGCCUUCUGCGGCCGCCGAGGCCAGAACACACACCCUUGCUGCGUUGUAAAGUUGCGUCUCUUUUCCUCUUGUUUCGAGUAUCUGGACUUUUUUGUCGGUAACAGGGAUGUUUGUGCGAGCGAGAGUUGCUUCUCGCGGAAGGUGAUGAGUGAGGUAUCCGUAUCCCGGAGGCGUGGGAGUCCCUCGGCUCGGUCGACCUUGCCGCUUACGCGUACUUUCACCCGUCCAUGAGGCCCUGUCACCGACUCAGUCGAGAAGGCUCGAAGGAUCGCUUCGGCAGAAGAGCUUCCGAAUGUGAAGACUUGUUCGGUCCGCGGAAUCACUUUAUCCGAAUGCGAGUUACUUAUCGCAGAAGGUGAUGAGUGAGGUAUCCGUAUCCCGGAGGCGUAGGAGUCCCUCGGCUCGGUCAGCCUUGGCUGCUUACGUGUACUCCGUCGUUUUCAGGAUCCACUUUUCGAAGUAGUCAGAAAGCAUGAAAGACAUUCUGGCGGAAGAGAUCUUUUUUCGAGGAAAAUUUCAACGCAGAGGGGGUUCCCCCCCUUUUAGCCCCCGAGGGAGGGUCGGGCUUUGCCGAGGCGAGGCCGACCCUUCCUGGAUGACUAAACUUUGCGUGGGUGCGAGGUAUAUGAACAAUUUGAAAAUAUCUUAAGGGUAGAAGCGACGUAGCUGUUGGAUGUUCCAAGCGUUGCUGUAGACCUCGCCUUGACUGUUGGCCAGCUUGUACGUUCCGGGCUUCAGAACUUUGGCGAUGACGAAUGGCCCCUCCCAGGGGGGCGUGAGCUUGUGCCUCCCUCGGUCGUCUUGCCGCAGCCGAAGCACCAGGUCGCCCACCUGGAGGUCUCGGGGCCGGACCCCUCGGGCGUGGUAGCGUCGCAGGGACUGCUGGUACCGCGCCGAGUGUAGUAAGGCCUUGUCCUGAGCCUCUUCCAGCUGGUCCAGCGAGUCUUCUCGACUAACUUGGUUGCUUUGAUCGCUGUAGGCCCUCGUCCUCGGGGAGCCGUAUUCCAGGUCAGUGGGCAAGACGGCCUCGGCCCCAUAGACCAGGAAGAACGGCGUGAAACCCGUGGCUCGGCUCGGCGUUGUCCUCAGGCUCCAGACCACCGAGGGGAGUUCCUUCAUCCAUCGCUUGCCGAACUUGUCGAGGUCGUUGUAAAUCCGAGGCUUGAGCCCUUGUAGAAUCAUGCCGUUGGCACGCUCUACUUGCCCGUUCAUCAUGGGAUGAGCCACGGCGGCCCAGUCCACCCGGAUGUGGUGAUCUUUGCAGAAGUCCAAGAACUUUCUGCCGGUGAACUGGGUACCGUUGUCGGUGAUGAUGGAGUUCGGGACCCCGAAGCGAUGGAUGAUGUUGGUGAAGAACGUCACCGCCUGCUCGGACCUGAUGCUGUUCAGAGGUCGGACCUCGACCCACUUGGAGAAUUUGUCGAUGGCGACCAGCAGGUGCGUGUAGCCCCGGGCGCCUUCUGCAAGGGGCCGACGAGGUCCAGACCCCACACAGCAAAGAGCCAGGUGAUGGGUAUCGUCUGUAGAGCCUGAGCGGGCAGAUGGGUCUGCUUCGUAUAGAAUUGACACCCUUCGCAGGUGCGGACAAUUCUAGUGGCGUCAGCCACCGCCGUUGGCCAGUAGAAGCCUUGCCGGAAAGCAUUCCCGACAAGGGCUCGAGGCGCUGCGUGAUGGCCGCAAGCCCCCGAGUGUAUCUCUUGCAGGAGUUCCUGACCUUCGGCGAUGGAGAUGCAUCGCUGGAGGAUGCCCGAGGGGCUGCGGUGGUAGAGCUCCUUCUCAUCGCCCAGCAAGACGAACGACUUGGCGCGUCGCGCUACUCGCCGAGCCUCGGCUCGGUCGAGGGGUAGCUCUCCUUGGCGGAGAUAUUGCAGGUACGGGGUCUGCCAAUUCCGAUCAGGCGUGGCCCCGCUCCGCUCCUCCUCGACGUGCAGUGCCUCGCCCUUGGAGGCCGAGGGUACCUCGGGCUGAACCGAGGGUGCCUCGGGCCGUGCCGAGGGUACCUCGGGCUGGACCGAGGGCGCCUCAGGCUCGGGCGAGUCGUCGAUCUUGACGGAGGGUUGAUGCAGAUCCCGGGAGAAGACGUCCGGGGGAACCGUCGUUCGCCCCGAGGCUAUUUUUGCCAGCUCGUCCGCCGUCUCGUUGUAACGCCGAGCGAUGUGGUUAAGCUCGAGCCCGUAGAACUUAUCUUCCAGGCGCCGAACCUCAUCGCAGUAGGCCUCCAUCUUCGGGUCGCGGCAGUGGGAGUUCUUCAUGACUUGGUCGAUGACAAGCCGCGAGUCGCCGCGGGUGUCGAGGCGCCUGACCCCUAGCUCGAUGGCGAUCCGCAACCCGUUGACCAGAGCCUCGUACUCAGCCACAUUGUUGGACGCCGGGAAAUGGAGGCGUAGCACAUAGCGUAGGUGUUUCCCGAGGGGCGAGAUGAAGAGUAGGCCCGCGCCGGCUCCCGUCUUCAUCAGCGAUCCGUUGAAAAACAUGGUCCAGAGCUCCGGUUGGAUCGGAGCCGUCGGUAGCUGGGUGUCGACCCAUUCGGCUACGAAGUCCGCCAAUACCUGGGACUUGAUGGCCUUCCGAGGGGCGAACGAGAUUGUCUCGCCCAUGAUUUCCACCGCCCACUUUGCAAUCCUGCCCGAGGCCUCUCGGCACUGGAUGAUCUCCCCCAGGGGGAAGGAUGACACCACAGUUACCGGAUGAGACUCGAAGUAGUGUCGCAACUUCCGCCUCGUCAGGAUCACUGCAUACAACAGCUUCUGGACUUGUGGGUAGCGGAUCUUGGUCUCGGACAGCACCUCGCUGACGAAGUAAACUGGCCUCUGAACGGGCAAUGCAUGCCCCUCUUCUUGCCUCUCGACCACAAUCACGGCGCUAACCACCUGAGUGGUCGCGGCGACGUAGACCAAGAGGGCUUCUCCGUCAGUUGGAGGCACCAAGAUAGGCGCCUUUGUGAGGAGCGCCUUCAGGUUCCCGAGAGCUUCCUCGGCCUCAGGGGUCCAAGCGAAGCACUCGCCUUCCUUAAGAGGCGGUACAGAGGCAGGCCUCUUUCGCCGAGGCGUGAGAUGAAGCGGCUCAGGGCCGCGAGACAUCCCAUGACCCUCUGUACGCCUUUUAAGUCCUUGAUGGGCCCCAUGCUGGUGAUGGCUGCGAUCUUCUCCGGGUUGGCUUCGAUGCCCCGCUCGGAGACGAUGAACCCCAAGAGCAUGCCCUGGGGCACCCCGAAGACACACUUCUCGGGAUUGAGCUUGACGCCUUUCGCUUUGAGACAUCGGAAUGUCACUUCAAGGUCGGAGAGGAGGUCGGAAGCCUUCCUCGUCUUGACUACGAUGUCAUCGACGUAGGCCUCGACCGUGCGACCGAUGUGUUCGCCGAACACAUGGUUCAUGCACCGCUGAUACGUCGCGCCCGCAUUCCUCAAACCGAACGGCAUGGUGACGUAGCAGUACAUGCCGAAGGGCGUGAUGAAAGAAGUCGCGAGCUGGUCGGACUCUUUCAUCCUGAUUUGGUGAUACCCUGAGUAGGCGUCGAGGAAAGACAGGGUUUCGCACCCAGCAGUGGAAUCCAUGAUUUGAUCGAUGCGAGGCAGAGGGUAGGGAACCUUCGGACAUGCUUUGUUGAGACCAGUGUAGUCUACACACAUCCGCCAUUUCCCCCCUUUCUUUCUCACAAGCACAGGGUUGGCAAGCCAUUCGGGAUGGAAUACCUCUUUGAUGAACCCUGUUUCCAUCAGCUUGUGGAUCUCCUCGCCUAUCACUCUGCGCUUCUCCUCGUCGAAUCGGCGCAGAGGCUGCUUGACGGGUCGGGCUCCGGCCCGAAUAUCCAGCGAGUGCUCGGCGACAUCCCUCGGUAUGCCGGGCAUGUCUGAGGGACUCCGUGCAAAGACGUCGGCGUUUGCGCGGAGAAAGUCGACGAGCACUGCUUCCUAUUUGGGGUCGAGCCCGGAACCGAUCCGGAUCUGCUUGGAGGUGUCGCCACUGGGGUCGAGAGGGACGGCCUUGACCGUCUCCACUGGCUCGAAGUUGCCAGCAUGGCGCUUCACGUCGGGUACCUCUUUUGAGAGGCUUUCCAGGUCGGCGAUGAGGGCCUCGGACUCGGCGAGGGCCUCGGCGUACUCCACGCACUCCACGUCGCAUUCGAACGCAUGUUUGUACGUGGGGCCGACGGUGAUGACCCCGUAGGGGCCCGGCAUCUUGAGCUUCAGGUAGGUGUAGUUGGGGACGGCCAUGAACUUCGCGUAGCUUGGCCUCCCCAGUACCGCGUGGUAGGUUCCUCGGAACCCGACCACCUCGAACGUCAGAGUCUCCCUUCGGAAGUUGGAGGGCGUUCCGAAGCAGACGGGGAGGUCGAGUCGUCCGAGGGGCUGGACGCGCUUCCCGGGAAUGAUCCCGUGGAAGGGCGCAGCGCCUGCUCGGAUGGAGGAUAGAUCGACGCGCAGGAGCCCGAGGGUCUCGGCGUAGAUGAUGUUGAGGCAGCUGCCCCCGUCCACAAGGACCUUGGUGAGCCUGACGUCGCCGACAAUGGGGUCGACGACGAGCGGGUAUUUCCCCGGGCUCGGCACGUGGUCGAGGUGGUCAGCUUGGUCGAAGGUGAUGGGCUUGUCGGACCAGUCUAGGUAGACUGGCGCCGCCACCUUCACCGAGUAGACCUCCCGGCGCUCUUGCUUGCGAUGCCGAGCCGAGGCAUUCGCCGCAUGCCCACCGUAGAUCAUGAAGCAGUCGCGGACCUCAGGGAAUUCUCCUGCUUGGUGAUCUUCCUUCUUGUCGUCGUCGCGGGCCCUGCCACCCUCCGCGGGUGGCCCGGCCCUGUGGAAGUGGCGCCGAAGCAUGACGCACUCCUCAAGGGUGUGCUUGACGGGCCCCUGAUGAUAGGGGCACGGCUCCUUGAGCAUCUUGUCGAAGAGGUUGGCACCUCCGGGGGGCUUCCGAGGGUUCUUGUACUCGGCGGCGGCGACAAGGUCCGCGUCGGCGGCGUCGCGUUUCGCUUGCGACUUCUUCUUGCCUUUCUUCUUGGCGCCGCGCGGAGUAGACGCCUCGGGAGCAUCUUCCGAUGGGUGGCCCUGGGGCUGCUUGUCCUUUCGGAAGAUAGCCUCGACCGCCUCGUGGCCAGAGGCGAACUUGGUGGCGAUGUCCAUCAGCUCGCUCGCCCUGGUGGGGGUCUUACGACCCAACUUACUCACCAGGUCGCGGCAGGUGGUGCCGGCAAGGAACGCGCCGAUGACAUCCGAGUCGGUGAUGUUGGGCAGCUCGGUGCGCUGCUUCGAGAAUCGCCGGAUGUAGUCCCGGAGAGACUCUCCCGGCUGAUGCCGGCAGCUUCGGAGGUCCCAGGAAUUCCCGGGGCGCACGUACGUGCCCUGGAAAAUGCCGGCGAAGGCUUGGACCAGGUCAUCCCAGUUGGAGAUCUGCCCCGGAGGCAGGUGCUCCAACCAGGCGCGAGCGGUGUCGGAGAGGAACAGGGGGAGGUUGCGGAUGAUGAGGUUGUCGUCGUCCGUUCCACCCAGUUGGCAGGCCAGGCGGUAGUCCGCGAGCCACAGUUCCGGUCUCGUUUCCCCCCGAGUACUUUGUGAUAGUAGUCGGGGGUCGGAACCGGGUCGGGAACGGCGCCCGUCGGAUGGCCCGGCUGAAGGCCUGCGGACCGGGUGGUUCGGGCGAGGGACUCCGAUCCUCCCCGCUGUCGUAGCGUCCCCCACGCCUGGGGUGGUAACCUCGGCGCACCCUCUCGUCGAGGUGGGCCCGACGGUCGUGAUGACGGUGCUCGUUGCCGAGGUUACCCGGGGCUGCAGGCGCGGUGUUGCGCGUGCGCCCGGUGUAGACCGAGGCUUCCCGCAUGAAUCGGGAAGUCGCGGCAUGAGGUCCCGAGGGGUAUCCCUGCCUUCGGGAGGCAGAGCUCUCGGCCCGUCGGACCGCAGCACCUUCCAGGAGAUUCUUGAGCUCUCCCUGGAUUCGCCGACCCUCGGUGGUUGAUGGCUCCGGCAUCGCGCGGAGAAGCAUCGCUGCUGCAGCCAGGUUCUGACCGACCCCACUGGAUGCAGGUGGCGGCCUCACCCUGACGUCGUUGGCGACGCGGUGCUGGAGACCCUGGGGCAGGUGACGUAUUUCUCCGGCCGGGGGUUGGCCCGCCCACGCCAGCCCGACGUCCCGGUGGAUCGGCUCAAGCGCUCCUGCUCCCUCGUCGAGCCUGGCCUGCGCCCCGCGGACUUGCUCGAGCUGUGGGUCGUGACCCCCCGCCGGAACGGGGACCACAGCUAGCUCCCGCGGGAUGUCAGCGCGAGGCACCGGCCUAGGGAGAUCACCGUCCUCCGGCAUGCCGAGAUGGUUGCCUUCGGAGGGAUCCCCUAGCUCGACGUGGAAACAUUCGCGGCUUGGGCCGCAGUCCUCGUCGUCGAGGCUGUGGCUACCGUCGGCGUCGGAACAGUCAGAGAGGCAGUAGUCACAUGCGGUCAUGAAGUCCCGCAUGGCACUUGGGUUGCCAAAUCCAGAGAAAUCCCAACAGAUGUUGGGGUCGUCAUCUUCCUCGGACCCAGAGGGCCCAUAGGUCGAGACGUCCGUCAGCCGGUCCCAAGGCGACCGCAUGCGAAACCCCAGAGGGUUUGAUCUCGCCUCUACAAGAGCGCCCGCCAAAGCAAGGUCGCUAGGCGGGUUGAGGCUGAGUCGAAAUGACGUAGGAUGGGAAUCGGUUGGUACCUUUUGGUCGACGAGCGACGACAUAGUCACGUCGGGGACUGAUCGCACCGCCGUCUCAGGUACGAGGGCGACGUCCUGCAAGCUCUCCGCGAGCGCACUGGCGUCGUCCGUUUGCUCGGGAUUGGCGUGUCGCGGGGAGAUGGUGCUCGCCUUCGUCUCAAACGCGAGGUCGACGCCCGGCGCGCCCCCCGUUGGAGCGCUGGGGACGUCGACUCGCUCGACAGCCAACGAGGCGCAGCCUCCCGCUUGGCCUUGGUUGCCCCGCCUCCUCCUCCGUCGGCGGGGGAGAGGACGGUGCGAGCUCGAAUGUUGUUCUUCCACUACGUGGGGAAGACGUCGUCGAUCCCGCCGCCGGCGGGCGGGCUGUCGGCCGCCAUUGUCGUUGUCGCGCGGCAGUGGAAGGAGUAUCAUGUCGUAGCUGCCGUCGAAGGACAUGAACUCAAGACUCCCAAAACGGAGCACCGUUCCGGGUUGGAGAGGUUGCUGGAGCCUGCCCAUCUGGAGCUUGACGAGAAGUUGUUCGUCAACACGCAGCAGGCCCCUACCUGGCACGCCAACUGUCGGCGUUUCGAGACCGAGGGGUCCCUAAGCCGACGAGUGAAUGUCACUGCGUGCCCCAGCCCAGAUGGGUUGAGCGCGUGGGCGAGCGCGAAGGGGGGAAGCGAGGUGGCCGGAGAUGGGCAUGAGAGAGGUGGAAAUCCCGCGGCCUUCGUGUUCGUCCCGCGCCCAGGUCGGGUGCGCUUGCAGUAGGGGGUUACAAGCGUCCACGCGGGUGAGGGAAGCGAGCGACCCCAAGAGAGCGCCUGUCCCGUCCUCGUCCCUGCGCGGCCAACCCUCUCUAAGAGGGCCCUGGUCCUUCCUUUUAUAGGCGUAAGGAGAGGAGCCAGGUGUACAAUGGGGGUGUAGCAGAGUGCUACGUGUCUAGCGGGGGAGAGCUAGCGCCCUAAGUACAUGCCGAUGUGGCAGCCAGAGAGAUCUUGGCACCCAGCUGGUGUGAUGUCAUGGCCGUCGGAGGAGCGACGGAGCCUGGCGGAGGGACAGCUGUCGAAGCGGUUGAGUCCUUGCUGACGUCCUCCUUCUUCCGUAAGAGAGCUGAGAGCCGCCGUCGUCACAGAGCAUGCGGGGCACCAUCAUUGCCUAUCUGGCGGAGCUAGCCAGAUGGGACGCCGGUCUUGUUCUCUGCGGCCCGAGUCAGCUCGGGGUAGGGUGAUGAUGGCGCUUCCUGUUGACGUGGCUGGCCUGCGCCCUAGGUUGGGCGACGUGGAGGCUCCUCCGAAGCCGAGGUCGAGUCUGUCUUCCGUGGCCGAGGCCGAGUCCGAGCCCCUGGGUCGGGCGAGGCGGAGGUCGUUCGACAGAGGCCAGGGCAGAGUCCGAGCCCUGGGGUCGGGCGAAGCGGAGUUCGUCGUCUUCUGGGGCUGAGCCCGAGUCCGAGCCCUGGGGUCGGGCGAAGCGGAGUUCGUCGUCUUCUGGGGCUGAGCCCGAGUCCGAGCCCUGGGGUCGGGCGGAGCGGAGUUCGCCGUCUUCCGGGACUUAGCCCGAGUCCGAGCCCUGGGGUCGGGCGGAGCGGAGUUCGCCGUCUUCCGGGACUUAGCCCGAGUCCGAGCCCUGGGGUCGGGCGGAGCGGAGUUCGCCGUCUUCCGGGACUUAGCCCGAGUCCGAGCCCUGGGUCGGGCGGAGCGGAGUUCGCCGUCUUCCGGGACUUAGCCCGAGUCCGAGCCCUGGGUCGGGCGGAGCGGAGUUCGCCGUCUUCCGGGACUUAGCCCGAGUCCGAGCCCUGGGGUCGGGCGGAGCUUCCUAUGGUGCCUUUGGCAGGGCCUGACUGCCCGUUAGUCUCACUCUGUCGAGUGGCACUGCAGUCGUAGUGGCGCAGGCGGCGCUGUCCUUCUGCCAGGCCGGUCAGUGGAGCGGCGAAGUGACGGCGGUCACUUCGGCUCUGCCGGGGGGCGUGUGUCAGGAUAAAGGUGUCAGGCCACCUUUGCGUUAAAUGCUCCUGCGAUUCGGUCGGUCGGUGCGGCGAUUUAGUCAGGGUUGCUUCUUAGCGAAGGCAGGGCCUCGGGCGAGCCGGAGAUGUGUCCGCCGUUGGAGGGGGGCCUCGGGCGAGACGGAAAUCCUUCGGGGUCGGCUGCCCUUGUCCGAGGCUAGGCUCGGGCGAGGCAUGAUCGAGUCGCUCGAAUGGACUGAUCCCUGACUUAAUCGCACCCAUCAGGCCUUUGCAGCUUUAUGCUGAUGGGAGUUACCAGCUGAGAAUUAGGCGUCUUGAGGGUACCCCUAAUUAUGGUCCCCGACACUAUGGUUUUCAUAUUCACAAUAUUUAUAAUAUACAUUCUUUCUAGAACAUGAAUAAAUAUGUGUUUCAGUGGUUAGACGCUAAGCAUAGGAGGAAUGGUUCUAACCCUAGGUUCUACAUUUUUUGGAUUUUUUCAUGGGAGAACUUAACGCAUAAAGGGCGACAUCUUAAUUAAUGUUGGAAAUUGUACAAGUAAUGCAUGCAAACGGUGAAGACAGAAGUUUUAUCUCAUGAGUAGAAAGCUCAUGUUAUGUAGCACAAAUGAACACCUUAGCGUCGACCUUCAAAGAACGACCAACACACGUUAAGGAUGGCCCUACAUCUAGAAUCAGCAUGUACUAUCAUAUAUUUCAAUUAGUCAUAAAAAAUAUGUAUUCUAUUAAAAUGUAGCCAUGCAUGAUAAAGUUAGGAUUACGUAGGAGAUACAUGGACAACACAACAUUCAUGGAUCCUUUUAUAAAAAAUGAAGGCCUAUCAAAUAUUUCAUUAGGCACUUAUUAUAUAACUUGUCAAUCCAUUUCUUAACUCUUCUCUUUUAAACAACAGCGAAGUCUCACUCUAGCUAUAUAUGGAGAUGAAGAAGAUGGAGAAGGAGGAUGACACCAUCAUUGUUGGCGCCAGCAUCACUGUCGUAAUAGGGUAGUGGUAGCAAAUAGAUAUCACGGUCCAAUGCAUGCAUGUGUAAUGCAUUGCUUGGGAUCCAACCCAAUCUAGUAUAGCUAGCAUAGGUCGGCUUAAAGUAUUGUCAGCACUAAAGUUAAUUAUUUGGCGGUGUAGGCGGUGUUGGCCUUCCAGUUGGCAGGGAUGACAUCGUCGUAGACGGACUUGGUGCCUCCCUCGGUAGUGAGGCGGACGGUGAGGGGUCCCUUAAGCGGUUUGUCGCUGUCCUUCCUCCAGAUGGCGCCCCAGGAGUGCUUCAGAGGCUCGUACGUGUCGGAGCCCUUCUCCUUGACGUCCACUGCCACAAUGUCACCGUCGCCGUCGACGUACUUGACCAGCAGUGCCAGGUAGUUGGGGCCGCACCCCUUUUCAAGGUGGAAGGUGACCUUGGAGUCGUACUUGCACUUAACCCUUCGGAACUGCAUGUCGAUGAUGCCCGCCUUGCGCAGCUUCUCCUCCUCGCCCUUCUUGGCCAUGGCGCCGAACGCCGUGCCUGCUAAAUCGAAGUGGUACGCCGCGAUAGGCUCAUAGUUCAUGUCCGUGAUGUGCACCACCACGGGCUUGCCGGAGCACUCCACAGGCUUAUCGCACUUGAUCUCGAAGCAGGACCCACAACCCAGACCAUCCUUGAAGAUGGGGAUGUUGCCGCAUGCGCCCAUGCUAUUGAAGGGGGGCUUGUUCACGUCCUUGUACCCGCAGCCACCACCGUUGUCGUCGGGACCGGCACCCGUCGGCUUGCCAUACCAUGUCGCUUUAGCGUCCAGCCAGUCCUUGCCAUAGGUGGCCGUGAUGUUCUUGCCUGGGGGGACUUUGGGAGGACCGCACCAUGCGCCGCUCACCAAGAACACCAACACCACAGCCAUCGCAACCUGUGCCCGCAUCGACGACCACAUGGUUCUCACAUUCACAUCCAUGUUUUGUCUUGGGUUAGUGAAUGGUACUAUGCUACGAUGAAUGAGCGGGUAGGCCUGAAUUUAUGGUUGUGUGUGCCAACGGUUGGACGAUCGAGCUUGCAACCGUGAAGCGCGCGCAUGCAUGCACCAACGAGGAGGUAGAGUUUGCAUGGUCGAGCGAGCUUUUCUCUUGGCCACCAGUUUACUAAUUGGUUCCAUAAGUCGAAGGUGACCAUGCAUGGUAGCUCUGCAUGCAAAGCUGCUCGUAUCGUCGCGAUACUUAUGCCAUGGUGCUACUUUGGCUAAUGGUGAAGCGAGGACUCUCCUUCUUCUCACUUUGAAAGGGAAAUAACCUCAACAUUUCCUAUAAUCGAUUUUGGUGUUUGACGUCUAUCACAAAACCAUAUGGACUAAUUAGUUUGCCUAGUGGACAUUUUUCCCACGUGCAUAAAGUUCACAUAAACAUACAAAGAAAAGGACUUGAGUGAAUUCUAUAAAGUUUGGAGCACACAAGUUCUUGUGUUGCCAGUAGCGCACCGGACACUAUCCGGUACCCUGGCUGAGCACCUCGCGAACUGGUCACUCUCGGGUUUUCUCAGCGUUAGUCCGCUAAAAUUCAUCGGACUGUCCGGUGCACCACCGGACUGUCCGGUGCGACAACAGAGAAACGAUCAACUUCGCGCAACGGUCAACUUCGCUGACUACAGGGCAGUCUGCAGCGCAGAAGUCAGAAGUCAGUCUGCAAAGUCAGAACACACCAGACUGUCCGGUGUGCCAUCGGACUGUCCGGUGCCACAAGAAGACAGAAGACUUCAACGGUCAAUGGCUCCAAACCCCAACGGUCAGCUGAUGUGGCACUCACCAGACAGUGAACAGUGCAGUGUCCGUUGCACCACCGGACUGUCCGGUGUGCCCAUCGACAACAACAGUUGGAAUAGUGGCUGGGGCUAUAAAUACCCCGACCACCACCAUUCAAGCCAUCCAAGCAUUGCAACUUCCUCAUUCAAUACUAGAGCAAAAGAAUGCACUCCAAAGACACAAUCAAAGCAUCAAAUCCUCUUCAAGCUUCAAAAUCAAGUCAAGUGAUCAAAAGUGCUUAGUGACUUGAGAGAGGGUGAUUUGUGUUUGUUUUGUUGCUCUUGUUCCUUGGUUGCAUUCUUCUUCUCAUUCUAAACUUCUCAAGUGUUUUGUAAAGCAAGCAGGAGACACCUAAUUGUGUGGUGAUCCUUGCGGGGUCUUAGUGACCCGCGUGAUAAAGAAGAUGCACAUAACCGGUCUAAGUGAAAGUGCAUUCAUCCCUUUUGUGAGUUUUGGUGAUUUGGAUAACAACACAUUUAAAGGUCUAACGAGUUUGCUAAGUGUUGAACAGGAAAUUCAGUAUGAUGAACAUACUUGAAUAGUGUAUAAUGAUCAGUGAACAAAGGUUCAACACAAGGUUAUAUAACCAAUGAGACAAUGCAAAUGGAUAUAAUAUGAUCUCUAUAUUGGUUUGAAUAUAUGGACAAGACCUGAGAAAUCACUACAUACAUAUGACCAGAAUAGAGGACAAAGUGAUUUAGAGGAUUGGUCAAGCCAAAGAGAAUAAGAUAUGAGGAAUCGUGAAUUGGCUUGACCAUAUUACUGUCAGUCCAUAUAUGCUUCUAUGAGAAUCAAACUAGAGCUUGAUUGAUCUUGACAAUUAUAUCUAGAAGACAUUCAAGCAAGGUUCACAAUAUGGAAGAAAUGAUUCUCUCAAUGGAUGCUCAAUUUGAUGUGACUCAAGAAUGGCUUGAUAGGGUGAAGAUAGCAAGGAAAGGGCUUCGAGGAACUAAGCGAAGGUGAAGGUCAAGCGACGGCUUGUAGACCGAGGUACCAUGGCUAAGGUGAAGAAGAGAGUACUUGCACUAAGUCGAUGAACUAAUCAACUAUGAAGAGUUAUAACAUGUUGAUGCAUCAGUAAGGUGACUUGAAGCCAUGAUUUGAACUCAUAUAAGGUGAUAUGGUACAAGUCACUGGGUUUGAUUUGAGUUUGCUUCAAAAGGUGAGACAAAGAUGUUUGUGAUCCUUAUGAAGCAAUGCCAUGGAGAAAUCACACAUGAGACACCAAUGACUCAAGGAGUUUACUUCAUUAUAUUUUAUUUAACUUGAGUAUAGGAAUCGUCGUACUAUAAAGGGGGAUCCAAAAAGAAGGUUGGUGUUUGCCAAAGCUCAAACCUCUCUAUUCAAAAGCUAUUUUUGAAAAGCAAAAAUCUCUUUAACGUUCUAUGGUUGACCGUGGUUAGGGUUGAGAAACCUAGAGUGUUCUUGCUGAAAAGGAGCUGAACUUCUUCAAAUGCAGCUGAGCUUUCCAGCUGAACUUGACUUCAGCUGAGUUGAGCUUCUUCAGCUGCAGCUGAGCUUUUCAGCUGAGCUGAACUUCAGCUGAGUUGAGCUUUCUCAACUUCAGCUGAACUCAACUUCAGCUGUGAACCUCUUUGACCAUACACCAGCUGAACUUGCCUCCGGGCAGUUGAGCUGGGGUUUUCUCUCCUAAACUCACUGGUCAAGACCAGUUGAACUGGUCUUGAGGGGCAGUUCAGCUGGUCUCUGACCCCUCUGACCUCUGACCAACAGUCUGCAAGUCAGACUGGCAAACAGGUCGCCAGAGGUGUCAGGGGCGGUUCAACCGCCCUGGGGGGCGGUUCAACCGGUCUGGUCAACCCUGACCAGUCUGCAGGUCAGUCUGCGCGUUAGUCUGCCAGUCAGACUGGCAGACAGGCUGCCAGGCCUGCCAGGGGAGGUUCAACCGCCCUAGGGGGAGGUUCAACCGGUCUCAGGCAGAAAAAUCUGCCCAACGGCUAGUUUUGAGCUCCACCUAUAUAUACUACCUCCUACCUCUCUCCCCAAAGCAGUGAGCACGAUUUGAACUCCAUUUCUAACCCAAGAAACACCUCCCUCUCUCUCACACAUCUCUUGCCUCUCCCAUUUCAAAUCUUUGGAGAGAAAUCUUUGAGUGAGCUUGAGAGCUGCGGUUUUGUGCUUCAUCUCUAAAUCUCUCUUGCUCUUCUUCUUCAUUCGAGCUUUGGUACUACAUCGAGUUCUUUGUGGAUUCAUUACUCUUGGAGCUUCUAGCUCCUAGACGACUAGGUGUCUCUUGUGAGUCUCCAAAUCUUGUGGAAGACCACAAGAAAGUUUGUAUUACCCGCUCAUUUGAGCAAAGAUUAUUGUGUGGGCUUGACCUUUGUGGUCGGCAAAGGGAGGAUUAGGGUUGAAAGAGACCCGGCUCUUUGUGGGCGCCUCAACGAGGAAGUAGGGCACCUUUUGUGGUGUGACCGAACCUCGGGAUAAAUCUUGUGUAUCUUGUGUUCUUGCUCAUUGUGUUUGUUCAUGUUCUUCGUUCUCUCACCAUUGCGUGGAAGAUUUGUUUAUAUCUUUUGGGUGUGUGGAUUUUGAGAAGUGCCCUUCUCAGAUCUACUACUUUGAACCCUGUGGAUCAUUUAGAACAUCUCAUUUCCAAAGUUAACUGGGUGAAUUUCGAGAUCAAUUCAGUUUUACCCAGUUUGCUUCUAGUUUUCGUUGAAAAAGUUUUAACUUGCCUAUUCACCCCCCCUCUAGGCAACUUUCAAUUGGUAUCGGAGCAUAAUCCUCGUUCUAACGCUUAACUGCGUGAGGAAAGAUCAUGUCGGGGGGACUAAGAAACGAAAGUGCUUCUAAGCUUGAAAAAGUUGAGGUUGCCUCGACUUCAUCUUUUGGUGCAGAUGUUGAUCCUAGGGCAAUAGACCUUGCCAUGAGAAUCGCCGAAAGGAUGUUCCUCAAAAUGAAGGAAGAUGAGGCGAAGAACAUUAUUGAAGAAGAAGAAAAUGAUCGAUGGAGACCAAACGACGAAUCCACCUCUUCACAAGGUUCGUCUUUCAAAUCCACUUCUCAUAUGUGCUUUAUUGCUAAUGGGAGUGACAGUGAAAGCGAAAGUGAGGAUGAGGAGGAGCAAGAAAGUGAUAGUGAAGAUGAGGAUGAUCUUCAACAAUUCUUCGCUCAGCUAAGCAAGAAACAUCGGAUGAGCUUGCUUAAACUCAUGAAAAGAGCGGAAGAACAAAAAGAAAUGCUUCAUAAGCAAGAAGACUUCCUCAUCAGAAAAAUUGAAGACUUAGAGAAGUUGACCAAAGAGCAUGAGAAGCUAAAGUGCUCUCAUGAUGAUUUGGUCCAAAGGUAUGAAGACAUUUCAAUUGAGCAAAUUAAAGUUGUUAAUCAUUCAUCAUAUAUUGCUCAAUUAGAAAGUAAAAAUGCUAUGCUCAAGAACACAAUAGAAAAGCUAAAUAUUGAAAAUCUAGCUUUGCAAGAAAAACAUGAUAUGCUUGUGUGCUCUCAUAAUAAAUUGAUGGAUUCACAUAUCAUGUUAGAAAUGGCUCAUGAGGUUGUGUUAACUAAUUUGAAAUCAUACCAACCUCACACAUGCACAUGUACUCAAGUAGAAACUAUAUUAUCAUGUGCUAACAAAUGUUGCUCUCAAGAAAGCCAAUCUUCCAUUGAGCUAGAAAUUUCAAGAAUUAGUGAUAUUUCUAUCACACAAGAAAAUAAAGAGCUCAAGGAAGAAAAUGAGAGGCUAAAAAGGAGCUUGACUCAAUUGAAGGGAAAAUGUCAUGCUCAACCUUCUCAAGAUAACUGUGAUAAUAUGGUGAAAAAGCAUGAGAAGGGGACAACUGUGGCAUGCACAAAACCCCUUCAAAAGAAUACCAAGCUUUCCAAGAAGGGCAUGAGCAAAAUCCAUGGUGAGAAAAUUAAUGCUCAUAUGAUUUGCUCUAACAAUGUACCUAUGUGCUUCAACAAAGAAAGAUCAAAGAGAAGCGAUAGGAGGUGCUAUGGAUGCAAGGAGAAGGGCCAUGAAAUUGAUUCAUGCCCCCACAUGAAGAAUCAAGACCUUGCACGAUCAAGAAAGAUGACCAUCAAAAAGGAUGAAAGCAAAAGGCAAAUGCAUUGCAAGGACAAGCAUCGCAUUUGCUACAAUUGCCGUGAAAAAGGUCAUCUAUUCAAGGUUUGUCCAAAGGGUAAAACUCCUAAGCCUAACUUGUCAAUACAUUCAAAUAUGCUUAGGAGACCCAAAUUUGACUCUUGUGCUAGAAAGGUGAUGAGUUCACCACAUUCUAGGACCAAGGCUAUUUGGGUGCCUAAGUCCUUAUUGGCUAACCUUGAUGGACCUAUCAUGAGAUGGGUACCAAAAUGUACUUAAUAAGUUUUGCAGGUACCCAGAGAUGAUAUGAAGCUUUGGGGUGCUUGAGCGGUUCAACUCAAUUCUUAUCUCAAGCUAUCAAUCUUACAUUGUCUAUCCUUUAAGAUUGACCCAAAGAUGAAUUGAGUUGUUAUAUCACUAACUUCAUAUUCAUCUCUAGCAAGAACUUGUGUUGUAGGGAAUAAGGAUUAACCUUUGUGGGAAUCAAGCAAAAGGCCUACAACCAAGUGAUAUCCAAAGGAUGGUAACAAUUAAUUCUUAAGUGCACAUUGCUUUUAAUUGGUAUAUUCCUUUGUGUCUUUUGUAGCCACAUAGGAAAAAUGAAGCACUUGAGAAUGAACUUAAAAGAUUUUACCUUGCUUUGGAAAGGAUCUAAUUAUAUGGUAGAUUGCAAGUUCAUAUUUUUAUAUUGUGACAAUCUACAUGCUUUAAAUUGAUUGUAUGUAUCUUGUGGCAUAUUUCAAGUUAAUCAUCAUAUUAUUGCCAUGACCUAGACAUAAAGAAUAUUAUCCCAUGUUCUUAAAUGAAUAGAGUGCUAAGUAAGAAAUUCAAAUUCUUAUAGCACUUACCAAAUGGGGAAUUCUCUAUAUGACUAGAGUUGUGAGACUAAUGUUUCUAUCUAAGUGUUUAUGUAGUCUCACAACAUGAGAAUGUGUUUCCCAAAUGGAGUGUGCCAUUCAACAUUCAAAGAAGAUCCAACCAAUACUAUGUGAUGUAUUCAUUCUUGUUUAAAUUGGUUUUGAGUCUUCUCCAUUAAUCACUCACCAUGCUAUGAAUUAAACUUGCCAUGUAAACUUAAUUAAAUAAUCAUGCUACUUUCAUCUUUUUUACAAUUGAUGUUAUGCAUGAUGCUUGUAAGGGUAAUUUAGUUCAUAUCAUGAGGUUUCCUUGUUUUAGUAACCUUCUUGUCAUUCAUAUACUAGAGGUUGCUAAAUAGGAAACUAUUGCUUGUGUUUCAAAUGCAAUCUCUAUUAAUAUAUUUCAUGGAAAUUCAUAAGUAGAGAUUGUGCACUUUCAAUUGGUAAAAAUCACAAGCAUUGAAGGUUAAUCUUCACCUAAAAGAAAGGUUAGGAAUGCUCAAGGCAAAGGUAUUGCUUCAAUUGGUAGUUGAUCAAUUGUAGUUCCUUUCAAGUGGCAUUCUUUCAAUUGGUAAUAAUCUAUUCUAUGGAAAGAAAUGCCAAUAUAAAGGUUAAAUUCCUUUUGGCUUAAAUUUGUAAAUUGGUGCAUAUUGUUAAUUCACUCCUCCAUGUGCAUUAACUUAAAAGGAAUUUAAUUUAUGCCUUUAUGCCUCAUAAAUGAUGAUUUGUUUGCCAUUCAUAUAUAUAUAUAUAUAUCAUUCAUUAAAUACUUCCUUGUACUACUAAUACCUCUUUUCAAAGUGUUUUAUCGACUAGUUUUAAAAGGAAAAGAGAUAACAAAGAAGGAAGUCUCCACAAAUGAUGAAAAGAAGAAUACUAAGGAGACACCACCACAGAUAGUAAGAUCUGUCAAAUUGGUAUAACAAAUGGUACAUUCUAUAUGGUGGUAAGUAUUCUUAGGCAUAAGUUAAUUCAUUGUAAAUUUGUCAUGCCUUGACCAUGAUAUGUAAUAUACUCCUCAUGAGACUCUUAACUGAAUUGAAAGUGCAUGUGGCAAGUCAUUCAAAUACUUGAUGCACAUAUCUAGUGGGAGAACAUUAUAUAUCUUGUGUCAUAGAGAAUAAGUUUCACUUGAGUAAGCUAUACUAAGACAAUCCAAAAUGAUAAAUUUGUAUCUCAUUCAUAUGAAUUGUAAUCUUUGUUUUCUAAAUAGCUACUCUUGAUGCAGUUUAAAAUUCCCUUAUCGUUAAUUCUAAAAGUGCAUAAGAAUCCUUUUUGUUGAUAUUCAUCACAUACAUAUGCACUAACAUGGAUAUAAUUUUUAAACUGUAAAAGGUACAAUUAGUGAUCCAUACUCUCUAAAUUUUGGAAACCCAUAUUUUGAUAUCUUAGAAAUCUACUUCAAUCGAUAUCAUAUGCUUCACAUUGAAUUGGAUCACUAAGUUGUAAAUUCAAUACAUAACUUGUCUUUAUGAUAUGAAUGCUUGUGCAACUAACCUUGAUAAGCUAGGUGCACCCAAAGUCAAGGUAGGUUCAUCAUCAAGAAGGCAACACAAUGAUGUAUUAAUAAAAGGAGAAAAGGCUCCUAUUCUUAACUCUAGUUUUUAUCUAUGUAAUUAAAUAUUGACUUGAAACCAUGUAAGAUGGUUGUCAAGUAUAUGUGGGUGCCUACACAAAGAGAAAGGCCACAAUAAGGAUUGUGUGGGUUCUCAAGGCUCAUCUCAAAGGACCCAAUUCAUAUUGGGUACCAAGAUAUGAAGCUUAAACUUGUUUUGCAGGAUCACUCCUUCAAUGAAUCAAGUUGGGUGCUUGAUAAUAAAUGAAUGAAUCAUAUUUGGAGAUAGUAGCAAGGGUGGUAACAACUGAAUCUCAAGUGCAUAUUAUUUUCAAAUUAUCUUUUUUGUGACUUGUGUAGCCACUAAGAAAAAAGAAGCACUUGAGGAUAUACAUCAGUUGUUGAUUAUGAAAUAAAGGUCUAAUUGGAAGUUGAAUGAAUAUUAUCAUAUGGUGAACAAUCCAAAAAUAUGUGACGUAUUCUCUAUCUAGUUAAUUUGGAUUUGAUUCUUCUUUAUUAGACACUCACCAUAAUAUGGAUUAAGUCAGCCUUUUAGACUUCAUUGAAUAACCAUGCAUAUUAUCCAUGUCAUUCAAAAUAUAUUGUGCAUGUGGUUCAAGGCAAAUUUAGUCCAUAUUAUGAGGUUUCUCUAUUUUAGCAACUCGCUUGCCUUCCUCAUAUAAAGGGUUGCUAAAUAAGAAAUUAGUGCUUGUGCUACUAAUGCCAUCUCUUGUGUUGAGUUUAUCCAUAGAAAAUCUAUGUUAAGACAUGGUGCUUGUUUUAAAUUGGAUAAAUCACAAGCUUAAAGGAUACUAUUCAACUAAUGUAAGAAGAAGUUGAUAAGAGGCCAAGGUAUGAAAACUUCCUCACCUUCAGUUGUUUUAGUAUUCUAUCCUCAGUGGGAUGUACCAUAGUAUAGGUUAAAUUCCUUGCAAUAUAAAAUGUUCAAUAGUGCAUAUAACUUUGACAUCAACUAUAUGUGUGCACUAACUUAAAGGAAUUUAGUCUAUCCUUUUUGGGUUUCAAGAAUGAUGAUUCAUUUUCCAUCCACAUAUAAGGAUUAUCAUUUACCCUCCCUUGUGUUUCUAAUGCUCUCUUUUCUAAGUGUUUCAACAAGGCCUUCCCAAGUUCUUUGAAGAUGAAUUCAAAAUCUACAAAUAUAAGAGUCUUGGUUCUUUCAAUCAUUGAGUUUCAAUAGGUCUCAUAUCAAGUAUGAUCGAAUCAAGAAAAGAUGAAAGAAGUUCAAGAUCACUUGGUUGGAUGAAAUCGUAAAGAGAAAAGAGAUCACAGUGAUUCAAGAAGGGAGUUAUUAUUUUUUUGUUUUUUUGUCAACCAAAUAAUGAAGAUGUAGUGACAUAUUUAUAUGAUAUCCUUCAUUAUGAGGUUUGAGAUUUAUAUCAGCAUGCUUUACCCUUCAGGAUUUCAAUUGAUAUACUUUCAGUUCUUAAACUUUCAAUUGGUUCAUUUUCAUCAUCUAUGAAGGCAUGUUAUGUUCAACCAAGAUAUAGUGCAAACAUCUUCUUCAACCUCGUAUUGUUGAUGUGCAUAAAUAUACUUUGUGUACUCUUGCAAGCACAAAUUGAGGGAGAGUUUAGCCUAUAUCUUGUGAGACUAAUGAUUUCUUUCAAGUUCAUGUUGUGUAGUCUCACACCCUGGAGAACAUCAAACGAGGAUGAAUGGUUCCAUAGAAAUGAAAAUGAGUUUCUCUUGAUCGUUUAAAGAGGAUAAGUUUCUCUUUGAAAUGUCAAGCCUAUCAAAAGCUAAGAUAGAAAUUCAUGAUUAUAAUGAAGACCAUGUGGCGUUGAACAAAGGUGUGUCACUCCAUGAACUAUUGUAUUACAUUUGUGUAUCUAGGCUCUCACAUGCCAGUGUGCAUGUAUAUGUAAUAUCUUAAGUCACACCAUAAGGUUGCACUUGUGGUGACGAUUAAAGAAUCUCUAGAUAUUUGAUUAAUACCUCUUGUGGUGAUAUCAUAAGUUAGUCUUAAGUCGUCUUAGUGAGGUAUGAGUCAAACAUUCUAACUUCUCAAGAAUCUUGGCUUAAAAUAUUGCAUAUCAUGUCUAUUAGUAUACCUUUUGAUUAUGAGUAAUUCCUUCAAUUGGUGCAAUUUCAUAUUUUCAUACUUUAUUUAUACCAAGGUUCAAAUUGUAGAACUUAAUCCCCUGGCCUCAUAAGUCCAAGUGCAUAAGCUAAACAAGUAUUCAUCACUUGUAUGCACACAUUUAGGGGGAGAAUGGUUUAUAAUUUGAAUCUUUGAGACUAACUUCAUUUUCAAGUCUAUUAUGUGUGUAGUCUCAAAUUAGAAAGGAACCUUCGGGCAAAGACAAUCGCUUCCACUGCAAAUUUUUGAUGGGUAUCAAAGAUUCUUUGCUCCAAUAAAUGUAACUUCUAUACAUUUCAUAAGAGAAUGAGUUUCUCUUGUAUAUGCUACUCCAACGUCAUCUAAAAUUGGUAAAUAUGUAUCACAUCUUUUUGGAUUACAAAUAUCUGAAGUAGCAUAGCUUAUAGAUUCUCCUGUCUAGAACUUAAUUGAUUAAAUAGUGCACAUGUUCCUUAUGUUGCAUGAUUAUGUUCAGUUGAUACUCCUUUUAUGCUAAUGGUACUUUAAAUUUCAAAUAAGUACUCUCAACAUAUAUCAAUUGAAUUCAUAUAUAUAUAUAUGUGCACUAAAACUUGAGGAGAACUUAGUGUAAUAUGCUAUUAGUGAUCUAUUUAUCUAUCAAAUUGUAUCAAUUGGUGUUUUUCAAUUGAUAUUUUUCAUACAUGAUCACUAGUUGCAUAAUCCAUACUUGUGCAAUUUUUAUGUUGCCUCUUGUUGUGAUAAGAAAAUGCUAGGUGACAUCUAGACUCCAGGUAUCAAGAUUUAUCUUUCAGUUAGUAUGACAAUCUUCAUUUGAUAUCUUGGACCUAUGCCACAAUUAUGCCAACAAGAGCUUGCAAAUGAAUUCUAAGUCCAACACAAGUUUGGAACACCCCCUUAAAAAGGUAAAACGCAAAGGUACAUCACUUAUGACACUUAUCCAUUACCUUUGUGCCAUAUAAGGACCCCUUUCAUGAUAGUGUGUUCAUAUCUCUCUUAAUCAUAAUUUCUAUCCUUUAUAUUCUUUUUAUCCUUUUUUGGGAUUUAUGACAAAGGGGGAGAAAUUGUGCAUUAAAGCUUACCUUUAGUCUUAUGUAACUAAGUGUUAGAAGACUUUUAAAAAGGGGAGAAAUAAUUAACAAAAAGGGAAGUCAUAAGAAAAACAUAAGAUGAAGAAAGUUGAUAAGUGCAUUCCAUGUCAUGAGCAUCACGUUUAUUUUAUGACACACUGCACCCUAUGAAUAGUAUGAUAUAAGUUGUCUAUACUUUGACCUAAAUAUGUGCUUUUGGCAUUUGAGUACAAAAGUGUUAUUUUUCUGAAAUGCACAUAUUUAGGGGGAGGAAACUAUAUCAUAGGAUUUAAAAUCUUAUUUAUCAAAUCUUAUGUAAGCUUUAAAUGUGUUGUCAUCAAUCACCAAAAAGGGGGAGAUUGAAAGUGCAUUCAUCCCUUUUGUGAGUUUUGGUGAUUUGGAUAACAACACAUUUAAAGGUCUAACGAGUUUGCUAAGUGUUGAACAGGAAAUUCAGUAUGAUGAACAUACUUGAAUAGUGUAUAAUGAUCAGUGAACAAAGGUUCAACGCAAGGUUAUAUAACCAAUGAGACAAUGCAAAUGGAUAUAAUAUGAUCUCUAUAUUGGUUUGAAUAUAUGGACAAGACCUGAGAAAUCACUACAUACAUAUGACCAGAAUAGAGGACAAAGUGAUUUAGAGGAUUGGUCAAGCCAAAGAGAAUAAGAUAUGAGGAAUCGUGAAUUGGCUUGACCAUAUUACUGUCAGUCCAUAUAUGCUUCUAUGAGAAUCAAACUAGAGCUUGAUUGAUCUUGACAAUUAUAUCUAGAAGACAUUCAAGCAAGGUUCACAAUAUGGAAGAAAUGAUUCUCUCAAUGGAUGCUCAAUUUGAUGUGACUCAAGAAUGGCUUGAUAGGGUGAAGAUAGCAAGGAAAUGGCUUCGAGGAACUAAGCGAAGGUGAAGGUCAAGCGACGGCUUGUAGACCGAGGUACCAUGGCUAAGGUGAAGAAGAGAGUACUUGCACUAAGUCGAUGAACUAAUCAACUAUGAAGAGUUAUAACAUGUUGAUGCAUCAGUAAGGUGACUUGAAGCCAUGAUUUGAACUCAUAUAAGGUGAUAUGGUACAAGUCACUGGGUUUGAUUUGAGUUUGCUUCAAAAGGUGAGACAAAGAUGUUUGUGAUCCUUAUGAAACAAUGCCAUGGAGAAAUCACACAUGAGACACCAAUGACUCGAGGAGUUUACUUCAUUAUAUUUUAUUUAACUUGAGUAUAGGAAUCGUCGUACUAUAAAGGGGGAUCCAAAAAGAAGGUUGGUGUUUGCCAAAGCUCAAACCUCUCUAUUCAAAAGCUAUUUUUGAAAAGCAAAAAUCUCUUUAACGUUCUAUGGUUGACCGUGGUUAGGGUUGAGAAACCUAGAGUGUUCUUGCUGAAAAGCAGCUGAACUUCUUCAACUGCAGCUGAGCUUUCCAGCUGAACUUGACUUCAGCUGAGUUGAGCUUCUUCAGCUGCAGCUGAGCUUUUCAGCUGAGCUGAACUUCAGCUGAGUUGAGCUUUCUCAACUUCAGCUGAACUCAACUUCAGCUGUGAACCUCUUUGACCAUACACCAGCUGAACUUGCCUCCGGGCAGUUGAGCUGGGGUUUUCUCUCCUAAACUCACUGGUCAAGACCAGUUGAACUGGUCUUGAGGGGCAGUUCAGCUGGUCUCUAACCCCUCUGACCUCUGACCAAUAGUCUGCAAGUCAGACUGGCAAACAGGUCGCCAGAGGUGUCAGGGGCGGUUCAACCGCCCUGGGGGGCGGUUCAACCGGUCUGGUCAACCCUGACCAGUCUGCAGGUCAGUCUGCGCGUUAGUCUGCCAGUCAGACUGGCAGACAGGCUGCCAGGCCUGCCAGGGGAGGUUCAACCGCCCUAGGGGGAGGUUCAACCGGUCUCAGGCAGAAAAAUCUGCCCAACGGCUAGUUUUGAGCUCCACCUAUAUAUACUACCUCCUACCUCUCUCCCCAAAGCAGUGAGCACGAUUUGAACUCCAUUUCUAACCCAAGAAACACCUCCCUCUCUCUCUCUCACACAUCUCUUGCCUCUCCCAUUUCAAAUCUUUGGAGAGAAAUCUUUGAGUGAGCUUGAGAGCUGCGGUUUUGUGCUUCAUCUCUAAAUCUCUCUUGCUCUUCUUCUUCAUUCGAGCUUUGGUACUACAUCGAGUUCUUUGUGGAUUCAUUACUCUUGGAGCUUCUAGCUCCUAGACGACUAGGUGUCUCUUGUGAGUCUCCAAAUCUUGUGGAAGACCACAAGAAACUUUGUAUUACCCGCUCGUUUGAGCAAAGAUUAUUGUGUGGGCUUGACCUUUAUGGUCGGCAAAGGGAGGAUUAGGGUUGAAAGAGACCCGGCUCUUUGUGGGCGCCUCAACGAGGAAGUAGGGCACCUUUUGUGGUGUGACCGAACCUCGGGAUAAAUCUUGUGUAUCUUGUGUUCUUGCUCAUUGCGUUUGUUCAUGUUCUUCGUUCUCUCACCAUUGCGUGGAAGAUUUGUUUAUAUCUUUUUGGUGUGUGGAUUUUGAGAAGUGCCCUUCUCAGAUCUACUACUUUGAACCCUGUGGAUCAUUUAGAACAUCUCAUUUCCAAAGUUAACUGGGUGAAUUUCGAGAUCAAUUCAGUUUUACCCAGUUUGCUUCUAGUUUUCGUUGAAAAAGUUUUAACUUGCCUAUUCACCCCCCCUCUAGGCAACUUUCAAUUGGUAUCGGAGCAUAAUCCUCGUUCUAACGCUUAACUGCGUGAGGAAAGAUCAUGUCGGGGGGACUAAGAAACGAAAGUGCUUCUAAGCUUGAAAAAGUUGAGGUUGCCUCGACUUCAUCUUUUGGUGCAGAUGUUGAUCCUAGGGCAAUAGACCUUGCCAUGAGAAUCGCCGAAAGGAUGUUCCUCAAAAUGAAGGAAGAUGAGGCGAAGAACAUUAUUGAAGAAGAAGAAAAUGAUCGAUGGAGACCAAACGACGAAUCCACCUCUUCACAAGGUUCGUCUUUCAAAUCCACUUCUCAUAUGUGCUUUAUUGCUAAUGGGAGUGACAGUGAAAGCGAAAGUGAGGAUGAGGAGGAGCAACUUUCACUAAGUGACCGAUUGAGAGAGGGAAAGGGUGGGAAUAGACCCAGCCUUUGUGGCCUCCUCAAUGGGGAGUAGGUUCCUUGGAACCGAACCUCGGGAAACAAAUCACCGUAUUCACUUGUGUUGAUCUUUAUCACUCGAUUUGUUUCUUCCCUCUCCUCUCUCUCUCUAAAAGUUCACUUGCUCACAUUGAUCUGAGUUUAAUUUGCUCCCAAACUUAUCUGUAUUGAUUGAGCAACUCAUAGCAAGGAGAACUAUCUUUCGCUCUCCGAAUUCAAUAUUAUUUAUCUCUAACCCUAACCCUGUGCGAAGUGCGUGUUCAAAGUAUAUAAUUUUCAGGUUUCGCCUAUUCACCCCCUCUAGGCGACUUUCAUGCUUCCUAUGGAAGAAUGUCAUUGUUGCCACAUAUUUUUAAGUCAUUAUAUUGGAGCAAAGUGGCGUAACCAUGUCAACCUCUAUUAUCCGUGGAAACGAUCCUUCAAGGAUUGUCGCAAGUUAAUUGGUAUAUCAAAUGUGCGAAUGUAGGAUUUAAACAUAGUGUAAUCUUCAAGACUCCACAUCUAUAUGAAUAGCUAGAAAGAUGACUUGUCUAGGCAAUUAUAGGGAAUUGAACCAUAAACAUUCGGGGUACUCCAAUUAUACAAAAAAUGUAAUUAUGAGAUUCGUGUUGGACAAACAACGUCAAAUUUAACCAAAUUUAUAUUCAGUAUUGUUAAUAUUUAUAUCAAAUAUAUUAUACUAGAACUUAUAAUACAUAGUGAAAUGAACUACGAGCUUUCCAAAGAACCCCAACGUACUUCUUUGCUAAAGAAGACUAUUUUGUACGUGCAUGCAUAGGCAACUAAUUCUUCUAACUAGUUGUUAUAACAUUUUAUUUUAUAUAUUAGUCAGUUGUCAGUAUGUUACUAUGGUUUUCAUAUUCACAAUAUUUAUAAUAUACAUUCUUUCUAGAACAUGAAUAAAAAUGUGUUCAGUGGUUAGACGCUAAGCAUAGGAGGAAUGGUUCUAACCCUAGGUUCUGCAUUUUUUGGAUUUUCUCAUGGGAGAACUUAAUGCAUAAAGGGCGACAUCUUAAUUAAUGUUGGAAAUUGUACAAGUAAUGCAUGCAAAUGGUGAAGACAGAAGUUUUAUCUCAUGAGUAGAAAGCUCAUGUUAUGUAGCACGAAUGAACACCUUAGCUUCGACCUUCAAAGAACGGCCAACACACAUUAAGGAUGGCCCUACAUCUAGAAUUAGCAUGUACUAUCAUAUAUUUCAAUUAGUCAUAAAAAUAUGUAUUCUAUUAAAAUGUAGCAAUGCAUGAUAAAGUUAGGAUUACGUAGGAGAUACAUGGACAACACAACAUUCAUGGAUCCUUUUAUAAAAAUGAAGGCCAAUCAAAUAUUUCAUUAGGCACUUAUUAUAUAACUUGUCAAUCCAUUUCUUAACUCUUCUCUUUUAAACAACAGCAAAGUCUCACUCUAGCUAUAUAUGGAGAUGGAGAAGAUGGAGAAGGAGGAUGACGCCAUUAUUAUUGGCGCCAGCAUCACUGUCGUAAUAGGGUAGUGGUAGCAAAUAGAUAUCACGGUCCAAUGCAUGCAUGUGUAAUGCAUUGCUUGGGAUCCAACCCAAUCUAGUAUAGCUAGCAUAGGCCGGCUUAAAGUAUUGUCAGCACUAAAGUUAAUUAUUUGACGAUGUAGGCGGUGUUGGCCUUCCAGUUGGCAGGGAUGACAUCGUCGUAGACGGUCUUGGUGCCUCCCUCGGUAGUGAGGCGGACGGUGAGGGGUCCCUUAAGCGGUUUGUCACUGUCCUUCCUCCAGAUGGCGCCCUAGGAGUGCUUCAGGGGCUCGUACGUGUCGGAGCCCUUCUCCUUGAUGUCCACCGCCACAAUGUCACCGUCGCCGUCGACGUACUUGACCAGCAGCGCCAGGUAGUUGGGGCCACACCCCUUUUCAAGGUGGAAGGUGACCUUGGAGCCGUACUUGCACUUGACCCUUCGGAACUGCAUGUCGAUGAUGCCCGCCUUGCGCAGCUUCUCCUCCUCACCCUUCUUGGCCAUGGCGCCGAACGUCGUGCCUGCCAAAUCGAAGUGGUACGCCGCGAUAGGCUCAUAGUUCAUAUCCGUGAUGUGCACCACCACGGGCUUGCCGGAGCACUCCACAAGCUUAUCGCACUUGAUCUCGAAGCAGGACCCACAACCCAGACCAUCCUUGAAGAUGGGGAUGUUCCCGCACGCGCCCAUGCUAUUGAAGGGGGGCUUGUUCACGUCCUUGUACCCGCAGCCUCCGCCGUUGUCGUCGGGACCGGCACCCGUCGGCUUGCCAUACCAUGUCGCUUUAGCGUCUAGCCAGUCCUUGCCAUAGGUGGCCGUGAUGUUCUUGCCAGGGGGACUUUGGGAGGACCGCACCAUGCACCGCUCACCAAGAACGCCAACGCCACAGCCAUCGCAACCUGUGCCUGCAUCAACGACCACAUGGUGCUCACAUUCACAACCAUGUUUUAUCUUGGAUCAGUGAAUUGUACUAUGCUACGAUGAAUGAGCGGGUAGACCUGAAUUUAUGGUUGUGCGUGCCAACGGUUGGACGAUCGAGCUUGCAACCGUGAAGCGCGCGCAUGCAUGCAACAACGAGGAGGUAGAGCUUGCAUGGUCGAGCGAGCUAUUCUCUUGGUCGCCAGUUUACUAAUUGGUUCCGUAAGUCGAAGGUGACCAUGCAUGGUAGCUCUGCAUGCAAAGAUGCUCGUAUGGUUGCGAUACUUAUGCCAUGGUGCUACUUUGGCUAAUGGUGAAGCGAGGACUCUCCUUCUUCUCGCUUUGAAAGGGAAAUAGCCUCAACAUUUCCUAUAAUUGAUUUUGGUGUUUGACGUCCAUCACAAAACCAUAUGGACUAAUUAGUUUGCCUAGUGGACAUUUUUCCCACGUGCAUAAAGUUCAUAUAAACAUACAAAGAAAAGGACUUGAGUGAAUUCUACAAAGUUUGGAGCAUAUAAGUUCUUGUGCUGCCAGUAGCGCACCGGACACUGUCCGGUACCCUGGCUGAGCACCUCGCGAACUGGUCGCUCUCGGGUUUUCUCAGCGUUAGUCCGCUAAAAUUCAUCGGACUAUCCGGUGCACCACCGUACUGUCCGGUGAGACAACAGAGCAACGGUCAACUUCGCGCAAUGGUCAACUUCGCUGACUACAGGGCAGUCUAUAGCGCAGAAGUCAGAAGUCUGUCUGCAAAGUCAGAAUACACCAGACUGUCCGGUGUGCCAUCGGACAGUCCGGUGCCACAAGAAGACAGAAGACUUCAACGGUCAACAGCUCCAAACCCCAACGGUCGGCUGACGUGGCACUCACCGGACAGUGAACAGUGCAGUGUCCGUUGCACCACCGGACUGUCCGGUGUGCCCAUCGACAGCAACGACUGGAAUAGUGGUUGGGGCUAUAAAUACCCCCGACCACCACCAUUCAAGCCAUCCAAGCAUUGCAACUUCCUCAUUCAAUAUUAGAGCAAAAGAAUACACUCCAAAGACACAAUCAAAGCAUCAAAUCCUCUUCAAGCUUCAAAAUCAAGUCAAGUGAUCAAAAGUGCUUAGUGACUUGAGAGAGGCUGAUUUGUGUUUGUUUUGUUGCUCUUGUUGCUUGGUUGCAUUCUUCUUCUCAUUCUAAACUUCUCAAGUGUUUUGUAAAGCAAGCGAGAGACACCUAAUUGUGUGGUGAUCCUUGCGGGGUCUUAGUGACCCGCGUGAUUAAGAAGAUGCACUUAACCGGUCUAAGUGACCGAUUGAGAGAGGGAAAGGGUUGGAAUAGACCCAGCCUUUGUGGCCUCCUCAAUGGGGAGUAGGUUCCAUGGAACCGAACCUCGGGAAACAAAUCACCGUGUUCACUUGUGUUGAUCUUUAUCACUCGAUUUGUUUCUUCCCUCUCCUCUCUCUCUAAAAGUUCCCUUGCUCACAUUGAUUUGAGUUUGCUCCCAAACUUAUCCGCAUUGAUUGAGCAACUCAUAGCAAGGAGAACUAUCUUCCGCUCUCCGAAUUCAAUAUUAAUUAUCUCUAACCCUAACCCUGUGCGAAGUGCGUGUUCAAAGUAUAUAAUUUUUAGGUUUCGCCUAUUCAUCGCCUCUAGGCGAGUUUCAUGCUUCCUAUGGAAGAAUGUCAUUGUUGCCACAUAUCUUUAAGUCAUUAUAUUGGAGCAAAGUGGUGUAACCAUGUCAACCUCUAUUAUUCGUGGAAACGAUCCUUCAGGGAUUGUCGCAAGUUAAUUGGUAUAUCAAAUGUGCGAAUGUAGGAUUUAAACAUAGUGUAAUCUUCAAGACUCCACAUCUACAUGAAUAGCUAGAAAGAUGACUUGUCUACUCAAUUAUAGGGAAUUGAACCAUAAACAUUCGGGGUACUCCAAUUAUACAAAAAAUGUAAUUUUGAGAUUCGUAUUGGACAAAUGAGGUCAAAUUUAACCAAAUUUAUAUUCAGUAAUGUUAAUAUUUAUAUCAAAUAUAUUAUACUAGAACUUUUAAUACACAGUGAAAUGAACUACGAGCUUUCCAAAGAACCCCAACGUUCUUCUUUGUUAAAAAUACAAUUUUGUACGCGCAUGCAUAGGCAACUAAUUCUUCUAACUAGUUGUUAUAACAUUUUAUUUUAUAUAUAGUAGUCAGUUGUCAGUAUGUUACUAUGGUUUUCAUAUUCACAAUAUUUAUAAUAUACAUUCUUCUAGAACAUGAAUAAAUAUGUGUUUCGGUGGUUAGACGCUAAGCAUAGGAGGAAUGGUUCUAACCCUAGGUUCUGCAUUUUUUGGAUUUUGUCAUGGGAGAACUUAAUGCAUAAAGGGCGAUAUCUUAAUUAAUGUUGGAAAUUGUACAAGUAAUGCAUGCAAAUGGUGAAGACAGAAGUUUUAUCUCAUGAGUAGAAAGCUCAUGUUAUGUAGCACGAAUGAACACCUUAGCUUCGACCUUCAAAGAAUGACCAACGCACGUUAAUGAUGGCCCUACAUCUAGAAUCAACAUGUACUGUCAUAUAUUUCAAUUAGUCAUAAAAAAUAUGUAUUCUAUUAAAAUGUAGCCAUGCAUGAUAAAGUUAGGAUUACGUAGGAGAUACAUGGACAACACAACAUUCAUGGAUCCUUUUAUAACAAAUGAAGGCCUAUCAAAUAUUUCAUUAGGCACUUAUUAUAUAACUUGUCAAUCCAUUUCUUAACUCUUCUCUUUUAAACAACAGCGAAGUCUCACUCUAGCUAUAUAUGGAGAUGGAGAAGAUGGAGAAGGAGGAUGACGCCAUUAUUGUUGGCGCCAGCAUCACUGUCGUAAUAGGGUAGUGGUAGCAAAUAGAUAUCACGGUCCAAUGCAUGCAUGUGUAAUGCAUUGCUUGGGAUCCAACCCAAUCUAGUAUAGCUAGCAUAGUCCGGCUUAAAGUAUUGUUAGCACUAAAGUUAAUUAUUUGGCGGUGUAGGCGGUGUUGGCCUUCCAGUUGGCAGGGAUGACAUCGUCGUAGACGGUCUUGGUGCCUCCCUCGGUAGUGAGGCGGACGGUGAGGGGUCCCUUAAGCGGUUUGUCGCUGUCCUUCCUCCAGAUGGCACCCCAAGAGUGCUUCAGGGGCUCGUACGUGUCGGAGCCCUUCUCCUUGAUGUCCACCGCCACAAUGUCACCGUCGCCGUCGACGUACUUGACCAGCAGCGCCAGGUAGUUGGGGCCGCACCCCUUUUCAAGAUGGAAGGUGACCUUGGAGCCGUACUUGCACUUGACCCUUCGGAACUGCAUGUCGAUGAUGCCCGCCUUGCGCAGCUUCUCCUCCUCACCCUUCUUGGCCAUGGCGC